AUUCUUUCUUUUUUGCAGGGAAAUCAUUCUUAUUCCAUGAACAGUCAUGAUGAAUUGCUUUGGUUAUUACAAUGGGAUGAGAUGAACACACACACACACAAACAGCUACAGCUUUUGUAUGUAGCACAUGACAAGCAUCAUCAUCCAGAUAUCACCCAAAGUCAUCGAAUUGAGAUUACUUAUGGCAACAGCAGUACAGGUAGGGGUGGUGCUCACAAUAGCUUAGCUCCUAAGGUAGUCGUAGCCCAUGCUUACGCAGAAGUUUCGGCACUUGUGCUGGUCAUAAUCAUGAACUGGUCUGUUGCAUUCCCACAUAGAUUGACAGUAUAUGUUAGUUUCCGUGUUGUUCCUUGCACAAUAUACUUUGUUGCAGUUGCGCAUGCCAUAAUCAUCCAUCGGUCUCUUGCAUUUCGACACAGAUUCACUGUAUGUGUUAGGAUCUGUGUCUGCAUGCGCACACGCACGCAAAGAAGGGACAAACAAUUAGUACGUGGCUGUUUGGUAUGAAAGAAACAAUGGAAGAAUGAAGCAUCACGUAGUAAGAAAUACUACUCUACAUACCCUUGGCGUUGCAGGUCAAGGAGGCCAACGUGACUAGAAGAGCUACGGCCAAGCACAGAGAUUAAUUAGAGAUUGACCGAUUCCUUCUCAUAUAAAUGUUAUCAUCUAUAGUUGGUGUUACAUUAAUGUUUGUUGAUCACUAGGUGAGUGUCCUUACGUUGCCACGGAAAAACAAAGAUAUAAAUAUUUAUCAGUAAUUAAAGAGUCAUUAAUUCUAAUAUAAUACACGCACAUAUAUAAUAUGUAAGGCCUGAUAUGUGGUGCCAUCAAAUCUUCUUUACUCUUAACGGGGAGUUGGUAGCCUCGCCUCACUUCUCAUUAAUCCAUUAUCAAAUCAUAUAUUACGCCCGCGAGCGUUUUACAUGCAAUCUUUCUCUCAACCGCAACCGAUUUUGGCCGGCCAUUUGACGUGUCCAUUAACUCAAUUAAGCCGGCACUUCUCCAAAACAACAUCGUACAUUAAUUCGAUCAAUCAAAUCACUACCUACCAAAACAACUGUGUGCGUGUUUUUAUUUCCAAAUCAAAUCACUCUUUACCAAAUCAAAUCACUAUUUACCAAAAAAUCACUACUUUUAUUUUAGGGGUAAAUCAAAUCAAUACUCGACUAUACCCCCUCCGUUUCAUAAUAUAAAAAUGUUUUUCAAGCUAACAUAGCUUUCAAAAACAUUUUUAUAUUAUAGGACAGAGGGAGUAGUUUUUAUCAACUAUUCAAAGUUGAUUGGCCCAUUCACUCAGGUAGAGAUUUUCGCCUCUCCACCCCACUGAAAAUCUACACAAGACGGGUAAAAAAUCUACACAAGAAAAAAUACGCCGUCGUGAAUCCAACUCAAAUCUAGAUCCACUCCUCCCUCGAACGAGGUUCCUAAGAGCAUCUCCAACAGAUGCGCUUAAUAAGCCGCGCGCUGGAAAAAACGCCUAUUUGGCGCACGAAAGAUAAAAAACAGCACUCCAGCAUAAGCUGUAAAAUAGAGCGCGCACAAAAACAAAGGUGUAAGAGCAUCUCCAACAAGCGCGAGAUUUUAGCGCCGCGCUGGAAAAUUUAACUUUUUUGCACGCGCAGCCGUUCCGGGCACUACAACGGACGUGCAAAAAACGUGUGUGCGGUAUAGUUAGUUCAGCGCGCGGAGAAAAACGGCAUCGCGUGCCGCUUAUUUCGUGCGCCCGCUCCCACGUGCUGGACACUCGAGCACCCGCGCCGCACUGACGCCACCCUCUCCUCUCCGGCCGCCCCACCUUCGCACCGCCCCGCGCCGCCGCCGGCGAAAUUCGCCCGAUGGACGGCCGCGCCGACAUCCCCCGAACCCCUCCCUACACCCACGACCCCUCCGCCGCCGCCGGCACAAACCUUAGCGCGGGGCUAAGCUUCGGCUUCGCCUCCGUCGGCCCUCCUCCAAGCACCAGUCUCGUGCGCGGCCUUUUCAUGGCGCCACGGGCUCGGCGGGUGGCGGCGCGCCGACGCCCGCAGUGAAGCCACGUGGCCCCCUCUCGAAGCGACCAAAUGUGGCGGCGAAGGCGGGCAAGGUGUCCGGGAAGAAGAACAAAGCGACGGACGGCUCUUCUUGGCGGCCGAAGAAGAAACUUGCAGGGCGUGUGACAGAUGCAGCGUCGAUCGAAGCGCCGGCGAGCUCGCUUGUUGCGCCGGCAGCCGAUGCGCACAAGGUGUUUGAUGAAAUUCCCACAAGGUAUGAUUUUUCGUCGUUGUUUUUUACAUGAAUGGAUACAUAUGGAUAGCUUAGUUUUCUUGUACAUACUUUGUAGUUUCAAUGAUGAGACAUAUAUGUCAACUAUGGACGGCAUGGGAGGCAUGGGUGCCUUCGGAGCUACCAUGGGAGGCAUGGGUGCCUUCAGAGCUACCAUGGGAGGCAUGGGAGGCAUGAGUUUUGGGUCUCUCAUGGGAGGCAUGGGAGCACCUCCGGGUGACAUGGGUGGACGCAUGUCUUCCGGUGUGCCUCACAUACCUUCGCAUGAUGACCUUGGAGAUCUUGCGAACACCUUCCGAGCUCCCCAUGAUGAUGCGACAUGCGACAAUGAAGAGGAGGAGGAAAAAUCGUCUUCGGAUGAGGAUGAAGAAUCGGAGGUAGAGGAGGACGAUGUUGAUAUGGCAUGAUUGUUGAUGUGUCGUUUGUUUGUGUGAACUUUUAUGUGUCAUGAACUUGGUUGGGUGAUUUUGAACUUGGCUGGAUGAUGAUGUGGCAUGAUUGUUGAUGUGUCGUGCAAUUGAACUAUACUAUGUCUUUAUUUUGCACAUUUGUUUAAUGUUUGAAACAUCAUCAUAUUAUCAAAAUGGACAUGUAAAAAUCUUAUUUGCAAGCGCCGGCUGCUCGCGCGCGCUGUAAGUUAGCGCGCCUGCUGGAGCUGCUCGCGCGCGCCAUAUUUUGCAGCGGCCGCUGCAGCCAGCGCUCUGCCGUGCGCAAAAAUUCGCUAUUUCUGUGCUGUAAAAAGGUUUUAGCGCGCCGCACGGUUGCGCGCCUGUUGGAGAUGCUCUAACUUUAGUGCACGCGGGCUGCGGGGCUGCAAAUUUGGGGCGCGGGCUGCUGCAUGUGGGGCCGCCUGGUUGGGCGCCGUUUUUUUGUGCGUCUGAUAAACUUCUCGCGCGCAAAAACACUAUUUCAGCAAUGUAAAACUGUUUUAACGCGUCGCGCGGGUUGGAGAUGCUCUAAGGCGUGGUUCUGGGAUGACGCCGCCAUCGCGGAAGCAGUGUCGAUCCCCUCUCCUCCCAUCUCAAGCGCUCGAUUCCCCUCGCGCAUUAGGGUUCCUCCAAAGGGAGGUUGCGGCGCUCGAUUCCUCCUCCCCUGCUCAUGACUUCCUCACCGGUCACUGCUCCUUUACCAACCGCCGUUGUAGAUGAUAUUUUCGUCCUUCCGAAUUGCAGCAUCUCCACCUUCCAUCCUCUCGGCCGUCACUACAGGGUGCCACCUUGUUCCCACAGUUGCUGACGACGGGAAGGAGGAGGAGAGGUAGUGGUCUAGGCGGGGAGGCUGAUGGCAAAGUGAAUCACGAAGAUGUGACCUGCGACCAUGAUUUGUCUCCCAUGUUUGGUACAGGGAACAUCCUGUGACCACGCCGCUGUCCCCCGUGCUCUACCUAUGUCAGCUUCCCACGACCGCGCCUCUACUCCCUGCAUAACAAGUACACUGCGCCUGGCAGGCUCAUGUCCGACGCCCUGCCAUGGGAAUGACCGGGGGAGCGAGCUUCACCUGCGGCAGCGGCCACAACGGCAAAGCCUUCACUUGGUACGUCUGCUGCCCUUCUGCCUCGGACAGCCAUGCCGGUGAGCUCCUCCAAACCUCGCGCCUCCCAUGCUCGUAUCUACCCCCUCUCUAUACCGCGCGUCGGCCACUGACGCUAGGUGCACAUGGGCAAAAACGACAAAACUGACCUAUGGACGAAAACAAUCCACAAUCUGAACUAGUUCAAAAAAAUUCACUCAGCUGACCCUUUUGUGUGGCGCCCAACACGCAGGCGCCACACCCUACGGUGCAGCGCCUAGCCCUCAGGCGCUGCACUUCAGGCCAGCGUGGCACCCCCUGGCCACGCACCCAGCAGUGCAGCACCUCCGAGCUGGGCGCUACACUUGACACGUGCAGCGCCUGACAGCUAGGCGCCACACUUGUUAUGUGCAGCGCCUGACAGCUAGGCGCCACGCUUGUUAUGUGCAGCGCCUAGCUCUUAGGCGCUGCACAUCAUGUUACUAGUUGGCAUGCUGCCCCCUCCCCACUCCCCACACACACACCCAACCCCAACCCCACCCCCACCCGUGUUGUGCCCUCUCUCCCCCUCUCAAAUCCUUCUCCAAAUCUUCCAAAUUUGAAUAUUUUAUCCGUGGAUUUCGAACCCAAUCCCUCCCUCAAGGUAAUCUCCUCCGAUCCCUUGUUUUCAUCCCAAAAAAUGCUCACAUUUGCUCAUUUUUUGCUAGUUUGGGGAAACCCUAGGUUUCUAUGGAUCUUGAAAUUUGUAUGGAGAUAUGGCUUCUUAGUAUGUUAGGGUUCGGGUUAUGGGUGUUGUUAUGUUGGUGCCGGGGUUGGGCUUGUUAGUAUGUUAGGGUUAGGGUUAUGGGUGUUUUUAUGUUAUGGAUAUGGGCCUUUUUGCUAGGCGUCACACAUAUGUCAACAUGCAGAAACUGACAAGCUCCUGUGCAGUUUCAUUAUGACAAUCUCAUGAACUAAUAUGAUAAAACUUAAGCAAUUAGGAUCAACUAAAACAUCCGUUCAACUUAAAGAAAGUCAAGAAGUUCAACACUACUACAAGUUCAACGAUAUAACAAGUUCAACAAAGCCUAGAAGUUCAACAACACAAUAAGUUCGACAUAAGAAAACGACGACUAAUCGAGUUACAUAAGAAAAAGGAGGACGAUGACUAGUUCCUUUCCUCAGUUGCAUAUGAGUGGGCACCGCAUAUAUAAUGAAGUACAAACAAACAGCUCCGUACAUGUCUAUAUAAGUAAGCCAGUGCCGCCGAACCCCAACUCCAUUUGCUAUCGAAGACGGUCAAUGCCUUCAUCCAUAUCCAUGGAGCAUUCUUGCAUGUGCCGUCAGCAAAUAGAGUCUUGGAGAUAAUGUACCACAUGUACACACGAGCAUAUGUCUGGGCCUCUUCAUUGAUAGCAUCCUCGGGGCAAUACCCAAAGUGGAAUGCAAUCCAGGUGAAAGGAGCACCGACUGUGACUCUUUCCUUCUUCUUGUCUCCUUCUGGUACUGGAGGCUCUGGAGGAGACAUACCAAUAAGGGCCUCCAUCUGCUGGCGCCACCCAUCAGAAUCGGUGCUCAUACACAGAGGAUUCCCCUCGAUAGGGAGACCGGCGAUCAUAGUGAGCAUCACCGUCAUCUCCUCGGUACGAAGAUGGAAAUUGUGUGUCUUCGUCCUCCACCGAUCAACAAGCGUGGUGAUUUCUACAGCACUGAGGCUCUACAUCGACCAGCUGACCAGCUGAAUGAUCGGAAGGAGUCAUGUCUCCCUUAUGUACAGUGUGUACCGCUCAUCAUAGCGCAUCCCACCAAGGAUGACCCCGUGAGACCGAAUCUUUAGAGGAUGAAGCUCCUACAAACAAGCAAAUCAUAAUAUUACAUAUGGGGCACGUGUGUUUGAAAUAAACACAAAAUUCAUAAUACCGGCCACUUUGAUUAUUACCCGCUGCUCCACCAACAUAAAGUAGGCCCGGCGUAGAGUGUCAUAAUGAUCAUCGAGAAGCCAAACCAUCCUAAAAAUUUCAAACAAUAAACAUACGUUAGCUAACUACCAUACAUCCUAAUCAAAACAUGCCAACAAUAAUCACAAAAAACAUGCCAACAAUCGGUACAAACUAAAAGGAAAUUGAAUAAUAAUAAUGUAAUAUCUACAAUCAAAGCAUGCCAACAAUCAUCACAAAAAAAUAUGUUUUGAAACAAUAUAGGGUUCUAUAAUGGUUUCAUCUAAAAAACAUCUCAACAUGUAGGGUUCCGCAAACAAAUUUAGGAUAUCAUCUAAAUCAUCUAUAAAAACAUCAACACAAACAUCUAGACAUGUAUAAGGUACAUCUCAACAAUCUAGGUUUUCAACAUGGAAGCAUGUAUUUUCAAUACAAAUCAACUAAAUUAGGGUUACAAAAUGAUUACAAAUCAUCUACAAAUCCUAAAUCCCACCAAUAUAUUUCAAAAUAUAUGUGCAAGAUUCUAAUCCAAUCAAACAAAGGUUCCACAAAUCUUCAAAAUAUGUAAGAUUUUCUGGAUAGAAAGAAGGGGAUCGGAGGAGAGUACCUUCUAGGAUGAAUUGCUGAAGAAAUCCACCGACCAAAUCAUCAUAUCUGAAGAAUUUGGGAGAGGGGAUUGAGAGGGGGAGAGGAGAAAGCCGCCGCUGCGCUCUAUUCUAGAACUGCAAGGGAAUGGGGUGGGUGGGGGAAGGGCCAGCGCGCGGCGGCUACUAAUUCAUAGUGCAGCGCCUAAGAGCUAGGCGAUGCACAUAACGUGUGUGGCGCUGAUGUCUACUACGCAACCUUCUUCUUGUAGACGUUGUUGGGCCUCCAAGUGCAGAGGUUUGUAGGACAGUAGCAAAUUUCCCUCAAGUGGAUGACCUAAGGUUUAUCAAUCCGUGGGAGGCGUAGGUUGAAGAUGGUCUCUCUCAAGCAACCCUGCAACCAAAUAAAAAAGAGUCUCUUGUGUCCCCAACACACCCAAUACAAUGGUAAAUUGUAUAGGUGCACUAGUUCGGCGAAGAGAUGGUGAUACAAGUGCAAUAUGGAUGGUAGAUAUAGGUUUUUGUAAUCUGAAAAUAUAAAAACAGCAAGGUAGCAAGCGAUAAAAGUGAGCGUAAAUGGUAUUGCAAUGCUAGGAAACAAGGCCUAGGGUUCAUACUUUCACUAGUGCAAGUUCUCUCAACAAUAAUAACAUAAUUGGAUCAUAUAACUAUCCCUCAACAUGCAACAAAGGGUCACUCCAAAGUAACUAAUAGCGGAGAACAAACGAAGAGAUUAUGGUAGGGUACAAAACCACCUCAAAGUUAUUCUUUCCGAUCAAUCUGUUGGGCUAUUCCUAUAAGUGUCACAAACAGCCCUAGAGUUCGUACUAGAAUAACACCUUAAGACACAAAUCAACCAAAACCCUAAUGUCACCUAGAUACUCCAAUGUGACCUCAAGUAUCCGUGGGUAUGAUUAUACGAUAUGCAUCACACAAUCUCACAUUCAUCUAUUCAACCAACACAAAGAACUUCAAAGAGUGCCCCAAAGUUUCUACCGGAGAAUCAAGACGAAAACGUGUGCCAACCCCUAUGCAUAGGUUCAUGGGCGGAACCCACAAGUUGAUCACCAAAACAUACAUCGAGUGGAUCAUGUGAUAUCCCAUUGUCACCACAGAUAAGCAUGGCAAGACAUACAUCAAGUGUUCUCAAAUCCUUAAAGACUCAAUCUGAUAAGAUAACUUCAAAGGGAAAACUCAAUCCAUUACAAGAGAGUAGAGGAGGAGAAACAUCAUAAGAUCCAACUACAAUAGCAAAGCUCGCGAUACAUCAAGAUCGUACCACCUCAAGAACACGAGAGAGAGAGAGAGAGAGAGAGAGAGAGAGAGAGAGAUCAAACACAUAGCUACUGGUACAUACCCUCAGCCCCGAGGGUGAACUACUCCCUCCUCGUCAUGGAGAGCGCCGGGAUGAUGAAGAUGGCCACCGAUGAGGGAUCCCCCCUCCGGCAGGGUGCCGGAACAGGGUCCUGAUUGGUUUUCGGUGGCUACAGAGGCUUGCGGCGGCGGAACUCCUGAUCUAUUCUGUUCUCCGAAGGUUUUAGGGUAUACGGAUAUAUAUAGGCGAAAGAAAUACGUCAGGGGAGCCACGAGGGGCCCACGAGGGUGGAGGUCGCGCCCAGGGGGGUGGGCGCGCCCCCUGCCUCGUGCCUCCCUCGUUGCUUUCCUGACGUGCACUCCAAGUCUCCCGGGUUGCUUUCUUUCCAAAAAUAACUUCUCCAGAAGGUUUCAUUCCGUUUCGACUCCGUUUGAUAUUCCUUUUCUUCGAAACACUGAAACAAGGGAAAAAACAGGAACUGGCACUGGGCUCUGGGUCAAUAGGUUAGUCCCAAAAGUAAUAUAAAAGUGUUUAAUAAAGCCCAUAAACAUCCAAGAUGGAUAAUAUAAUAGCAUGCAUACUUCAUAAAUUAUAGAUACGUUGGAGACGUAUCAGGCGCCUAGCUCUCAAGCGCUGCACGUGACAGGUGGGGCACCUAGUUCGGAGGCGUUGCACUGCUGGGUGAGGGGCCCAGGGGUGCCACGCUCGCCAGAAGUGCAGUGCCUGAGGACUAGGCGCUGCACAGUAGGGUGUGAUGCCUGCAUGUCGGGCGCUACACAAAAGGGUUAGCUGAGUGAAUUUUUUUCGAACCAGUUCAGAUUGUGAAUUGUUUUCGUCAUAGGUCAAUUUUUCCAUGCACAUGUAUGUAUGUGUUGUUCAUAUCUCCCUGCCUCCAUCCCCAUGCAUCACGUGUGCACCUGGGCUCUAUCUACCUCGCAACUUCAUGCAUAUUCUGAUCGCAUGCAUAUGGGUGAGUUUGCAAUCGUGAUGGAGGAUGUAACUCAUGAACUAAUAUGACACAUAUUUCAUAUGGGUGAGUUUGCAAUCGUCAUGAAGAAUAUUUGCUUGGUGAAAAUGUGCCUUCGAGUGUAGUGAAUUUUUCCCAUAUGUAUUCUUGUUGUAUGGCACAAUAAACUUUUAUUGUAACUUCUACCGAUCCUUGACAAUUGCAAAAUAUAUCCUCUCGAAGAACCUUGAUAUAUUUCACAUUAGCACAAAGCUAUUGUUGGAAGCACAGUAGACCUUAAUCCAAUAAAUGACAUCCCUUAUUUGGUUAUUGUUGUUGGACAUUUUUUUCUUAUUUAGUUAGCAUGCUCACGCUUACAGUUAGGCGGCAUCAAAGAUUUUUUAGUUCAUAUUAUAAGCUAUCACAUUGUGUCAUGUUAUGACUACUAAUCCAUGUGGUGAAUGGAGGCAUAUUUUUACUAUUCAGGUAUUAUGCUCUGUCAUACGCAUACCUCACUCUGUUUAUGAAAUUUUACCAUGCUUCUAUAAUUGUUGCAGAUUAUGUAGUUUACAAUCGUAACUUCAUUUCAUUACUGAUUUGCCAAAGUUCUCAUCAUUAUCAGGAUAUCCAUUUUUGUUUACUUCAUUUAGCACACAGAGUGCAUAUUGCUCUCCAAGUUCAGUACUCUGAAUGGAACAAUAUGUGGUUCCGGGCCUGCACAUGUCAAUUUCCUAAUAGAGGUAUGUUUUGUUUUUCAUCAUUUAUGUUUCGCAACUUAGUUUUGGUAUGCUCUCUCAACCUGAGAAUAGUUUUCUUAUGGAGAUGGUACUUGAGAAUAGAUUCGUACAAUGAAGCCUUGGGUUGUAGGCCGAGCUCUUCUGGUGGCGCAACUACAUACUGCCCAUCGGCUCCGGCGGUGGCAGGUCAUGUUUGGCAUCUCCAGGACCUUUGUUAGCCUAUCCUAGAGGGCAGUUUGUGGUAGAUGCGGCGAGGGUGCAUGCGCCGGAGCAGAUGACUAAUUUGAUUUUAAGUUCAAUGUCAAUAAAAAGAGGUAUGAGAAUAACUUAUUGUACAACUUUGGUCAUUAGGAAAAGCUAAUUUACGGUUGGUUGCAUAUUGUUCUUAUGAUGAUGUGUUCUAUAUCAUUUGUAUUAAAUGGACCUCCCUUCCCAUUCAGGUUGUUUUCUUCAGCUACCUAGAGGAGCUCACUGAUAUUGUGGCAAUAAUCUAACCAUCAGUCCCGUUGAUUGAGUAUAGGUGUGUGCCUCGACCUCCACAUUAAAUGAAAAACCUUCCUAUUGUAUGUAGUUGAUCUACAUGUGUUUAUAAUCCAUAAGGGGAUAAGAAAGAUCAAUAAGAUAUUCUAUUGGUGAAUUCUUUAACUCUUGUCUUUUCCCCCCUUUUAGUUGGAGCAGCUACAAAAUGGACUUGAAAGGUUUAUGUAGAUUUAUCAGCCAACAAGCAUGGAUAAAGUACAACCAAGAAACACUGUAAUGCAUCCGCAGGCAGUUCCGUCCUUUAUGAUAUGUGACGAUUGAAAUCUUGCUUUUAUUUCCGGACUAAAUAUUUUCUUCUGGCCGUGGGUCUAUGAUACGUCUCCAACGUAUCUAUAAUUUUUGAUUGUUCCAUGCUGUUUUAUUAUCAACCUUGGAUAUUUUAUAAUCAUUUUAUAGUCAUUUUAUAUCAUUUUUUGGUACUAACCUAUCGACAUAGUGCCAAGUGCUAGUUGCAGUUUUCUGCAUGUUUUUUACAUCGCAGGAAAUCAAUAUCAGACGGAGUCCAAAUGCCACGAAACUUUACGAUGAUUUUUUAUGGACCAGAAGGAAGAAGUUGGGCCCUGGUAGCUCCUGGAGGGAGUCCCGAGGAGGGGACAACCCAUCAGGGUGCGCCAGGAGGCCCAGGCGCGCCCUGGUGGGUUGUGCCCACCUCGGGUGCCCCCUGGACCGCCUCUUUGCUCUAUAAAUACCCCAAAAAUCCAGAAACCCUAGGGGAGUCGACGAAAUAUUCAUCCAGCCGCCGCAGAGUCCAGAACCACCAGAUCCAAUCUAGACACCAUCACGGAGGGGUUCACCACUUCCAUUGGUGCCUCUCCGAUGAUGCGUGAGUAGUUCUUUCUAGACCUUUGGGUUCGUAGUUAGUAACUAGAUGGCUUUCUCUUUCGCGCGAAUUCUCAAUACAAUGGUCUCUUGGAGAUCCAUAUGAUGUAACUCUUUUUGUGGUGUGUUUGUUGGGAUCUGAUGAACUUUGAGUUUAUGAUCAGUUAUAUCUUUUUAUAUCCAUGAAAGUAUUUGAGUUUCUUUGAUCUCUUUUAUGCAUGAUUUCUUAUAGCCUCGUAUUUCUUCUCCGAUAUUUGGGUUUUGUUUGGCCAACUUGAUCUAUUCUUUAUCUUGCAAUGGGGAGAGGUGCCCGGUAGUGGGUUCGAUCUUACGGUGCUUGAUCCCAGUGACAGAAAGGGAACCGACACGUAUGUAUCGUUGCUACUAAGGAUAAAAAUAUGGGAUCUAUAUCUAACGCAAUAGAUAAACGGAUCUUGUCUACAUCAUGUCAUCGUUCUUAUUGCAUUACUCCGUUUUUCCAUGAACUUAAUACACUAGAUGCAUGUUGUAUAGCGGUCGAUGUGUGGAGUAAUAGUAGUAGAUGCAGGCAGGAGUCGGUCUACUAAUCUUGGACGUGAUGCCUAUGUAAUGAUCAUUGCCUGAAUAUCGUCAUAAUUAUUUGAGGUUCUAUCAAUUGCCCAAGAGUAAUUUGUUCACCCACUGUUUGCUAUCUUUCUCGAGAGAAGCCACUAGUGAAACCUACAGCCCUCGGGACUUCUUUCUCAUAUAUUUGCCUUGCGAUCUACUUUUUCUUGUGUUUAUUUUCAGAUCUAUUAAACCAAAAAAUACAAAAAUACCUUGCUGCAAUUUAUUCUUAUUUAUUUUGUUUGGCGUGCGAUCUAUCAAAUUACUACAAAUUCCUCACGUCCGUUUUGCCUAUCUUGAGGCGCCGUACCCCGGAAGGGGUUGACAACCCCUUUAACACGUCGGGUCGCGAGAAGUUGUUCUUUGUGUGCAGGUGAUGUUUAUGUUGUGUUGCUUGGUUCUCCUACUGGUUCGAUAACCUUGGUUUCAUAUCUGAGGGAAAUACCUACCGCCGUUGUGCUGCAUCAUCCCUUCCUCUUUGGGGGAAACCGACGUAGCUUCAAGCGACAUCAGUGUGCAUAUCACAGAGAGAAGCUUCUGGUGUAAGCAACCCGAUCUUCCUCCACAAGCUACAAGAGAAGCUUACAACGCAAGGUUCCCUAGUCAUCCUCAGUACGAUAUGUGGAUGACUUCCCGUCCAAGAUAACCAGCCUUCUUCAGUAAGCUACUGCAGAAACCUUCCGGCAUGAGUCACCAAAUCUUCCUCGGUAAGAAACUAGGAGGAGAAGCUUCUAAAAUAAGAUACCCAGUCUUCUUCCGCAAGCUGCCCUAAUGAAAGCUUCGAGCAUAAGCUAUUCAGUUUUCUUCACCAAGAUACUCUUGAUAGCUUACAACACAAGCUAUCCAAUCUUCCUCAGUACAGAACUACAAACAGUUUAGCAACAAUGGUACAAGAUAUUACACAAUGAAUUGGCAGCGAAUCUCAAGAAUCAAGCAAACAACAGAUUGGUCAAAAACACGAGCUAGUCGAGACACAAGUCUGUCUCCUGAAUCAAAUGUUCAGCUACACAUACUUCCAUAUACAUUGUGAGCAUGCUGCUGAUACGCCUCCAUCGUAUCUACUUUUCCAAACAUUUUUGCUCUUCUUUUGGACUCUAAUUUGCAUGAUUUGAAUGAAACCAACCCUAACUGGCGUUGUUUUCAGCAGAACUACCAUGGUGUUAUUUUUGUGCGGAAAUAAAAGUUCUCGGAAUUGGACGAAACUUUUUGGAGAUUUUUUAUGGAAAAUAUAAAAAUAUUGGAACCAAGAUAUACUAGAGGGGGGCCACCUGCUGCCCAUGAGGCACCAGGGUGCGACCCCCCAGGGCACGCCUGGUGGCUUGUGGGGCCCAGCUCCGCUGACCCUAACCUCAGCACUAUAAAUUCAUUCCCCGAGAAAAAUAAGAGAAAAAGUUUCAUCGCGUUUCACGAUACGGAGCCGGAUACCCCAAGGUGACAAUAAUUGGGAUUAUUUCCGGUGAUUACCGUAAUUUGAGGAGUUCAUGUAUUCACUAAGUGCUAAUGCUUAGUUCCGGUUCUCUAUUGAAAGGAGGCCUUAAUAUCCCUUAGUUUCCAAUAGCACCCCGUUGCCACGGGAGGGUAGGACAAAAGACGUCAUGCAAGUUCUUUUCCAUAAGCACGUAUGACUAUAUACGGAAUACAUGCCUACAUUACAUUGAUGAAUUGGAGCUAGUUCUGUGUCGCCCUAGGUUAUAACUAUUACAUGAUGAAUGUCAUCCAACAUAAUUAUCUAUCACCGAUACCAUGCCUAUGAGCUUUUCACCUAUUGAUUGUUGCUAAGUUACUACUGUUGCUGCUAUUGUUACAAUCACAACAAAACUACUACUGCUGCUAUUACUGUUACUGCUGCUAUUGUUACCACUCCUAUCAAAACUAUCAUACUACUAUGCUACUGAUCACUUGUUGCAGAUAUUUAGUCUCUAGAUGUGGUUGAAUUGACAACUCAACUGCUAAUACUUGCAAAUAUUCUUUGGCUCCCCUUGUGUCGAAUCAAUAAAUUUGGGUUGAAUACUCUACCCUUGAAACCUGUUGCGAUCCCCUAUACUUGUGGGUUAUCAGCUGCCCAGGUCAGGCAAGUCACUCGUACGAGGAUGCAAUUCUGUUCAAGUUGAUCCACCGAAGGAAGUUGAGAAUCCAACAGCCACAUGAGUUAUGCAAGAAGAAGAAAGCCAGUAUACACCUUAGUGUGAUGCAAGGACCGACAAGGUAUGGAGUAAGACAGCAUUGGACAACAAUCUUGGCAGUUGUUAUCAAGGCCAGCUUACUCACUCACGACAAGGCGAUAUCAUUAACCCUUGUCACUAUCUGGUAUGAUUGCCGACAAAAAUGAGCUUUAUGCAUGUACAUGUGAACCUGGUGUAUUUCCUAUGACACGAUUCAUGAACAAGGAUAAGGUAUGAUUGCCGGAAUAUUGCCCCUGAUAGUACCUAUGAUCACACGCAGAAGUAAUAUGGCCAAGUUCUUUCGGCAAAAGCUUCAGAAAAAGAGGACAAUACUGAAGGAGCAAGACCGGCAACACCGGGAUGAUAAUUUUUGCAUAAACAACAUGGUACGGAUGCUCAAGACAGUCUUAUUCCGUAACAAUUACGAGGAACAUACGCCCAAGGGGUCUACUCUGUUUUGGUAAGGACCUCACAUCAAGGUAACCCGCUUGUCCAAAUUUGAAUGCCUAGAAUUGUCAGUCUGGAAUAUCCAAGUCUGUUAACUCAAAGAUUCCUUACCCAGCUCCACAGUUUGACUUCAGCGACCGUGUUAAAAUAUCGCACGGCCUACUACCCCAUGUGAGUAUACCGGCAGAAUGAGUAAUCAGAAUGAUGAAUAACAAGCUCACAUUAUGUGUCCUUACAUAUGGAAACCAGCGAAAAGAUAGCAUGUAAGGAACAAAAUUCUUCUGUCAGAACCCUCGUCUGUCAAGUCGGUGGAUACUAUCGUUAUAAGGUUGUACACCUUUAUGCUAGUCACAACAUUCGACAGUCAAAUCUUUGGUAUGGAUUUGAUACUCAAGACUAUGGAGCUAGCCAAGAUGAUUCAGAAAUCCCUGCGAGAAGUCAGAUUCCGUGAGGAGAACGGUUAUGAUUCCCAACACUAUUUUGAACCUGGAAGACGUGCACCUAUUUGAGAAACAUGAUGCAAGGAUUAAAAGGUUUCGUGUUCACCAAGAAAAUUGUUCACAACUCCAUUGGAUACUAUCAGUGCUGGAUAUAAGAAUGACAUGUCACUUGGAAAUCACUCCCACACUUAUGGAAAGAUGAUGUAUUCGAGUCAUGAUAAUAUAUCAGCCGACUCAGCAGACACAAAAGAAAUUGGAGUCAGUGUAAGGUUGAACAUAGGAGGUAAGACCUGUCAGAAGGAGGAUACGAUGAAGCAAACCACCCUAGAGCAAGGUAAACAGAUCUUAUGAAAUUCAGUGGGAACAUCAUAUAAUGGAAAAGGAUACCCGAGUUGGAAACGGUUUCCUUAAGUCAUAUUCAUACUUGUUCCCUAAGCUACCAAAUCUCAAGGACAAGAUUUUUCAUAAGGGGGUAGAGUUGUAACACCCCGAUUUUUGGCCCUUUCUUUUUCUUAUGCAUUUCCUUGAAUUUUGCUUUGGAUUCCUUUUGUGUGGCUCUGUGGUCUGGAAACCCGGGAAGAAUAUCUCUUCUUCAUUCCCCAAGUGGCUUGUCCUCCUCAAAUCCAUCCUAGAUCAUGUCAUUUCCAUCUUAGCCCAAACCCAAAUUCUUUUUCUUGGGGAUAUUCCUUUUUCUAUUAUGAAUAAUCCUUUUGCCCUAGGUUGUGAAGCAACCUACCUUUCUAUUAUUCCCAAAAUUCCCACAAAAUUCUCAAAAUUCCUUUGGACGAUAUGAACCUUGGAUAUGCAAAAAUAUUCAAGAUUCCAUGCUCAUGGUGAGCACACCAUCCAAUCUUUGAUUCUGGUCAUAUUUUUAGAUUGUGAAGCAACUAUAUUUUAUAUUUCUCAAUAAUUUCUAAAAACUUACCAGGACAUUCUCCUACCUUUAUAAUAUUCGUCAACAAAAUUUGAGCUCAUUUCAUUCAUCCAAUAAUUCUCAAGAAUUUUCCCAACAUUCUGUCCAGCAGGCAUCACUGUGAAGCAAGUACCAUUUUUAUUUAUCCAAAUGGUAUGAAAUUUUUACAGUGCCUUCAUAUGCCCAAAUAAUAACUCUCCACCAAAUUUCAGCCCAAUCCCACACUCCAUUUGAGUGUAGCAUCUAGACCUAGUUUCUGGACCAGAUUUGUAGUCGUGAAGUAACACCAUUCAAACUUGGUCCAAAUCAUCUCAAAUUUCACAGGAUUGUAGUCCUUCCUACCUUAAGCCUGUGUGACACCUUUUUACUCCAUUUAACCAUCCCAUUUUACUUCAGCUACUGGCCCAAGUUUGCUAUAGCAAACUUUAGUUGACCCAUCCCAUCACCCCAUGGUGUCUUUAGUCGAACCAUCACUUUAGAGAGACCCCAUUUUGGAAGGACCACAUGCUGGACAUGACCGACCAUGCUGAGUCACCAUACAUGCGUCAACGCAUGCGGUGACUAGGUGGUCUGGCAUGCCAAAAGUGUGCUCUACUCAUUUGGCCACGCCCCAAGUGUCGUUUAGCUUCGGCCCCUCCUCUGCUCGUCGAUCCCGCGCACCCCACCAUGUCCCAGAGCUCCGUGGCAGCCAUGUGCUCUCUCUGUAGCCUGCCCCCCUUCUCUUUCCUCCCCGACGCGCCACGGUGACCCUACUCGCGGCACUGUUCGGCCAUGGUAUCCGACCGAACUUUGCCCCUCCAGGGUCUGCCCUCCUAUGAUGCUCCACUAGCCCCCUCUCGUCGCCAUCAACCCCUCCUCGCGAGUCCAGGCAUCCACGGUGGUCCCUGGCCACGGCGCUGUCGCCCCAGCUAUAUAAGUUGUACCAAAGCCCCUCGAGCUCGCCAUCAUCUCCCUCUCAUUCCCAUAGCCCUCCCCGACCUCUUUAGCGAGCUCGAGGAGCUCUCAUUCCCUCCAAUGGCCGUCGUGUCCGCCGUCAGCCCCUUCCUAAAUUGGAGCCAUGGCGAGAUCCUCCCCUCCUUUUUUCCCUCCAGAGAGCUCCCUCGGUCAUGACGGAGCCCUGCUCCUCUUCCUCCUCGCCUAUUGCGGCCGUAGCACCAAGCCCAACACCGGCUGAUGCCAUCGUCCGUCACGGACGAGGCUCUUCUCAUUCCCGAGCUUGCCAGUAAUCACGAAGCGUCCAGGCAGAUGCGCCUCCUCGCGCUGGUCGCUCCGGUGGUCCGAGCUCCGCCGAAGGUGGCCGAAGCUGCUGGGACGAGCGCCGGCGCGCGUUGCCCACCUCUAUCCCACAAGCAACGACUGGAGGAAGAAGAUGAGCACCCCCUACCUGUGAGACCCGUGGUCCCACUCGCUAGCCUCUGCGUGUUGACCAGGCUGGCCCGCUGACGUGGAUAAGUGGAGACGCAUUCUACUUGUCUAUGUCUUCGUUUCCUAAAGACGUAUUUCUCUGCAGCUUCGGCGCAGAAUGCGCUUUCACUUUACUGAAGGCGUAUUUUAUGAAAGUGCCUUUUAGUUCCACCUCAUUGGCGGAAACCUCUAAUUUGCGGGCGUUCGUCCGUUAGCAGCAGAAAAGCUCACUAUUUAUUUGUUUUUCUGCCUAAAAACGAACGACCGUAUCUCCGCAACCGUAACUCCGAAUCAAGUGAUUAAAAAGCCGCAUUCUCUAUUUGUCGAGCCCGUUCUAUUGAUAUCAUUUUCACUAUGUUGUCGCAUACUAAAAAUGACCAUUUUUUCCUUGCCCUCUAAUCAGCUCCACUAGGAGAGAAACUUUUUCGGCGAAUAUUUCUGCAAGUUCACCGCACUGCUUCCCGAUGAUUCCUUCAUCCUGAGGCAAGCCAUGACAGCCACUUGCAUGAUGGCCUUUCAAUAGCCAUGGUUUCCACUUGAAAUUUUUGAAUAAUUGUGUGCUCAUUUACUUAUUAUGAAAAUGCUAUGUAUAUGCUUGUGGAUCCAUGCUAUUCCUUAUGCCAUGUUCAUUUGCAUCUAGUCAGUUAUAUGAUGAUGUGAUACUGUUAUUAUCAUAUUUAAUUCUUAUAAUUAAUUCUGAUGCUAGUGAUCAUGGUAUGCUUAUAUGAAUGGUUACUGUUUAACAUGAAAAUACUUGUAAGAUUCAUGAUCAUAUCUAUACCCUGCUCAUUUGCAUCCAGUAAAGUAAAUGAUUUGUUGUUGUUGGUGUUAUGAUUCAUAUGUCAAAUUAUUAUUAUGCCCAUCCAUGCAAAUGUUGAUUUCAUGCUCAUAUGCAUUGUCAUGUUAUUAUAUUUUGUUAUGACUCAGCUCAUCACCACUCAAGUUAAACCUGAUAUUAAUCAAACUUGAACACCUGUUGGCUGAGUCAUGGUGCCACCGAAUCGAGCUCACUAGUGCAACCACACUUGCCUGGAUGGGGAGGCCCUAAUCCGGUCUAUUGUCAUGCCUCUCGCCGGUGCCUCCAACUAGGGAAGGUUAUGUGCACGCGCUACCCUUGCCCGGUAGGCGGCAAUAACCUUGUGAGCCUGCUACUUGUGAACCGCGUCAGUGAAUUCCCCGAAGAGGAGGGGAUGAUGCAGCAUAGCGAAGGUAAGUAUUUCCCUCAGUUAUGAAACCAAGGUUAUCAAUCCAGUAGGAGAACCAAGCAAGUUAUGUAGACGACACCUGCACACAAACAACAAAUACUCGCAACCCGAUGCGUAGAGGGGUUGUCAAUCCCUCUUGGGUAAAGUGAUAUGAUAAAUAGAUAGAUUGAUAGAUGCAAAUAGAAUAGAAGGAAGUAAAACUCAGCGAGAUAUUUUUGGGAUUUUUAUAAUAUAGAUCUGAAAUAAAAGAAGCAAAUAAAUUGGAAAAGCAAGUAGCAAUAUAGAUAUGAAAGUAUAUGAUGACAAACAGACCCAGGGGCCGUAGAUUUCACUAGUGGCUUCUCUCGAGAAAUAGCACACGGUGGGUAGACAAAUUACUGUUGGGCAAUUGAUAGAAAAGUGAAUAAUUAUGACGAUAUCCAAGACAAUGAUCAUGUAUAUAGGCAUCACGUCCAAGAUUACUAGACCGAAACGAUUCUGCAUCUACUACUAUUACUCCGCACAUCGACUGCUAUCCAGCAUGCAUCUAGUGUAUUAAAUUCAUGGAGAAACGGAGUAAUCUUUAAGAACAAUGACAUGAUGUAGAUAAUAUCUAGUCAUUUAGGAAUAGACCUCAUCGUUUUAUCCUUAAUAGCAACAUACAUGCGUGUCAUGUCUCCUUCUGUCACUAAGAUUGAGCACCGCAAGAUCAAACCCAUUACAAAGCACCUCUUCCCAUUGCAAGAUAAAUCAAUCAAGUUGGCCAAACAAAACCGAAAUAUCAAAGAAGAAAUAUGAGGCGAUGAUAAUCAAGUAUGGAUAUGAAUGCAAAUAGAUCUGAUCAUAAACUCACAAUUCAGCGGAUCCCAACAAACACACCGCAAAAGAGUUACAUCAAAUAGAUCUCCGAAGAGAACAUUGUAUUGAAGAUCAAAAAGAGAGAGAAAGCCAUAUAGCUACUGCCUACGGACCCGUAGGUCUGAGGUGAACUACUCACGCAUCAUCGGAGGAGCACCAAUGAGGAUGUUGAACUCCUCCGUGAUCAUGUUCCCCUCCGGCGGAGUGCCGAAAAAGGGCUCUAGAUUGGAUCUCAUGGCUCUGGAACUUGCAGCGGCUGAAACAAUUUUUCGUCGACUCCUCUAGGGUUUCAGGAAUAUUGUGGUAUUUAUAGAGUCAGAGGUCGAUGGAACGGAGUUCCAUGGGCUCCACUACCCACCAGGGAGCGCCAGGGGCCUGGGGCGCACCCUGGUGUCUAGUGGGCCCCAUGGGCCUCCCCUCGUGCGGUCCCUUGACUCCCUGGAUGUCUUCUAGUCCAAAAAAUCUCCCAAAAGUUUUGUUGCAUUUGGAGUCCGUUUGAUAUUGAUUUUCUUUGAACAAGCAAAAAAACAGCAACUACCACUGGGCACUAUGUCAAUAGGUUAGUCCCAAAAAUUGAUAUAAAGUGGCUAUAAAUGAUUAUAAAACAUCCAAGAAUGAUAAUAUAAUGGCAUGGGACAAUCAAAAAUUAUAGAUACGUUGGAGACUUAUCAGAGCCCAUGAUUGGUAUUGUGCACAUGUCCCCGUUUGGGACCGUUUUUGUUUUAUAACGACGGUGGCCGACCACGAAGGUGGCAGAUGUCCAGAGUGGGCAUCCAGGGCCGCCCAUGACAUAGCCCAAAAUGGAGUUUGUCGGAGUGGCUGGGAGAGUGUCAUGUAAUAGAUCGUUUUUGUCGGAAUGUCCUUGGUCCACCUGAAUAAGAGCACGAGGCCAUGAAUUUCGUGGUGUGGGUACAGUGUACUAACCUCUGCAGAGUGUAUAAUCUAUCGAUAGUCGUGCCCUCGGUCAUGGGCACAGUUCGUAGUAGGUCGCACUGUGGGUCAACAGUAAUAAUAAUCUGACUAAUAAACAACCCUACUUCGAUGAGGAGAGAAGUUGGUUGAUCUUUAUGUGGUCACGAGAAGAUCACGAUGGUAUUAUUGAUGAUGGUUGAUCAUGAGGUGAUCAUGUGAUGAUCACGACGGUAAGAAAGAUUGGCAUAUAUAUGGUGGUUACGAGAUAACCUCCGAGAAGAGUAAGUUGGUCCAAGAGACCUUAAACAUCGACCCCCUCACAUGCAUUAUCCUCAAGUUCAUAUCAUGAGUAACAUGUUCAUGCCAUGCUCAUCUCAUAUUGUUCUAGCGGUAUCAUGCUCAUCAUUGUUUAACCAAUAUAUGCCAUGUUGUUUUUCUUGAUUGCUUUGGUUGUUGUGAGCUUGCGAGUACAUUCAGAGUACUCACCUGGCAUGUCAUGCCAUGAUUGCUUGCUUGUCGAGGAUCCCGAGUUUCGCACAAGGAUGCGUUCCAGCCAGAGUCCCCGCGGAGUGGAGUUCAUCACCAUUCUCGUUGUUCUGCUGCUACGAGUUGUUCCAUUGCUAGCAUCGAGCUACCUUAGCAGGCGUAGUGUCGCCAUGCCGAUAUAAUCCUUUGUAGUAUCAGAACCUUUGUACCCAUAUCAUUUGUAAUAAAGAGCUGAUUUGUUUUGUGCCAAGUAGUGCCAUAUUCCAAAAGACUUGAUCUCUGGGCUAGAAUAUGGGGUGUUCUGGUUCCUCUGAGCCGGGGUGCCACAUAAUUAGUGUUAUCCCACUCUAGGCCCACGAAUCUAUGGUUGAAGUGACGAAUAUGAGCUGGCCUGGUGAUGACAUCGUCUUCUCCCUGAUUCGUCCGCUUGUCUGCCAGUGAACACGAUCUGCUGCCAUGGCAACACUUUUGCCUUUGGUUGCUAUGGCAGUUGUUUCGUUGCUCGCCUCGAUAUCUUUAGUCGAGACUCUGACAUUCCCUCCUCCUUUACUUGAGGCUUGCCCCAAGCCGGCAGAUGAGGAAAGCGAGACUGAAGAGAAACAACAUCCUCCCAACUAGCGUCCAUCACUGCAGAAUCAGACCAAUGUACGAGUAGUUGCUCUCGGCGCCUAGCGGGUGUUUGGCGCCAUCAGGUUUGAAUAAUCUACACUAGAGCAAGACUAGUCGUCGAGGGUACUGGCAGGGUUGUGGAAGCAGAUCUACCCAAAGAGAGAGCUUGACACAUUUGAGAGACAUGAAAAUGGGUUGGAUCUACGAACCUGGAGGAAGGCUGAGCUCAUAUGCGACUUGGUUGAUAGCACGCAACACCUUGAAAAGCCCAAAGUACUUGAAUGACAGCUUAUGGUUGGCAUUGUUGUUAACUAAACUUUGCACAUACAAUUGCAGUUUAAUGUAUACUUCAUCUCUAGAUUUAAGGAGUGAUGAGUGUGUUUCUUAUCCGACUGUACAUUCAUGAUGUGACGAGCUUGGUGUAGAUGUUGUUUCAACACUUGUUGCAUGGUUUUUCUUUCUUCGAGCCAUUCUUUCAGGACGGGAAUCUUACAAGUAGACACGGCUUCAAUGCCUCAAUGGCACGGUUUGUGGCCAUAUAGGGCAUGGAACGGUGACAUGUCCAGGGCAGAGUGAUAGCUCGAGAUGUACCAAAACUCAGCCAGUGGAAGGAAUUGACUCGAGUGAUUUGUGCGGGCAUGGAUAAAACAACGCAAAUAGAUUUCCAAGCAUUGGUUGACACACUCAGACUGACCGUCCAUUUUCGGGUGCUAAGGCGCGCUCAUGUUGAGCUCAGUCCCGAUGAUCUUGAACAACUCUUGCCAAAAUCUACUUGUAAACAUUGGAUCCCAAUAGGAGAUGGUGGCUUUAGGAAGAUCGUGUAGCUUAUAGACAUUAUCCAGGUAAGUUCAAGCUACUUUAGUUGCAGUAAAGGGAUGAUUCAGAGGUAAGAAGUGAGCAUAUCUCAUGAAUUUGUUAGUGAUGACCAAGAUGUAGUUCGCUCUAUUGGAUUGAGGGAGGCCAUUGAUAAAAUCCAUGGUAGCAACUGCCCCCCCCCCUCAAGUAGUGGAAAUGGCUCCAAAAGACCAAGAUAUUUGACUUGUUCCGAUAGCCUGUUGACAGACAGCACGGGUGCGUACAUACUGUCGGACGGUGUCCUUCAUCUUUGGCCAAGCAAACAGGCAAUGCACACGGUGAUAGGUGACUCGGAAGCCGAAGUGACCUGUGACGCCCCCGAUUCAAUCGUACACUAAUCAUACACGCAAACGUGUACGAUCAAGAUCGGGGACUCAUGGGAAGAUAUCACAACACAACUCUAAAAAUGAAAUAAGUCAUACAAGCAUCAUAAUACAAGCCAGGGGCCUCGAGGGCUCGAAUACAAGUGCUCGAUCAUGGACGAGUCAGCGAAAGCAACACUAUCUGAGUACAGACAUAAGUUAAACAAGUUUGCCUUAAGAAGGCUAGCACAAACUGGGAUACAGAUCGAAAGAGGCGCAGGCCUCCUGCCUGGGAUCCUCCUAAACUACUCCUGGUCAUCGUCAGCAGCCUGCACGUAGUAGUAGGCACCUCCAGUGUAGUAAGAGUCAUCGUCGACGGUGGCGUCUGGCUCCUGGGCUCCAGCAUCUGGUUGCGGCAACCAGGUAGAAUGGAAAGGGGGAAAAGAGGGAGAAAAGCAACCUUGAGUACUCAUCCAAAGUACUCGCAAGCAAGGAUCUACACUACAUAGGCAUGGGUAUCUGUGUAAAGGGCAAUAUCGAUGGACUGAACUGUAGAAUGCUAGAAUAAGAGGGGGAUAGCUAGUCCUCUCGAAGACUACGCUUCUGGCAUCCUCCAUCUUGCAGCAUGUAGAAGAGAGUAAAUGGUAAGUUCACCAAGUAUCAUCGUAUAGCAUAAUCCAACCCGGCGAUCCUCCCCUAGUCACCCUGUGUGAGAGCGAUCACUGGGUUAUAUCUGGCACUUGGAAGGGUGUAUUUUAUUAAGUAUCCAAUUCUAGUUGUCAUAAGGUCAAGGUACAACUCCGGGUCGCCUGUUACCGAGGACACGACUAUUCGAAUAGAUCAACUUCCCUGCAGGGGUGCACCACAUUACCCGACACGCUCGAUCCCUCUGGUCGGGCACACUUUCCAGGGUCAUGUCCGGCCUCGGGAGAUCAACACGUCGCAGCCCCACCUAGGCACAACAGAGAGUUCAACACGCCGGUCUAAAUCCUAUGCACGCAGGGGUCUAGGCCCAUCGCCCAUUGCACACCUGCACGUUGCGUACGUGGCCGGAAGCAGACCUAGCCCCCUUAAUACAAGCGCGAGCUUACGGUCCAAUGCGGCGCGCGCCGCUCAGUCGCUGACGUCAAAAAGAGCUUCGGCUGAUACCAUGACGCCGGUUGCCCAUAUCUUGUCCCACGUGGCGGUUAGUGCGUAUAAGGUCAACAACCCAACUCAGAUCAAAUACCAAGAUCUCGUUAAGCGUGUUAUUAUGAAGUAACCGUGCACGCCGACCAGGGCCAGGCCCACCUCUCUCCUAGGUGGUCUCAACCUGCCCUGUCGCUCCGCCACAAAGUAAUAGUCGGGGGCCGUCGGGAACCCAGGCCCACCUCUACCGGGAUGGAGCCACCUGCCCCUUCAGCCCCCAUCUCAGAACAGUAUCAUAAGUAAUGUAACAGUAUAAAGUAUAUAGCAUAUGCCCGUGAUCACCUCCCGAAGUGAUCACGGCCCAGUAGUAUAGCAUGGCAGACGGACAAGAGUGUAGGGCCACUAAUGGAAUACUAGCAUCCUAUACUAAACAUUAGGAUAGCAGGUAAAGGUAACAACUGUAGCAACAAUGACAGGCUAUGCAGCAGAAUAGGAUUAAACGAAAGAAGUAACAUGCUACACUACUCUAAUGCAAGCAAUAGAGAGAAGGAAUAGGCGAUAUCUGGUGAUCAAGGGGGGGUCUUGCCUGGUUGCUCUGGCAAGGAGGGGUCGUCAACAACGUAGUCGAUCGGGCACCAGCAACGGCGUCAGUCUCGUAGUCUACCGGAGAGAAGAGGGGGAAGAAACAAUAAAUACGGAGCAAACAAAGCAUCACAAAACAUAACGAGGUAAUACGCGGUGCCAGGGGUGAUCUAACGCAGGGAUAGGUGAUAUCGGCGAAGGGGGGAAACAUCCGGGAAAGUAUUCCCGGUGUUUCGCGUUUUCGGACAGAUGAACCGGAGGGGGAAAGUUGUGUGUUCACUAUGCUAGGGAUGUGUGGCGGACGAACGGGCUAAGUAUUUGGGUUCGUCUCGUCGUUCUGAGCAACUUUCAUGUACAAAGUAUUUUCAUCCGACUUAUAGAUUAUUUUAUAUGAUUUUUCAAAGUUUUUAAACAUUUUCUGAAAUUCCUGGAAUUAAAUUAAUUCGAAAAUAAAUUAAUCGCUAAAUGCUAUGGGUACACAGAAGUGUACCCAGAGAUGUGCAUGUGUGGCUGACAAUGGGGCCCAGUUGACUGGGUCAACUGCCCAGUCGGCAGAGGCUGAUUGGUGGGGCCAGGGGGCUGAGUCAGCAGUCAAUAAUUUGACUAUUGACUAGUCAAAUCUGACCAAUAGGUCCCAUUGUCAGUGACUGUUAUACACAAAACAAGUUUAAUUAAUCCGGUUAAAUAGCUAGGGGCCCACUUGUCAUUCCUCGUUAGCUUAAGUAAAUUAGUUAGUUACGUUAAUUAAUUAAGUGGGCCCAGAGGUCAGUGUCACAUGGGUGGAUUAGGGAGGUUACCUUAGGCCUAACCAUCGUGGUUAGCACCGGGACCCACGGGGAGUGGCCCAACCGGCCAGUUUAAACAGUGCACGUGCCGGCGACGAGGCCCGACGCAGCGGCGGUGGUGGGAAUAUGGCCUCCGGCGACCCUUUGGACCGCGGAGUGGCUCGUUCGAACCGGAGGAGCAACGCGCGUGCAACAACGGCCUAGGUUCGAGUAGGGGGAUGGGCUACCACGGCGAUAGCGACGGCGUGCAGGGGCAAGGCAACGGGCGAGCCGACGCGGUGGUGCUCGCGCGGGGACAGAGGGGAGAGGGAGCCGGCGCGGGACGAGGAGACGCGGCGUGAUGGGCGUGCAGCGCGUGCAGGGAGCACGGUGAGAGCGAGGCUCGGACGGGCACGACGGCGAUCUACCAGGGAGGAUGAGGGGAAGGGAAGGGGGCCUCACAGAGCCCUGUAGUUGAGCGACGCGUGCUCGAGGAGGACGAGGAGGCGAUGACGAUGGUGGGCGGCUCCGGCGAAGCAGUGGCAGGACGAGGCGGCGACGGUGUGCGGCAGAGCGGUCCGGCGAGGGGCACUGGCGUGGUGGCGACAGGAAUCGGCGGUGUGGCGCAGCGUGGCUUGGGGAGGCCGUCCAGCGCGAGGUGAGGAGGGGGCGGUCAGCGUCGGGACGAGGGCAGCACCGGGCCCUCCCGAUCCAGAUCCAGCGAGAGAGGGGGGAGGGGAACGAGAGAGAGACGUGGGGAGAGUGGGGAGUGAGCUAGGGUUCGGUUAGAUGGGAGGGGGUUAAGCAGGGCAGUGGGAGAGGCCGGCUGGGCCAGGUGGGCCGGUUGGCCACCUGGGCCAGUUGGACCAAAGGGGUGCUUCUCCCUUUUCCUUUUCUUUUGUCUUUAUUUUUUAUUUAUUAUUCUCUCUUCUUUGUUUUCUAUUAUAGUUCAUUUACGUUUAGUUUUAUAAAAUACCAAGUUAGCACCCAAAUUAGUAUCAUUAAUAUAAGCCACUGCCAAACUUAGUUUGGACCCAAAGUAAAUUAGUUUAAUAUUGCUAUAAUUUAAAAAUCUAUUAUAUUAUUAUUUUAGCCACUGUUCUAACUAGUUUAGGGCAUUUAACACUUUACAAAAAUUUGGUUUCUCCGCCAUAAUUACUAACGAAUUAUUAGUCACAUCCAGAAUAUUUUGGUUUUAAUAUUUGAAAACUUUUAUUGUUUACCUUGAAUUUGAAUUUGGAAUCCGAACGGGGUUGAAUCAUCGCGAGACUAACAACGGUAAUCAUGGUGAUGUGGCAUUGUUAGCAGAGAUUACUGUAGCUUAAAUAUCCGGGUGUCACAAUUCUCCUCCACUACAAGAAAUCUCGUCCCGAGAUUUAAGAGGUAGAGUAGGGGGGAUUUUGGUUACGAAAUUCUAACGGAUCUUCUGGGCCUUGGUUGCUCUUCUCGAAGAGGUCGAUCCAUUACAUUGAUGCUUCAUUUCUCUGUUUCGGGUAAUCAUGAGGAAGUCGGCAUCCUUUCUUUGGGAACUCCUUCGUACUUACGAAUAGGAAAGGGGCAGCUUCAAAAGGACAGACCUCUACAAGGUUGCUUAUCUGGUAGAUAAUAUUAGGGAAGGUGGCAGAAAGUAACUCUCGACUUGAAACUUAAGAAAUUAUCGAGAUCAAAGUAAUAAGGUGCACAUUAGAAGUUUCAAGCGCAUAGGCAAUCGUUCGUUGCCUCAUACGAAACGUGAAAGGGGUUCAGAGCAAUAGGAAUAAGUAUUGCGUCUGAUACCAGAAUAGAUUACUAGGCAGGUGGCCCGUAAAUUACAUACGAAGUCAAGCUCGAGGAAUAACUUUGGCAAUAAGGUCUUAAAGAGAGUCAGGUUUCGAUCUUGUGGAACUGUGGGUUAUGGGCCCACCAUGUGGGUUUAAGAUUAGAAAGGGGGUUGACAUCUUGCGCGGUCACGAUAGCAAGGCAUGUCAGAGGGUAGCCUGCCAGCUAUGUUGGCAACAACGUUGGUACCAAGGGCGAGGGACGAAGAGAACCAUUCUCCUGCUCAUUGAACGAGGCGGACCAAUAGGCAAGGUUCUCGUACAUCGAUGGCUACCGGAAUGUCAUCAACAAUAGUAACAGGGUCUUAUUUACAGAGUAGUACACCGAGGUGUUUACAUAAGCAGUGAAUUAUUACUACUUAGAUCAUAUAGAUCACAAGAAAGAUUAAACAAAAUAAUGGAAAGGAAAAGGUGAUCAUCAGAUUAAACAGAACAAUGGAAAGGAAAAUGUGUUCAAACACAUAUUUCAAGGGUAUAUCCUUCCCAAGGACAAGCUGAGCAUGAUAUCCAUGACAGGAUAUAACGUAGAAAACUCUUUAGGUAGGGGAGAGAAAUUUCAUGACAUUACCCAUACAACGGUGUUUGGAUAAUUGAGCAAGAAUCAUUUAGCAUUGGAAUUCAAAUGUUAUUGUUAAAAAAAUCGAAGUACCACAGACAUGCUUCGAGAUAGCAUUGACAUGGUCUUCAAGCAAAGGUUGGACUUGGAUAUACAAAGGAUUCAUCAGGAACAACUUAUAGAAUAAGUCUUACAAUUUCCUCAUGGAAGAAUGGUUAACCUUGCUAAAAUGGAAACUAUAACAAUAGGGCCUCCGGCCAGGUGUGCUAGUCACGACAUCACCUUACGGGUCACAUAAAGACCAACGUUAUGACUUUUGGAAAAUGUCCCAACCAUCAUAUCUGACCGAGAUACAGUUCGGAUUGAUGUCAGGAUACCUGAGAAGAAAAGGUGCAACAUAAAUUGACGAGACGACAUUGUAAGAUUCUCGGUAAAUGAACUAUGGAAGCAAGUUCCAAAUCAUGAGUUCAUUAUUAAAUCAAGGAGAGAAUGAGGAGGUGGCUGAUGAACUCAGCGACAAUUUAUCGAGAUUUCCAAAAGAAGGAUUUCCACAAUUAUGUGAACAAGGAGAUAGCUUUUGUCUGUUCAAAUGAUAUAAUGAGGUAUGCUCGAGGAAACAUACACGAUUAAACAUUGGUUGACGGUGCACCCGAAAUACGGACUUGGGUAGCACAAACAAAGUUAGAAUGGCGAUUCAAUAACCAAUGGUCUAAGAAUGAAAUGUUGACCAUUAACUUCAAAGCAAUAAGGUUGCUAGAAGUUUUAAAAUUACUAGUCCAUCUGUCGGUAUUCCUGUUAGGAACAACACGGGGACCAAGAAAGGAAUGGUGAUGGUGAAGUAUCACUUAUAUCAAGAAUUCUCAAGAGGUGUAGAAAUUCGCACAACAUCCUUGACAAAAAGGCAGUAAUACUUGAAGGUACAUCAUAAUACGAGCUGGAUAGCAAGUUGUAUCCAUAACAUGAACAUGUUUGUGAUGAAAGGAAGGUAAGGAUGUUGUUGAUGGUAACUCAAAUUACCAAGGAACGAGGAUGGCACUUAUCAUCAAGAAUUCCAUUGAUAUCCCGGAAGGAGUCAAAAUGUUGAUGAUGAUCACGACAAUUUGUUGUCGAGAGGAUCCACGAAAAAGCAAUUGAACAGCGACUGCAUCAAGCAAAAGGACUGAUGCAACAAAAGAUUAUUGGAGCCACAGAUACGACACAAACUCGAAAUCAAGCUUGCUGUUUUUAAGGCGAAAUUAUAUAAGGAGGAAGAUCGACGUAAGAUUAGCUCAUCGUCAAAAAUUGUGCUCCGGAAAGAAGGACCAGGUAGCACGGUUAAAAUUUAGCACAAUAAUGAUAUAGCCGAUCAGGCUAGGAAUGACUUGAAGGAUUAUUAUACUCAUAAGCAACAAAGAUUACUUAGAGUUAUCGAACCAGAGUGCGGAAUCGGUUCACUUACCGUUGUUCUUGAGCGACUAACAACUCAGAACCCAUGAAAAAAUUGGAAUCAGUGAGAAAUAAUAGCUGAUGAAGACGCAUAAGAUGCAACACAGUUCUUAGAUAUUCUCGAGAUACUAGGGUGUAAUACUCGAUGGUAGAUCAAAGUAAAGGUUGGACACGUGAAAUGAUCUGCAGAAGACAAGUACUUCACCUUGUCUGAGAAAUGGAAUCAAAGGAGAUCAAUCAUGGUCGGAGCCACGAUUGCAAAAGGAUCAAUUCACAGAUACCAGAUGAUAUCAUAGGGAAUAAUUAUUAUUACAAGAAGCUUGCAUGAUAAGUUCCACAUCGGGUCCAUGGGCAUGAACGCAAAGGUUCAAGGUCGACUCCCACUUCUUCAAUACACAACUUCUCAUUUACUGCUCCCAGUUAGGAAUGUUUAGAGUUUGAAAGUUUAACUGGCGGAAUACCAGAAGGUCAUGACCCAUGAAGACUUUGGGGUUCACACAAAUUAAGGAAGGUAUAUGUUCAACCCAUCGGGGCAUCUUAGAAACAGAUACCACAAACUUCGGAGUAAAUAGUACAAUCUCAAAAGUAGAGUAUGGCUAUCAAAGCAGAGGAUACAAAUCGCCAAAAGCAUUAUAUAACAGGGAAAGAACUUCUCGAGGUUUUUGUAUACGAAGGACACUGUCGGAUGAUAUUUCAACAAAGGAUCCGACAGUCCAUAGCGAAGCUGAUGUGAGUAUCGACACACAACCAGAGGAAGAAACAAUGCGAAGGCAUUGGAUUAUAGAAGCAACUGGCUAAUUCAAAGCUCACAUGUAAAGGAAUUAUGAUUUCCAAAUCAAAGGAUCAGAAGCAAAUGCUCUGAUUAAGGAUGGAUAAGUUGAGAAAGCUUAGGGGUAAAAUCGACAACAAUUUUAUUGGUCGAGAUUCAGCUCAUGUUUAAAAUGACGUCUGAGCCGAAAGGAUGAAUUCUAGGAUCUGAUUGAGGAUUCCGAGCAUUCGCAACAUAUUGAAUCAAUGGACUCAAAAUGAUAGUGACAAAGGCUGCCAAUAAGAUUACUAUACUUAUGGGAUUAACCUUUAUGCAAGCGAGCAAGAAUUUCAAGAGCAAUAAGCUGCUAAGGAUUUUCGGAAGAUCGAAUAUUAUUUUGAAGACCUUAGUGAAACACAUAAACAACUAGGGAUGGGUGGAUACUCGGUAAGUGUGAGGAAUUAUUCAUACAUGUAUUCAUGAGGAAAAAGAGCUGCAAGGCAACAGACACAAAGGAUUCUCGGAAUAUCCGAAGUAUUUCAGGGUAUCUUGUAAUAACAAGAACAAUUGGAAAUGAAGUUAAGGACGACAAGUGUAUGUAGCUUCCCAUAGGGAUUUAUCGGUGGUAUGGAAUUGCAACGGCGAAGGGCACAAGGGUCUCGGGGAAACAUCGGAGAGUAUCUUCAAAAUUUUCUAGUGCAGGCGGCGAUCAUCUGGACCGAAGGGGCUCUCCGGGAGAAAGUGUUUUCGAGAACCUAAAGUUAGAUUUUAGAAAAUCAUUUAACCCGAAUAGAAGAGAGAUCAGAAUCCCAGAGUAUAGACGAGGAAUAAAAGAUCCUACUACCACCCAAAGGCGAUGUGGGCCCGUAAGCCACACAGCCAUGUUAGUAAAAGUUUUUCAAUGACUAGACUCAACUUCGGCCAAGGAGUUGGGAAGCGGGAUUCCUACAGGCAGUCGGCUCUGAUACCAAGUUGUGACGCCCCGAUUCAAUCGUACACUAGUCAUACACGCAAACGUGUAUGAUCAAGAUCAGGGACUCACGGGAAGAUAUCACAACACAACUCUAAAAAUGAAAUAAGUCAUACAAGCAUCAUAAUACAAGCCAGGGGCCUCGAGGGCUCGAAUACAAGUGCUCGAUCAUGGACGAGUCAGCGGAAGCAACAAUAUCUGAGUACAGACAUAAGUUAAACAAGUUUGCCUUAAGAAGGCUAGCACAAACUGGGAUACAGAUCGAAAGAGGCGCAGGCCUCCUGCCUGGGAUCCUCCUAAACUAAUCCUAGUCAUCGUCAGUAGCCUGCACGUAGUAGUAGGCACCUCCAGUGUAGUAAGAGUCAUCGUCGACGGUGGCGUCUGGCUCCUGGGCUCCAGCAUCUGGUUGCGGCAACCAGGUAGAAUGGAAAGGGGGAAAAGAGGGAGAAAAGCAACCUUGAGUACUCAUCCAAAGUACUCGCAAGCAAGGAUCUACACUACAUAUGCAUAGGUAUCUGUGUAAAGGGGCAACAUCGAUGGAUUGAACUGCAGAAUGCCAGAAUAAGAGGGGGAUAGCUACUCCUGUCGAAGACUACGCUUCUGGCAGCCUCCAUCUUGCAGCAUGUAGAAGAGAGUAGAUGGUAAGUUCACCAAGUAUCAACGUAUAGCAUUAUCCUACCCGGCGAUCCUCCCCUCGUCGCCCUGUGUGAGAGCGAUCACCGGGUUAUAUCUGGCACUUGGAAGGGUGUAUUUUAUUAAGUAUCCAAUUCGAGUUGUCAUAAGGUCAAGGUACAACUCCGGGUCGCCUGUUACCGAUGACACGGCUAUUCGAAUAGAUCAACUUCCCUGCAGGGGUGCACCACAUUACCCGACACGCUCGAUCCCUCUGGCCGGGCACACUUUCCUGGGUCAUGUCCGGCCUCGGGAGAUCAACACGUCGCAGCCCCACCUAGGAUCAACAAAGAGGUCAGCACGCCGGUCUAAAUCCUAUGCGCGAGGGGUCUUGGCCCAUCGCCCAUUGCACACAUGCACGUUGCGUACGCGGCCGGAAGCAGACCUAGCCCCCUUAAUACAAGCGCGAGCUUACGGUCCAAUGCGGCGCGCGCCGCUCAGUCGCUGACGACAAAAACAGCUUCGGCUGAUACCACGACGCCGGUUGCCCAUAUCUUGUCCCACGUGGCGGUUAGUGCGUAUCAGGUCAACGACCCAACUCAGAUCAAAUACCAAGAUCUCGUUAAGCGUGUUAUUAUGAAGUAACCACGCACGCCGACCAGGGCCAGGCCCACCUCUCUCCUAGGUGGUCUCAACCUGCCCUGUCGCUCCGCCACAUAGUAACAGUCGGGGGCCGUCGGGAACCCAGACCCACCUCUACCGGGAUGGAGCCACCUGCCCCUUCAGCCCCCAUCUCAGAACAGUAUCAUAAGUAAUGUAACAGUAUAAAGUAUAUAGCAUAUGCCCGUGAUCACCUCCCGAAGUGAUCACGGCCCAGUAGUAUAGCAUGGCAGACGGACAAGAGUGUAGGGCCACUAAUGGAAUACUAGCAUCCUAUACUAAGCAUUAGGAUAGCAGGUAAAGGUAACAACUGUAGCAACAAUGACAGGCUAUGCAGCAGAAUAGGAUUAACCGAAAGCAGUAACAUGCUACACUACUCUAAUCCAAGCAAUAGAGAGAAGGAAUAGGCGAUAUCUGGUGAUCAAGGGGGGGUCUUGCCUGGUUCCUCUGGCAAGGAGGGGUCGUCAACAACGUAGUCGAUCGGGCACCAGCAACGGCGUUAGUCUCGUAGUCUACCAGAGAGAAGAGGGGGAAGAAACAAUAAAUACGGAGCAAACAAAGCAUCACAAAACAUAACGAGCUACUACGCGGUGCCAGGGGUGAUCUAACGCAGGGAUAGGUGAUACCGGCGAAGGGAGGAAACAUCCGGGAUAGUAUUCCCGGUGUUUUGCGUUUUCGGACAAAUGAACCGGAGGGGGAAAGUUGUGUGUUCACUAUGCUAGGGAUGUGUGGCGGACGAACGGGCUACGUAUUUGGAUUCGUCUCGUCGUUCUGAGCAACUUUCAUGUACAAAGUAUUUUCAUCCGACUUAUAGAUUAUUUUAUAUGAUUUUUAAAAGUUUUUAAACAUUUUCUGAAAUUCCUGGAAUUAAAUUAAUUCGAAAAUAAAUUAAAUGCUAAAUGCUAUGGGUACACAGAAGUGUACCCAGAGAUGUGCAUGUGUGGCUGACAAGGGGGCCCAGUUGACUGGGUCAACUGCCCAGUCGGUAGAGGCUGACUGGUGGGGCCAGGGGGCUGAGUCAGCAGUCAAUAAUUUGACUAUUGACUAGUCAAAUCUGACCAAUAGGUCCCAUUGUCAGUGACUGUUAUACACAAAACAGGUUUAAUUAAUCUGGGUAAAUAGCUAGGGGCCCACUUGUCAUUCCCUGUUAGCUUAAGUAAAUUAGUUAGUUACUUUAAUUAAUUAAGUGGGCCCAAAGGUCAGUGUCACAUGGGUGGAUUAGGGAGGUUAGCUUAGGCCUAACCAUCGUGGUUAGCGCCGGGACCCACAGGGAGUGGCCCAGCCGGCCAGUUUAAACAACGCACGCGCGGCGACGAGGCCCGACGCGGCGGCGGUGGUGGGAAUAUGGCCUCCGGCGACCCUUUGGACUGCGGAGUGGCUCGUUCGAUCCGGAGGAGCAAGGUGCGUGCAACAACGGCCUAGCUUCGAGCGGGGGAGUGGGCUACCACGGCGAUAGCGACGGCGUGCAGCGGCAAGGCAACAGGCGAGCCGACGCGGUGGUGCUCGCGCGGGGACAGAGGGGAGAGGGAGCCGGCGCGGGACGAGGAGACCCGGCGUGACGGGCGUGCAGCGCGUGCAGGGAGCACGGUGAGAGCGAGGCUCGGACGGGCACGGCGGCAGAUCUGCCAGGGAGGAAGAGGGGAAGGGAAGGGGGCCUCACAGAGCCCUGUAGUUGAGCGAGGCGUGCUCGAGGAGGAGGACGAGGAGGCGACGACGACGGUGGGCGGCUCCGGCGAAGCAGUGGCAGGACGAGGCGGCGACGGUGUGCGGCGGAGCGGUCCGGCGAGGGGCGCUGGCGUGGUGGCGACAGGAAUCGGCGGUGUGACGCAGCGUGGCUUGGGGAGGCUGUCCAAGGCAAGGUGAGGAGGGGGCGGUCAGCGUCGGGACGAGGGCGGCACCGGGCGGCGGUGUCGGGCCCUCCCGAUCCAGAUCCAGCGAGAGAGGGGGGGAGGGGAACGAGAGAGAGACGUGGGGGCGAGUGGGGAGUGGGCUAGGGAUCGGUUAGAUGAGAGGGGGGUUAAGCGGGGCAGUGGGAGAGGCCGGCUGGGCCAGGUGGGCCGGUUGGCCACCUGGGCCAGUUGGACCAAAGGGGUGCUUCUCUCUUUUCCUUUUCUUUUGUCUUUGUUUUUAUUUAUUAUUCUCUCUUCUCUGUUUUCUAUUAUAGUUCAUUUACUUUUAGUUUUAUAAAAUACCAAGUUAGCACCCAAAUUAGUAUCAUUAAUAUAAGCCACUGCCAAACUUAGUUUGGACCCAAAGUAAAUUAGUUUAAUAUUGCUAUAAUUUAAAAAGCUAUUACAUUAUUAUUUUAGCCACUGUUCUAACUAGUUUAGGGCAUUUAACACUUUACAAAAAUUUGGUUUCUCCGCCAUAAUUACUAACGAAUUAUUAGUCACAUCCAGAACAUUUUGAUUUUAAUAUUUGAAAACUUUUAUUAUUUAACUUGAAUUUGAAUUUUGAAUCUGAACGGGGUUGAAUCAUCGCGAGAUUAACAACGGUAAUCAUGGUGACGUGGCAUUGUUAGCAGAGAUUACUGUAGCUUAAAUAUCCGUGCGUCACAUUACCACCCAUUGUGUUGUCACGGAAUACACAGAGGAUAUAUUGGUGAAGAGCUGGAGAGCCGCUGAGCCACUGUCGGUUGCGAAAAUAGAGUAACCCAUCAGAGACACAAAACCUCUGCUUUGGGUCUGGCCACCGUGAGAAUUCAGAGAGCGGCUUUCGACAUUGGCCAUCUUUUGCAUAACCGGCACGGAUGUCCUCAACAUAAAGUAGGAUGGCAGACUAAGAUUGCCAUGGCUUGGUUUGGAGUGUGCAGACAACAGGACCUGGCAUCUGCUCACUGUUGGUGGUGCCCUGGCGGUAGCAAAUUUUAUAUCUCAUUGAGUAACUUUGUGAAAGCUUUGUGUUGCCAGACCAUUGACGGCAAUUGAUCAUUUAUAUGCACAAGACUGCGUUAAUUAGCGCGAAUCAAGGACUCAUCAUGGUGAAGAUAGGGGCGCCACUGUUCUAUGGCCAUCGGAAUAGCGAGGCGUUCUUUCUUGUAAGUGGUCACACCUCUGUUCUUUAUUCCUAGGGGAUGAGACGAACACGCACUCACACACAUACACAAACAGUUAUAGCUUUCUAAGCAGUAAAUGACAAGCAUCAUCAUCCAGAUAUCACCCCAAAGUCAUCGAAAUGAGAUUACUUAUGGCAACAGCAAUACGGGUAGGGGUGUGCUCACAAUAGCUCCUGAGGUAGUCGUAGUCUUUGCUUACGCAGAAGUUUUGGCACUUGCGCUUGUCAUAAUCAUGCACCGGUCUCUUGCAUUCCCACAUAGAUUCACAGUAUGUGUCAGGAUCCGUGUCUGCAUGCGCACGCACACACACAAAAUGGACGAAUAAUUACUACGUGUGUGUUCCAUGUGAAAGAAAGAAUGGAAGAAUGAAGCAUCAUGUAGUAAGACAUACUACUCUACAUAUCCUUGGCGUUGCAGGACAGGGAGGCCGACAUGACCAGAAGAGCUACAGCCAAGCACAAAAACUGCGUGUUGUUCCUGGCAUGUGCCAUGGCGAAUGACUCGCUAGCUAAUUAAUCCAUCCUUCUAGACGGUGUUGUCUUUUUGGUCGAUGGAUGCUUUGUGUGUUUUAUUCGAUUUUUUUGUUAUUUUCUUUGCGUUUUUUAAAUGUGUGAAAUUCUUUUCAAAAUUGAUGUAUUUUUUUCAAUUUUCUUGCUUUUUAAAAAAAUCGAUAAAGUUUUUUCAAAUUUAUGAACCUUUUUUGUCAAUUUGUGAACAUUUUUAGAAAAAUUGAUGAACUUAUUUCCAAAUUCGAUGAACUUCUUAAAAUUUGAUGAACUUUUCUGAAAAUUCAUGUACAGUUUUUAAUUGAAUUUUUGAUUUUUUACCAAAAAAACAUUUUUAUUUUUUUAAGUCAAUGGUUGACCGGUCAACCAUGACUAGUCAGCUGCGAACCCAAUGACCAGUCAACAACCGAGCCAGCGAGCACGUGUUUGGGUCGAGCCCAAGAGUGUUGCUGCGUGCACCACCUCGGUGAAGGGGCGCGUGAAGCGCCGUCUAGGAGCUCCCGUGCCCUUCGGCCGCUGCCCCCUCUUUCACUCAAUUAAGUACAGGCCAACACUUUAGGCUUUGCUCUAGGCUUUUUCUGUCGUCCAUGGCCGAGCAAGCCGAGGCUACUUUUGGUGCUUUCUUCUUCUUUCCGGCUCUGCACUGAGUCACGGUGGUUGUGACAGAAACUACUCAUCUUUAUUCUUUCUUUUUUGCGGGGAAAUCAUCUUUAUUCCACGGACAGUCAUGAUGAAAUGCUUUGGUUAUUAUAAUGGGAUGGGACGAACACACACACAAACAGAUAUAGCUUUCUAAGUAGCACAUGACAAGCAUCAUCAUCCAGAUAUCAUCCCAAAGUUAUCAAAUUGAGAUUACUAAAGGCAACAGCAAUACGGGUAGGGGUGCUGCUCACAAUAGCUCCUAAGGUAGUCGUAGCUUUUGCUUACGCAGAAGUUUCAGCACUUGCACUGCUCAUAAUCAUGCACCGGUCUCUUGCAUUCCCACAUACUUCCUCCAUUCCUAAAUAUAAGUCUUUGAAGAGGUUCCACUAUGAACCACAUACGGAUGUAUGUAGAUGCAUUUUAGAGUGUAGAUUCAUUCAUUUUGCUCCGUAUGUAGUCCAUAGUGAAAUCUCUACAAAGACUUAUAUUUAGGAACGGAGGGAGUAGAUUCACAGUAUGUGUCAGGAUUCGUGUCUGCAUGCGCACGCACGCACAGAAUGGACGAAUAAUUACUACGUGUGUGUUCCAUGUGAAAGAAAGAAUGGAAGAAUGAAGCAUCACGUAUUAAGAAAUACUACUCUACAUACCCUUGGCGAUGCAGGAGAGGGAGACCGACAUGACGAGAAGAGACUGCCAAGCACAGAAACUGUGUGUUGUUCGUGGCAUGUGCCAAUGACUAGCUAGCUAAUUCAUCCUCUUCUUCUAGACGGUAUUUGUCUUUUUGGUCGAUGGAUGCUUUGUGUGCUUAAUUCAGUUUUUCUUGUUAUUUUCUUUCCGUUCUUUCAAUGUGUGAAAUUCUUUUCAAAAUCGAUGUAUUUUUUUAUUUUUGCGCUUUUUAAAAACAUAUCUCCAUAAAAAUUUAUGAGCUUUUUUGUAAAUUUGUGAACUUUUUUAGAAAACAAAGAACUUCUUGAAAUUUGAUAAACUUUAUUGAAAAUUCAGUGCAUUUUUUAAUUCAUGGUUUUUUAUUUUUUUACAAAAAAACGUUUUAAAUUUUUUUAAGUCAAUGGUUGCCCGGUCAACCGUGACCAGUCAGCAGUGAACACAACGACUAGUCAAUAACCGAAGCAACCUGACGGAGUCAGGAGUGUGUGUUUGGGUCAGGCCCAAGAGUGUGGCUGUGUGCGCCACCUCGGCGAAGGGGCGCCAGAAGCGUCGUCUAGGAGCUCCCGCGCCCUUCGGCUGCUGCCCUCUGUUUCUUAGUUUAAGUACAGGCCAACACUUUAGGCUUUGGUUUGGGAUUUUUCUGUCGCAAUUCCAUCAUCCACGGCCCAGCAAGCCCAGGCUACUUCUGGUGCUUUCUUCUUCUUUCCUGCUCUGCACUGAGUCAUGGUGGUUGUGAUAGAAACUACUCUUUUUUUAGGGGUCAUCUUUAUUCCACGAACAAUCAUGAUGAAAUGCUUUGGUUAUUACAGUGGGAUGAGACCAACACACACACACACAAACAGCUAUAGCUUUCUAAGUAGCACAUAACAAACAUCAUCAUCCAAAUAUCACCUCAAAGUCAUCGAAGAGAUUACUUAUGGCACUCAGUUUUGCUCCGUUUGCGAGCUGUAAGACCUUUAUGAUGAUACUUUCUGGAUUUUUAAUAAAAGGCCCGCAUGCAUCAUCAUGAUGCAGAGGCCGGGGGUAUACCUCCAUUUCCAAAAAAACAACAAUACGGGUAGGAGUGGUGCUCACAAUAGCUCCUGAGGUAGUCGUAGCCUUUGCUUACGCAGAAGUUUCGGCACUUGUGCUGGUCAUAACCAUGCACCGGUCUCUUGCAUUCCCACAUAGAUUCAUGGUAUAUGUCAGGAUUUGUGUCUGCAUGCACACGCACACACGCACAAAAAGGACGAACAAUUAAUACGUGUGUUCCAUGUGAAAGAAAGAAUGAAGCAUCACGUAGUAGAAAUAGUACUCUACAUACCCUUGGCGUUGCAGGAUAAGGGAGGCCGGCAUGACUAGAAGAGCUACGGCCAAGCACAGAAACUGCGUGUUGUUCCUGGCAUGUGCCAUGGCGAAUGACUGGCUAGUUAAUUAAUCCUCUUCUUCUGGACGGUGUUGUCUUUUGGUCCAUGGAUGCUUUUAAUGUUUUAUUCGAAUUUUUUUAUUAUUUUCUUUGCCUUCUUUAAAUGUGUGAAAUUAUUUUCAAAAUCAAUGUAUUUUUUUAUUUUUGCGCCUUUUUGAAAAAUGAUGAACCUUUUUAAAUUUAUGAUUUUUUUGGAAAUGUGUGAACUCCUAAAAAACGAUGAACUUCAAAUUUGAUGAACUUUUUGAAAAUUCAUGUACAUUUUUAAUUCAUGAUUUUUUUUAUUUUUUUACCAAAAAAUGAUUUAAUUUUUUAAAGUCAAUGGUUGACCGGUCAAGCUUGACCAGUCAGCAGCGAACCCAACGACCAGUCAACAACCGAACCGACCUGACUGAGCCAGCGAGCGUGUGUUUGGAUCGGGCCCAAGAGUGUGGCUGCGUGCUCCACCUCGGCGAAGGGGCGCCUGAAGCGUCGUCUAGGAGCUCCCGCGCCCUUCGGCUGAUGCCCUCUCUUCCACUCAAUUUACAUACGGGCCAACACUUUAGGCUUUGGUCUGGGCUUUUUUCUGUCGCCAUCCCGUCGUCCACGGCUUAGCAAGCCCAGGCUACUUCUCGUGCUUUCUUCUUCUUUCAAGUUCUGCACUGAGUCACGGUGGGUGUGACAGAAACUACUCAUAUUUAUUCUUCCUUUUUUGCGGGGAAAUCAUGUUUAUUCCACGAACAGUAAUGAUGAACUGCUUUGGUUAUUACAAUGGGAUGAGAUGAACACACACACACACAAACAGCUACAGCUUCUGUAAGUAGCACAUGACAAGCAUCAUCAUCCAGAUAUCACCCAAAGUCAUCGAAUUGAGAUUACUUAUGGUAGGGGUGGUGCUCACAAUAGCUCCUGAGGUAGUCGUAGCCCAUGCUUACGCAGAAUUUUCGGCACUUGCGCUGGUCAUAAUCAUGAACUGGUCUGUUGCAUUCCCACAUAGAUUGACAGUAUAUGUUAGUUUCCGUGUUGUUCCUUGCACAAUAUACUUUGUUGCAGUUGCGCAUGCCAUAAUCAUCCAUCGGUCUCUUGCAUUUCGACACAGAUUCACUGUAUGUGUUAGGAUCUGUGUCUGCAUGCGCACACGCACGCAAAGAAGGGACAAACAAUUAGUACGUGGCUGUUUGGUAUGAAAGAAACAAUGGAAGAAUGAAGCAUCACGUAGUAAGAAAUACUACUCUACAUACCCUUGGCGUUGCAGGUCAAGGAGGCCAACGUGACUAGAAGAGCUACGGCCAAGCACAGAAAUUGCGUGUUGUUCCUAGCAUGUGCCAUGGUGAAUGACUGGCUUACCUAAUUAAUCCUCUUGUUCUAGACGGUGUUGUCUUUUUGGUCGAUGGAUGCUUUGUGUGUUGUGUGAUGGUGUUCGUAUAAUUAUAUAUAUACGCGUGAGCUAGCGGUUCUUUGGCCAAGGGAGAGGUUAAUCAAUUCGUAUCAUAUCUUCUGGUCGUACACUAAUGCACGAGUGCCAUCUAUGGUUGGCGUUGCAUUAAUGUUUGUUUAUCGCUAGGUAAAUGUCCUUGCGUUGGCACCGAAAAACAAAGAUAUAGAUAUUUAUCAAUAAUUAAAGAGUCAUCAAUCCUACUAUGAUACACACACAUAUUAUAUAAUAUGUAAUGUCUGAUAUGUGCUGCCAUCAAAUAUUUGUAGAGAUUAAUUAGAGAUUGACCGAUUCCUUCUCAUAUAAAUGUUAUCAUCUAUAGUUGGUGUUACAUUAAUGUUUGUUGAUCACUAGGUGAGUGUCCUUACGUUGCCACGGAAAAACAAAGAUAUAAAUAUUUAUUAGUAAUUAAAGAGUCAUUAAUUCUAAUAUAAUACACGCACAUAUAUAAUAUGUAAGGCCUGAUAUGUGGUGCCAUCAAAUCUUCUUUACUCUUAACGGGGAGUUGGUAGCCUCGCCUCACUUCUCAUAAAUCCAUUAUCAAAUCAUAUAUUACGCCCGCGAGCGUUUUACAUGCAAUCUUUCUCUCAACCGCAACCGAUUUUGGCCGGCCAUUUGACGUGUCCAUUAACUCAAUGAAGCCGGCACUUCGCCAAAACAACAUCGUACAUUAAUUCGAUCAAUCAAAUCAGUACCUACCAAAACAACUGUGUGCGUGUUUUUAUUUCCAAAUCAAAUCACUCUUUACCAAAUCAAAUCACUAUUUACCAAAAAAAUCACUACUUUUAUUUUAGGGGUAAAUCAAAUCACUACUCGACUAUACCCCCUCCGUUUCAUAAUAUAAAAAUGUUUUUCAAGCUAACAUAGCUUUAAAAAACAUUUUUAUAUUAUAGGACAGAGGGAGUAGUUUUUAUCAACUAUUCAAAGUUGAUUGGCCCAUUCACUCAGGUAGAGAUUUUCGCCUAUCCACCCCACUGAAAAUCUACACAAGACGGGUAAAAAAUCUACACAAGAAAAAAAUACGCCGUCGUGAAUCCAACUCAAAUCUAGAUCCACUCCUCCCUCAAACGAGGUUCCUAAGAGCAUCUCCAACAGAUGCGCUUAAUAAGCCGCGCGCUGGAAAAAACGCCUAUUUGGCGCACGAAAGAUAAAAAACAGCACUCCAGCAUAAGCUGUAAAAUAGAGCGCGCACAAAAACAAAGGUGUAAGAGCAUCUCCAACAAGUGCGAGAUUUUAGCGCCGCGCUGGAAAAUUUAACUUUUUUGCACGCGCAGCCGUUCCGGGCACUACAACGGACGUGCAAAAAACGUGUGUGCGGUAUAGUUAGUUCAGCGCGCGGAGAAAAACGGCAUCGCGCGCCGCUUAUUUCGUGCGCCUUCUCCCACGUGCUGGACACUCGAGCACCCGCGCCGCACUGACGCCACCCUCUCCUCUCCGGCCGUCCCACCUUCGCACCGCCCCGCGCCGCCGCCGGCGAAAUUCGCCCGAUGGAUGGCCGCGCCGACAUCCCCCGAACCCCUCCCUACACCCACGACCCCUCCGCCGCCGCCGGCACAAACCUUAGCGCGGGGCUAAGCUUCGGCUUCGCCUCCGUCGGCCCUCCUCCAAGCACCAGUCUCGUGCGCGGCCUUUUCAUGGCGCCACGGACUCGGCGGGUGGCGGCGCGCCGACGCCCGCAGUGAAGCCACGUGGCCCCCUCUCGAAGCGACCAAAUGCGGCGACGAAGGCGGGCAAGGUGUCCGGGAAGAAGAACAAAGCGACGGACGGCUCUUCUUGGCGGCCGAAGAAGAAACUUGCAGGGCGUGUGACAGAUGCAGCGUCGAUCGAAGCGCCGGCGAGCUCGCUUGUUGCGCCGGCAGCCGAUGCGCACAAGGUGUUUGAUGAAAUUCCCACAAGGUAUGAUUUUUCGUCGUUGUUUUUUACAUGAAUGGAUACAUAUGGAUAGCUUAGUUUUCUUGUACAUACUUUGUAGUUUCAAUGAUGAGACAUAUAUGUCAACUAUGGACGGCAUGGGAGGCAUGGGUGCCUUCGGAGCUACCAUGGGAGGCAUGGGUGCCUUCGGAGCUACCAUGGGAGGCAUGGGAGGCAUGAGUUUUGGGUCUCUCAUGGGAGGCAUGGGAGCACCUCCGGGUGACAUGGGUGGACGCAUGUCUUCCGGUGUGCCUCACAUACCUUCGCAUGAUGUCCUUGGAGAUCUUGCGAACACCUUCCGAGCUCCCCAUGAUGAUGCGACAUGCGACAAUGAAGAGGAGGAGGAAAAAUCGUCUUCGGAUGAGGAUGAAGAAUCGGAGGUAGAGGAGGACGAUGUUGAUAUGGCAUGAUUGUUGAUGUGUCGUUUGUUUGUGUGAACUUUUAUGUGUCAUGAACUUGGUUGGGUGAUUUUGAACUUGGUUGGAUGAUGAUGUGGCAUGAUUGUUGAUGUGUCGUGCAAUUGAACUAUACUAUGUCUUUAUUUUGCACAUUUGUUUAAUGUUUGAAACAUCAUCAUAUUAUCAAAAUGGACAUGUAAAAAUCUUAUUUGCAAGCGCCGGCUGCUCGCGCGCGCUGUAAGUUAGCGCGCCUGCUGGAGCUGCUCGCGCGCGCCAUAUUUUGCAGCGGCCGCUGCAGCCAGCGCUCUGCCGUGCGCAAAAAUUCGCUAUUUCUGUGCUGUAAAAAGGUUUUAGCGCGCCGCACGGUUGCGCGCCUGUUGGAGAUGCUCUAACUUUAGCGCACGCGGGCUGCGGGGCUGCAAAUUUGGGGUGCGGGCUGCUGCAUGUGGGGCCGCCUGGUUGGGCGCCGUUUUUUUGUGCGUCUGAUAAACUUCUCGCGCGCAAAAACACUAUUUCAGCAAUGUAAAACUGUUUUAACGCGUCGCUCGGGUUGGAGAUGCUCUAAGGCGUGGUUCUGGGAUGACGCCGCCAUCGCGGAAGCAGUGUCGAUCCCCUCUCCUCUCAUCUCAAGCGCUCGAUUCCCCUCGCGCAUUAGGGUUCCUCCAAAGGGAGGUUGCGGCGCUCGAUUCCUCCUCCCCUGCUCAUGACUUCCUCACCGGUCACUGCUCCUUCACCAACCGCCGUUGUAGAUGAUAUUUUCGUCCUUCCGAAUUGCAGCACCUCCACCUUCCAUCCUCUCGGCCGUCACUACAGGGUGCCACCUUGUUCCCACAGUUGCUGACGACAGGAAGGAGGAGGAGAGGUAGUGGUCUAGGCGGGGAGGCUAAUGGCAAAGUGAAUCACGAAGAUGUGACCUGCGACCAUGAUUUGUCUCCCAUGUUUGGUACAGGGAACAUCCUGUGACCACGCCGCUGUCCCCCGUGCUCUACCUAUGUCAGCUUCCCACGACCGCGCCUCUACUCCCUGCAUAACAAGUACACUGCGCCUGGCAGGCUCAUGUCCGACGCCCUGCCAUGGGAAUGACCGGGGGAGCGAGCUUCACCUGCGGCAGCGGCCACAACGGCAAAGCCUUCACUUGGUACGUCUGCUGCCCUUCUGCCUCGGACAGCCAUGCCGGUGAGCUCCUCCAAACCUCGCGCCUCCCAUGCUCGUAUCUACCCCCUCUCUAUACCGCGCGUCGGCCACUGACGCUAGGUGCACAUGGGCAAAAACGACAAAAUUGACCUAUGGACGAAAACAAUCCACAAUCUGACCUAGUUCAAAAAAAUUCACUCAGCUGACCCUUUUGUGUGGCGCCCAACACACAGGCACCACACCCUACGGUGCAGCGCCUAGCCCUCAGGCGCUGCACUUCAGGCCAGCGUGGCACCCCCUGGCCACGCACCCAGCAGUGCAGCACCUCCGAGCUGGGCGCUACACUUGACACGUGCAGCGCCUGACAGCUAGGCGCCACACUUGUUAUGUGCAGCGCCUGACAGCUAGGCGCCACGCUUGUUAUGUGCAGCGCCUAGCUCUUAGGCGAUGCACAUCAUGUUACUAGUUGGCAUGCUGCCCCCCUCCCCACUCCCCACACACACACCCAACCCCAACCCCACCCCCACCCGUGUUGUGCCCUCUCUCCCCCUCUCAAACCCUUCUCCAAAUCUUCCAAAUUUGAAUAUUUUGUCCGUGGAUUUCGAACCCAAUCCCUCCCUCAAGGUAAUCUCCUCCGAUCCCUUGUUUUCAUCCCAAAAAAUGCUCACAUUUGCUCAUUUUUUGCUAGUUUGGGGAAACCCGAGGUUUCUAUGGAUCUUGAAAUUUGUAUGGAGAUAUGGCUUCUUAGUAUGUUAGGGUUCGGGUUAUGGGUGUUGUUAUGUUGGUGCCAGGGUUGGGCUUGUUAGUAUGUUAGGGUUAGGGUUAUGGGUGUUUUUAUGUUAUGGAUAUGGGCUUUUGUGCUAGGCGUCACACAUAUGUCAACAUGCAGAAACUGACAAGCUCCUGUGCAGUUUCAUUAUGACAUUCUCAUGAACUAAUAUGAUAAAACUUAAGCAAUUAGGAUCAACUAAAACAUCCGUUCAACUUAAAGAAAGUCAAGAACUUCAACACUGCUACAAGUUCAACGAUAUAACAAGUUCAACAAAACCUAGAAGUUCAACAACACAGUAAGUUCGACAUAAGAAAACGACAACUAAUCGAGUUACAUAAGAAAAAGGAGGACGAUGACUAGUUCCUUUCCUCAGUUGCAUAUGAGUGGGCACCGCAUAUAUAAUGAAGUACAAACAAACAGCUCCGUACAUGUCUAUAUAACUAAGCCAGUGCCGCCGAACCCCAACUCCAUUUGCUAUUGAAGACGGUUAAUGCCUUCAUCCAUAUCCAUGGAGCAUUCUUGCAUGUGCCGUCAGCAAAUAGAGUCUUGGAGAUAAUGUACCACAUGUACACACGAGCAUAUGUCUGGGCCUCUUCAUUGAUAGCAUCCUCGGGGCAAUACCCAAAGUGGAAUGCAAUCCAGGUGAAAGGAGCACCGACUGUGACUCUUUCCUUCUUCUUGUCUCCUUCUGGUACUGGAGGCUCUGGAGGAGACAUACCAAUAAGGGCCUCCAUCUGCUGGCGCCACCCAUCAGAAUCGGUGCUCAUACACAGAGGAUUCCCCUCGAUAGGGAGACCGGCGAUCAUAGUGAGCAUCACCGUCAUCUCCUCGGUAUGAAGAUGGAAAUUGUGUGUCUUCGUCCUCCACCGAUCAACAAGCGUGGUGAUUUCUGCAGCACUGAGGCUCUACAUCGACCAGCUGACCAGCUGAAUGAUCGGAAGGAGUCAUGUCUCCCUUAUGUACAGUGUGUACCGCUCAUCAUAGCGCAUCCCACCAAGGAUGACCCCGUGAGACCAAAUCUUUAGAGGAUGAAGCUCCUACAAACAAGCAAAUCAUAAUAUUACAUAUGGGGCACGUGUGUUUGAAAUAAACACAAAAUUCAUAAUACCGGCCACUUUGAUUAUUACCCGCUGCUCCACCAACAUAAAGUAGGCCCGGCGUAGAGUGUCAUAAUGAUCAUCGAGAAGCCAAACCAUCCUAAAAAUUUCAAACAAUAAACAUAAGUUAGCUAACUACCAUACAUCCUAAUCAAAACAUGCCAACAAUAAUCACAAAAGACAUGCCAACAAUCGGUACAAACUAAAAGGAAAUUGAAUAAUAAUAAUGUAAUAUCUACAAUCAAAGCAUGCCAACAAUCAUCACAAAAAAAUAUGUUUUGAAACAAUAUAGGGUUCUAUAAUGGUUUCAUCUAAAAAACAUCUCAACAUGUAGGGUUCCGCACACAUGUAGGGUUCCGCAAACAAAUUUAGGAUAUCAUCUAAAUCAUCUAUAAAAACAUCAACACAAACAUCUAGACAUGUAUAAGGUACAUCUCAACAAUCUAGGUUUUCAACAUGGAAGCAUGUAUUUUCAAUACAAAUCAACUAAAUUAGGGUUACAAAAUGAUUACAAAUCAUCUACAAAUCCUAAAUCCCACCAAUAUAUUUCAAAAUAUAUGUGCAAGAUUCUAAUCCAAUCAAACAAAGGUUCCACAAAUCUUCAAAAUAUGUAAGAUUUUCUGGAUAGAAAGAAGGGGAUCGGAGGAGAGUACCUUCUAGGAUGGACUGCUGAAGAAAUCCACCGACCAAAUCAUCAUAUCUGAAGAAUUUGGGAGAGGGGAUUGAGAGGGGGAGAGGAGAAAGCCGCCGCUGCGCUCUAUUCUAGAACUGCAAGGGAAUGGGGUGGGUGGGGGAAGGGCCAGCGCGCGGCGGCUACUAAUUCAUAGUGCAGCGCCUAAGAGCUAGGCGAUGCACAUAACGUGUGUGGCGCUGAUGUCUACUACGCAACCUUCUUCUUGUAGACGUUGUUGGGCUUCCAAGUGCAGAGGUUUGUAGGACAGUAGCAAAUUUCCCUCAAGUGGAUGACCUAAGGUUUAUCAAUCCAUGGGAGGCGUAGGUUGAAGAUGGUCUCUCUCAAGCAACCCUGCAACCAAAUAAAAAAGAGUCUCUUGUGUCCCCAACACACCCAAUACAAUGGUAAAUUGUAUAGGUGCACUAGUUCGGCGAAGAGAUGGUGAUACAAGUGCAAUAUGGAUGGUAGAUAUAGGUUUUUGUAAUCUGAAAAUAUAAAAACAGCAAGGUAGCAAGCGAUAAAAGUGAGCGUAAACGGUAUUGCAAUGCUAGGAAACAAGGCCUAGGGUUCAUACUUUCACUAGUGCAAGUUCUCUCAACAAUAAUAACAUAAUUGGAUCAUAUAACUAUCCCUCAACAUGCAACAAAGGGUCACUCCAAAGUAACUAAUAGCGGAGAACAAACGAAGAGAUUAUGGUAGGGUACAAAACCACCUCAAAGUUAUUCUUUCCGAUCAAUCCGUUGGGCUAUUCCUAUAAGUGUCACAAACAGCCCUAGAGUUCGUACUAGAAUAACACCUUAAGACACAAAUCAACCAAAACCCUAAUGUCACCUAGAUACUCCAAUGUCACCUCAAGUAUCCGUGGGUAUGAUUAUACGAUAUGCAUCACACAAUCUCACAUUCAUCUAUUCAACCAACACAAAGAACUUCAAAGAGUGCCCCAAAGUUUCUACCGGAGAAUCAAGACGAAAACGUGUGCCAACCCCUAUGCAUAGGUUCAUGGACGGAACCCGCAAGUUGAUCACCAAAACAUACAUCGAGUGGAUCACGUGAUAUCCCAUUGUCACCACAGAUAAGCAUGGCAAGACAUACAUCAAGUGUUCUCAAAUCCUUAAAGACUCAAUCUGAUAAGAUAACUUCAAAGGGAAAACUCAAUCCAUUACAAGAGAGUAGAGGAGGAGAAACAUCAUAAGAUCCAACUACAAUAGCAAAGCUCGCGAUACAUCAAGAUCGUACCACCUCAAGAACACGAGAGAGAGAGAGAGAGAGAGAGAGAGAGAGAGAGAUCAAACACAUAGCUACUGGUACAUACCCUCAGCCCCGAGGGUGAACUACUCCCUCCUCGUCAUGGAGAGCGCCGGGAUGAUGAAGAUGGCCACCGAUGAGGGAUCCCCCCUCCGGCAGGGUGCCGGAACAGGGUCCUGAUUGGUUUUCGGUGGCUACAGAGGCUUGCGGCGGCGGAACUCCUGAUCUAUUCUGUUCUCCGAAGGUUUUAGGGUAUAUGGAUAUAUAUAGGCGAAAGAAAUACGUCAGGGGAGCCACGAGGGGCCCACGAGGGUGGAGGUCGCGCCCAGGGGGAUUGGGCGCGCCCCUGCCUCGUGCCUCCCUCGUUGCUUUCCUGACGUGCACUCCAAGUCUCCCGGGUUGCUUUCUUUCCAAAAAUAACUUCUCCAGAAGGUUUCAUUCCGUUUCGACUCCGUUUGAUAUUCCUUUUCUUCGAAACACUGAAACAAGGGAAAAAACAGGAACUGGCACUGGGCUCUGGGUCAAUAGGUUAGUCCCAAAAGUAAUAUAAAAGUGUUUAAUAAAGCCCAUAAACAUCCAAGAUGGAUAAUAUAAUAGCAUGAAUACUUCAUAAAUUAUAGAUACGUUGGAGACGUAUCAGGCGCCUAGCUCUCAAGCGUUGCACGUGACAGGUGUGGCACCUAGUUCGGAGGCGUUGCACUGCUGGGUGAGGGGCCCGGGGGUGCCACGCUCGCCAGAAGUGCAGUGCCUGAGGACUAGGCGCUGCACAGUAGGGUGUGACGCCUGCAUGUCGGGCGCUACACAAAAGGGUUAGCUGAGUGAAUUUUUUUCGAACCAGUUCAGAUUGUGAAUUGUUUUCGUCAUAGGUCAAUUUUUCCAUGCACAUGUAUGUAUGUGUUGUUCAUAUCUCCCUGCAUCCAUCCCCAUGCAUCACGUGUGCACCUGGGCUCUGUCUACCUCGCAACUUCAUGCAUAUUCUGAUCGCAUGCAUAUGGGUGAGUUUGCAAUCGUGAUGGAGGAUGUAACUCAUGAACUAAUAUGACACAUAUUUCAUAUGGGUGAGUUUGCAAUCGUCAUGAAGAAUAUUUGCUUGGUGAAAAUGUGCCUUUGAGUGUAGUGAAUUUUUCCCAUAUGUAUUCUUGUUGUAUGGCACAAUAAACUUUUAUUGUAACUUCUACCGAUCCUUGACAACUGCAAAAUAUAUCCUCUCGAAGAACCUUGAUAUAUUUCACAUUAGCACAAAGCUAUUGUUGGAAGCACAGUAGACCUUAAUCCGAUAAAUGACAUCCCUUAUUUGGUUAUUGUUGUUGGACAUUUUUUUCUUAUUUAGUUAGCAUGCUCACGCUUACAGUUAGGCGGCAUCAAAGAUUUUUUAGUUCAUAUUAUAAGCUAUCACAUUGUGUCAUGUUAUGACUACUAAUCCAUGUGGUGAAUGGAGGCAUCUUUUUACUAUUCAGGUAUUAUGCUCUGUCAUACGCAUACCUCACUCUAUUUAUGAAAUUUUACCAUGCUUCUAUAUAUGUUGCAGAUUACGUAGUUUACAAUCGUAACUUCAUUUCAUUACUGAUUUGCCAAAGUUCUCAUCAUUAUCAGGAUAUCCAUUUUUGUUUACUUCAUUUAGCACACAGAGUGCAUAUUGCUCUCCAAGUUCAGUACUCUGAAUGGAACAAUAUGUGGUUCCGGGCCUGCACAUGUCAAUUUCCUAAUAGAGGUAUGUUUUGUUUUUCAUCAUUUAUGUUUCGCAACUUAGUUUUGGUAUGCUCUCUCAACCUGAGAAUAGUUUUCUUAUGGAGAUGGUACUUGAGAAUAGAUUAGUACAAUGAAGCCUUGGGUUGUAGGCCGAGCUCUUCUAGUGGCGCAACUACAUACUGCCCAUCGGCUCCGGCGGUGGUAGGUCAUGUUUGGCAUCUCCAGGACCUUUGUUAGCCUAUCCUAGAGGGCAGUCCGUGGUAGAUGCGGCGAGGGUGCAUGCGCCGGAGCAGAUGACUAAUUUGAUUUUAAGUUCAAUGUCAAUAAAAAGAGGUAUGAGAAUAACUUAUUGUACAACUUUGGUCAUUAGGAAAAGCUAAUUUACGGUUGGUUGCAUAUUGUUCUUAUGAUGAUGUGUUCUAUAUCAUUUGUAUUAAAUGGACCUCCCUUCCCAUUCAGGUUGUUUUCUUCAGCUACCUAGAGGAGCUCACUGAUAUUGUGGCAAUAAUCUAACCAUCAGUCCCGUUGAUUGAGUAUAGGUGUGUGCCUCGACCUCCACAUUAAAUGAAAAACCUUCCUAUUGUAUGUAGUUGAUCUACAUGUGUUUAUAAUCCAUAAGGGGAUAAGAAAGAUCAAUAAGAUAUUCUAUUGGUGAAUUCUUUAACUCUUGUCUUUUCCCCCCUUUUAGUUGGAGCAGCUACAAAAUGGACUUGAAAGGUUUAUGUAGAUUUAUCAGCCAACAAGCAUGGAUAAAGUACAACCAAGAAACACUGUAAUGCAUCCGCAGGCAGUUCCGUCCUUUAUGAUAUGUGACGAUUGAAAUCUUGCUUUUAUUUCCGGACUAAAUAUUUUCUUCUGGGCGUGGGUCUAUGAUACGUCUCCAACGUAUCUAUAAUUUUUUAUUGUUCCAUGCUGUUUUAUUAUCAACCUUGGAUAUUUUAUAAUCAUUUUAUAGUCAUUUUAUAUCAUUUUUUGGUACUAACCUAUCGACAUAGUGCCAAGUGCUAGUUGCAGUUUUCUGCAUGUUUUUUACAUCGCAGGAAAUCAAUAUCAGACGGAGUCCAAAUGCCACGAAACUUUACGAUGAUUUUUUAUGGACCAGAAGGAUGAAGUUGGGCCCUGGUAGCACCUGGAGGGAGUCCCGAGGAGGGGACAACCCAUCAGGGUGCGCCAGGAGGCCCAGGCGUGCCCUGGUGGGUUGUGCCCACCUCGGGUGCCCCCUGGACCGCCUCUUUGCUCUAUAAAUAACCCAAAAAUCCAGAAACCCUAGGGGAGUCGACGAAAUAUUCAUCCAGCCGCCGCAGAGUCCAGAACCACCAGAUCCAAUCUAGACACCAUCACGGAGGGGUUCACCACUUCCAUUGGUGCCUCUCCGAUGAUGCGUGAGUAGUUCUUUCUAGACCUUUGGGUUCAUAGUUAGUAACUAGAUGGCUUUCUCUUUCGCGCGAAUUCUCAAUACAAUGGUCUCUUGGAGAUCCAUAUGAUGUAACUCUUUUUGUGGUGUGUUUGUUGGGAUCUGAUGAACUUUGAGUUUAUGAUCAGUUAUAUCUUUUUAUAUCCAUGAAAGUAUUUGAGUUUCUUUGAUCUCUUUUAUGCAUGAUUUCUUAUAGCCUCGUAUUUCUUCUCCGAUAUUUGGGUUUUGUUUGGCCAACUUGAUCUAUUCUUUAUCUUGCAAUGGGGAGAGGUGUCCGGUAGUGGGUUCGAUCUUAUGGUGCUUGAUCCCAGUGACAGAAAGGGAACCGACACGUAUGUAUCGUUGCUACUAAGGAUAAAAAUAUGGGAUCUAUAUCUAACGCAAUAGAUAAACGGAUCUUGUCUACAUCAUGUCAUCGUUCUUAUUGCAUUACUCCGUUUUCCCAUGAACUUAAUACACUAGAUGCAUGUUGUAUAGCGGUCGAUGUGUGGAGUAAUAGUAGUAGAUGCAGGCAGGAGUCGGUCUACUAAUCUUGGACGUGAUGCCUAUGUAAUGAUCAUUGCCUGAAUAUCGUCAUAAUUAUUUGAGGUUCUAUCAAUUGCCCAACAGUAAUUUGUUCACCCACUGUUUGCUAUCUUUCUCGAGAGAAGCCACUAGUGAAACCUACAGCCCUCGGGACUUCUUUCUCAUAUAUUUGCCUUGCGAUCUACUUUUUCUUGUGUUUAUUUUCAGAUCUAUUAAACCAAAAAAUACAAAAAUACCUUGCUGCAAUUUAUUCUUAUUUAUUUUGUUUGGCGUGCGAUCUAUCAAAUUACUACAAAUUCCUCACGUCCGUUUUGCCUAUCUUGAGGCGCCGUACCCCGGAAGGGGUUGACAACCCCUUUAACACGUCGGGUUGCGAGAAGUUGUUCUUUGUGUGCAGGUGAUGUUUAUGUUGUGUUGCUUGGUUCUCCUACUGGUUCGAUAACCUUGGUUUCAUAUCUGAGGGAAAUACCUACCGCCGUUGUGCAGCAUCAUCCCUUCCUCUUUGGGGGAAAACCGACGUAGCUUCAAGCGACAUCAGUGUGCAUAUCACAGAGAGAAGCUUCUGGUGUAAGCAACCCGAUCUUCCUCCACAAGCUACAAGAGAAGCUUACAACGCAAGGUUCCCUAGUCAUCCUCAGUACGAUAUGUGGAUGACUUCCCGUCCAAGAUAACCAGCCUUCUUCAGUAAACUACUGCAGAAACCUUCCGGCAUGAGUCACCAAAUCUUCCUCGGUAAGAAACUAGGAGGAGAAGCUUCUAAAAUAAGAUACCCAGUCUUCUUCGGCAAGCUGCCCUGAUGAAAGCUUCGAGCAUAAGCUAUUCAGUUUUCUUCACCAAGAUACUCUUGAUAGCUUACAACACAAGCUAUCCAAUCUUCCUCAGUACAGAACUACAAACAGUUUAGCAACAAUGGUACAAGAUAUUACACAAUGAAUUGGCAGCGAAUCUCAAGAAUCAAGCAAACAACAGAUUGGUCAAAAACACGAGCUAGUCGAGACACAAGUCUGUCUCCUGAAUCAAAUGUUCAGCUACACAUACUUCCAUAUACAUUGUGAGCAUGCUGCUGAUACGCCUCCAUCGUAUCUACUUUUCCAAACAUUUUUGCUCUUCUUUUGGACUCUAAUUUGCAUGAUUUGAAUGAAACCAACCCUAACUGGCGUUGUUUUCAGCAGAACUACCAUGGUGUUAUUUUUGUGCAGAAAUAAAAGUUCUCGGAAUUGGACAAAACUUUUUGGAGAUUUUUUAUGGAAAAUAUAAAAAUAUUGGAACCAAGAUAUACUAGAGGGGGGCCACCUGCUGCCCAUGAGGCACCAGGGUGCGACCCCCCAGGGCACGCCUGGUGGCUUGUGGGGCCCAGCUCCGCUGACCCUAACCUCAGCACUAUAAAUUCAUUCCCCGAGAAAAAAUAAGAGAAAAAGUUUCAUCGCGUUUCACGAUACGGAGCCGGAUACCCCAAGGUGACAAUAAUUGGGAUUAUUUCCGGUGAUUACCGUAAUUUGAGGAGUUCAUGUAUUCACUAAGUGCUAAUGCUUAGUUCCGGUUCUCUAUUGAAAGGAGGCCUUAAUAUCCCUUAGUUUCCAAUAGCACCCCGCUGCCACGGGAGGGUAGGACAAAAGACGUCAUGCAAGUUCUUUUCCAUAAGCACGUAUGACUAUAUACGGAAUACAUGCCUACAUUACAUUGAUGAAUUGGAGAUAGUUCUGUGUCGCCCUAGGUUAUAACUAUUACAUGAUGAAUGUCAUCCAACAUAAUUAUCUAUCACCGAUACCAUGCCUAUGAGCUUUUCACCUAUUGAUUGUUGCUAAGUUACUACUGUUGCUGCUAUUGUUACAAUCACAACAAAACUGCUACUGCUGCUAUUACUGUUACUGCUGCUAUUGUUACCACUCCUAUCAAAACUAUCAUACUACUAUGCUACUGAUCACUUGUUGCAGAUAUUUAGUCUCUAGAUGUGGUUGAAUUGACAACUCAACUGCUAAUACUUGCAAAUAUUCUUUGGCUCCCCUUGUGUCGAAUCAAUAAAUUUGGGUUGAAUACUCUACCCUUGAAACCUGUUGCGAUCCCCUAUACUUGUGGGUUAUCAGCUGCCCAGGUCAGGCAAGUCACUCGUACGAGGAUGCAAUUCUGUUCAAGUUGAUCCACCGAAGGAAGUUGAGAAUCCAACAGCCACAUGAGUUAUGCAAGAAGAAGAAAGCCAGUAUACACCUUAGUGUGAUGCAAGGACCGACAAGGUAUGGAGUAAGACAGCAUUGGACAACAAUCUUGGCAGUUGUUAUCAAGGCCAGCUUACUCACUCACGACAAGGCGAUAUCAUUAACCCUUGUCACUAUCUGGUAUGAUUGCCGACAAAAAUGAGCUUUAUGCAUGUACAUGUGAACCUGGUGUAUUUCCUAUGACACGAUUCAUGAACAAGGAUAAGGUAUGAUUGCCGGAAUAUUGCCCCUGAUAGUACCUAUGAUCACACGCAGAAGUAAUAUGGCCAAGUUCUUUCGGCAAAAGCUUCAGAAAAAGAGGACAAUACUGAAGGAGCAAGACCGGCAACACCGGGAUGAUAAUUUUUGCAUAAACAACAUGGUACGGAUGCUCAAGACAGUCUUAUUCCGUAACAAUUACGAGGAACAUACGCCCAAGGGGUCUACUCUGUUUUGGUAAGGACCUCACAUCAAGGUAACCCGCUUGUCCAAAUUUGAAUGCCUAGAAUUGUCAGUCUGGAAUAUCCAAGUCUGUUAACUCAAAGAUUCCUUACCCAGCUCCACAGUUUGACUUCAGCGACCGUGUUAAAAUAUCGCACGGCCUACUACCCCAUGUGAGUAUACCGGCAGAAUGAGUAAUCAGAAUGAUGAAUAACAAGCUCACAUUAUGUGUCCUUACAUAUGGAAACCAGCGAAAAGAUAGCAUGUAAGGAACAAAAUUCUUCUGUCAGAACCCUCGUCUGUCAAGUCGGUGGAUACUAUCGUUAUAAGGUUGUACACCUUUAUGCUAGUCACAACAUUCGACAGUCAAAUCUUUGGUAUGGAUUUGAUACUCAAGACUAUGGAGCUAGCCAAGAUGAUUCAGAAAUCCCUGCGAGAAGUCAGAUUCCGUGAGGAGAACGGUUAUGAUUCCCAACACUAUUUUGAACCUGGAAGACGUGCACCUAUUUGAGAAACAUGAUGCAAGGAUUAAAAGGUUUCGUGUUCACCAAGAAAAUUGUUCACAACUCCAUUGGAUACUAUCAGUGCUGGAUAUAAGAAUGACAUGUCACUUGGAAAUCACUCCCACACUUAUGGAAAGAUGAUGUAUUCGAGUCAUGAUAAUAUAUCAGCCGACUCAGCAGACACAAAAGAAAUUGGAGUCAGUGUAAGGUUGAACAUAGGAGGUAAGACCUGUCAGAAGGAGGAUACGAUGAAGCAAACCACCCUAGAGCAAGGUAAACAGAUCUUAUGAAAUUCAGUGGGAACAUCAUAUAAUGGAAAAGGAUACCCGAGUUGGAAACGGUUUCCUUAAGUCAUAUUCAUACUUGUUCCCUAAGCUACCAAAUCUCAAGGACAAGAUUUUUCAUAAGGGGGUAGAGUUGUAACACCCCGAUUUUUGGCCCUUUCUUUUUCUUAUGCAUUUCCUUGAAUUUUGCUUUGGAUUCCUUUUGUGUGGCUCUGUGGUCUGGAAACCCGGGAAGAAUAUCUCUUCUUCAUUCCCCAAGUGGCUUGUCCUCCUCAAAUCCAUCCUAGAUCAUGUCAUUUCCAUCUUAGCCCAAACCCAAAUUCUUUUUCUUCGGGAUAUUCCUUUUUCUAUUAAAGGAAAAAUCCUUUUGCCCUAGGUUGUGAAGCAACCUACCUUUCUAUUAUUCCCAAAAUUCCCACAAAAUUCUCAAAAUUCCUUUGGACGAUAUGAACCUUGGAUAUGCAAAAAUAUUCAAGAUUCCAUGCUCAUGGUGAGCACACCAUCCAAUCUUUGAUUCUGGUCAUAUUUUUAGAUUGUGAAGCAACUAUAUUUUAUAUUUCUCAAUAAUUUCUAAAAACUUACCAGGACAUUCUCCUACCUUUAUAAUAUUCGUCAACAAAAUCUGAGCUCAUUUCAUUCAUCCAAUAAUUCUCAAGAAUUUUCCCAACAUUCUGUCCAGCAGGCAUCACUGUGAAGCAAGUACCAUUUUUAUUUAUCCAAAUGGUAUGAAAUUUUUACAGUGCCUUCAUAUGCCCAAAUAAUAACUCUCCACCAAAUUUCAGCCCAAUCCAACACUCCAUUUGAGUGUAGCAUCUAGACCUAGUUUCUGGACCAGAUUUGUAGUUGUGAAGUAACACCAUUCAAACUUGGUCCAAAUCAUCUCAAAUUUCACAGGAUUGUAGUCCUUCCUACCUUAAGCUUGUGUGACACCUUUUUACUCCAUUUAACCAUCCCAUUUUACUUCAGCUACUGGCCCAAGUUUGCUAUAGCAAACUUUAGUUGACCCAUCCCAUCACCCCAUGGUGUCUUUAGUCGAACCAUCACUUUAGAGAGACCCCAUUUUGGAAGGACCACAUGCUGGACAUGACCGACCAUGCUGAGUCACCAUACAUGCGUCAACGCAUGCGGUGACUAGGUGGUCUGGCAUGCCAAAAGUGUGCUCUACUCAUUUGGCCACGCCCCAAGUGUCGUUUAGCUUCGGCCCCUCCUCUGCUCGUCGAUCCCGCGCACCCCACCAUGUCCCAGAGCUCCGUGGCAGCCAUGUGCUCUCUCUGUAGCCUGCCCCCCUUCUCUUUCCUCCCCGACGUGCCACGGUGACCCAACUCGCGGCACUGUUCGGCCAUGGUAUCCGACCGAACUUUGCCCCUCCCGGGUCUGCCCUCCUAUGAUGCUCCACUAGCCCCCUCUCGUCGCCAUCAACCCCUCCUCGCGAGUCCAGGCAUCCACGGUGGUCCCUAGCCACGGCGCUGUCGCCCCAGCUAUAUAAGCUGUACCAAAGCCCCUCGAGCUCGCCAUCAUCUCCCUCUCAUUCCCAUAGCCCUCCCCGACCUCUUUAGCGAGCUCGAGGAGCUCUCAUUCCCUCCAAUGGCCGUCGUCUCCGCCGUCAGCCCCUUCCUAAAUUGGAGCCAUGGCGAGAUCCUCCCCUCCUUUUUUCCCUCCAGAGAGCUCCCUCGGUCAUGACGGAGCCCUGCUCCUCUUCCUCCUCGCCUAUUGCGGCCGUAGCACCGAGCCCAACACCGGCUGAUGCCGUCGUCCGUCGCGGACGAGGCUCUUCUCAUUCCCGAGCUUGCCAGUAAUCACGAAGCGUCCAGGCAGAUGCGCCUCCUCGCGCUGGUCGCUCCGGUGGUCUGAGCUCCGCCGAAGGUGGCCGAAGCUGCUGGGACGAGCGCCGGCGCGCGUUGCCCACCUCUGUCCCACAAGCAACGACUGGAGGAAGAAGAUGAGCACCCCCUACCUGUGAGACCCGUGGUCCCACUCGCUAGCCUCUGCGUGUUGACCACGCUGGCCCGCUGAAGUGGAUAAGUGGAGACGCAUUCUGCUUGUCUAUUUCUUCGUUUCCUAAAGACGUAUUCCUCUGCAGCUUCGGCGCAGAAUGCGCUUUCACUUUACUGAAGGCGUAUUUUAUGAAAGUGCCUUUUAGUUCCACCUCAUUGGCGGAAACCUCUAAUUUGCGGGCGUUCGUCCGUUAGCAGCAGAAAAGCUCACUUUUUAUUUGUUUUUCUGCCUAAAAAACGAACGACCGUAUCUCCGCAACCGUAACUCCAAAUCAAGUGAUUAAAAAGCCACAUUCUCUAUUUGUCGAGCCCGUUCUAUUGAUAUCAUUUUCACUAUGUUGUCGCAUACUAAAAAUGACCAUUUUUCCCUUGCCCUCUAAUCAGCUCCACUAGGAGAGAAACUUUUUCGGCGAAUAUUUCUGCAAGUUCACCGCACUGCUUCCCGAUGAUUCCUUCAUCCUGAGGCAAGCCAUGACAGCCACUUGCAUGAUGGCCUUUCAAUAGCCAUGGUUUCCACUUGAAAUUUUUGAAUAAUUGUGUGCUCAUUUACUUAUUAUGAAAAUGCUAUGUAUAUGCUUGUGGAUCCAUGCUAUUCCUUAUGCCAUGUUCAUUUGCAUCUAGUCAGUUAAAUGAUGAUGUGAUACUGUUAUUAUCAUAUUUAAUUCUUAUAAUUAAUCCUGAUGCUAGUGAUCAUGGUAUGCUUAUAUGAAUGGUUACUGUUUAACAUGAAAAUACUAGUAAGAUUCAUGAUCAUAUCUAUACCCUGCUCAUUUGCAUCCAGUAAAGUAAAUGAUUUGUUGUUGUUGAUGUUAUGAUUCAUAUGUCAAAUGAUUAUUAUGCCCAUCCAUGCAAAUGUUGAUUUCAUGCUCAUAUGCAUUGUCAUGUUAUUAUAUUUUGUUAUGACUCAGCUCAUCACCAUUCAAGUUAAACCUGAUAUUAAUCAAACUUGAACACCUGUUGGCUGAGUCAUGGUGCCACCGAAUCGAGCUCACUAGUGCAACCACACUUGCCUGGAUGGGGAGGCCCUAAUCCGGUCUAUUGUCAUGCCUCUCGCCGGUGCCUCCAACUAGGGAAGGUUAUGUGCACGCGCUACCCUUGCCCGGUAGGCGGCAAUAACCUUGUGAGCCUGCUACUUGUGAACCGCGUCAGUGAAUUCCCCGAAGAGGAGGGGAUGAUGCAGCAUAGCGAAGGUAAGUAUUUCCCUCAGUUAUGAAACCAAGGUUAUCAAUCCAGUAGGAGAACCAAGCAAGUUAUGUAGACGACACCUGCACACAAACAACAAAUACUCGCAACCCGAUGCGUAGAGGGGUUGUCAAUCCCUCUUGGGUAAAGUGAUAUGAUAAAUAGAUAGAUUGAUAGAUGCAAGUAGAAUAAAAGGAAAUAAAACUCAGCGAAAUAUUUUUGGGUUUUUUAUAAUAUAGAUCUGAAAUAAAAGAAGCAAAUAAAUUGGACAAGCAAGUAGCAAUAUAGAUAUGAAAGUAUACGAUGAGUAGCAGACCGAGGGGCCGUAGAUUUCACUAGUGGCUUCUCUCGAGAAAUAGCACACGGUGGGUAGACAAAUUACUAUUGGGCAAUUGAUAGAAAAGUGAAUAAUUAUGACGAUAUCCAAGACAAUGAUCAUAGGCAUCACGUCCAAGAUUACUAGACCGAAACGAUUCUGCAUCUACUACUAUUACUCCGCACAUCGACUGCUAUCCAGCAUGCAUCUAGUGUAUUAAGUUCAUGGAGAAACGGAGUAAUGCUUUAAGAACGAUGACAUGAUGUAGAUAAUAUCUAUUCAUUUAGGAAUAGACCUCAUCUUUUUAUCCUUAAUAGCAACAUACAUGCGUGUCAUGUCUCCUUCUGUCACUGAGAUUGAGCACCGCAAGAUCAAACCCAUUACAAAGCACCUCUUCCCAUUGCAAGAUAAAUCAAUCAAGUUGGCCAAACAAAACCGAAAUAUCAAAGAAGAAAUACGAGGCUAUGAUAAUCAAGUAUGGAUAUGAAUGCAAAUAGAUCUAAUCAUAAACUCACAAUUCAGCGGAUCCCAACAAACACACCGCAAAAGAGUUACAUCAAAUAGAUCUCCGAAGAGAACAUUGUAUUGAAGAUCAAAAAGAGAGAGAAAGCCAUAUAGCUACUGCCUACGGACCCGUAGGUCUGAGGUGAACUACUCACGCAUCAUCGGAGGAGCACCAAUGAGGAUGAUGAACUCCUCCGUGAUCAUGUUCCCCUCCGGCGGAGUGCCGGAAAAGGGCUCUAGAUUGGAUCUCAUGGCUCUGGAACUUGCAGCGGCUGAAACAAUUUUUCGUCGACUCCUCUAGGGUUUCAGGAAUAUUGUGGUAUUUAUAGAGUCAGAGGUCGAUGGAACGGAGUCCCAUGGGCUCCACUACCCACCAGGGAGCGCCAGGGGCCUGGGGCGCACCCUGGUGUCUAGUGGGCCCCAUGGGUCUCCCCUCGUGCGGUCCCUUGACUCCCUGGAUGUCUUCUAGUCCAAAAAAUCUCCAAAAAGUUUUGUUGCAUUUGGAGUCCGUUUGAUAUUGAUUUUCUGUGAACAAGCAAAAAAACAGCAACUACCACUGGGCACUAUGUCAAUAGGUUAGUCCCAAAAAAUGAUAUAAAGUUGCUAUAAAUGAUUAUAAAACAUCCAAGAAUGAUAAUAUAAUGGCAUGGGACAAUCAAAAAUUAUAGAUACGUUGGAGACGUAUCAGAGCCCAUGAUUGGUAUUGUGCACAUGUCCCCGUUUGGGACCGUUUUUGUUUUAUAACGACGGUGGCCGACCACGAAGGUGGCAGAUGUCCAGAGUGGGCAUCCAGGGCCGCCCAUGACAUAGCCCAAAAUGGAGUUUGUCGGAGUGGCCGGGAGAGUGUCAUGUAAUAGAUCGUUUUUGUCAGAAUGUCCUUGGUCCACCUGAAUAAGAGCACGAGGCCAUGAAUUUCGUGGUGUGGGUACAGUGUACUAACCUCUGCAGAGUGUAUAAUCUAUUGAUAGUCGUGCCCUCGGUCAUGGGCACAGUUCGUAGUAGGUCGCACUGUGGGUCAACAGUAAUAAUAAUCUGACUAAUAAACAACCCUACUUCGAUGAGGAGAGAAGUUGGUUGAUCUUUAUGUGGUCACGAGAAGAUCACGAUGGUAUUAUUGAUGAUGGUUGAUCAUGAGGUGAUCAUGUGAUGAUCACGACGGUAAGAAAGAUUGGCAUAUAUAUGGUGGUUACGAGAUAACCUCCGAGAAGAGUAAGUUGGUCCAAGAGACCUUAAACAUCGACCCCCUCACAUGCAUUAUCCUCAAGUUCAUAUCAUGAGUAACAUGUUCAUGCCAUGCUCAUCUCAUAUUGUUCUAGCGGUAUCAUGCUCAUCAUUGUUUAACCAAUAUAUGCCAUGUUGUUGUUUUUCUUGAUUGCUUUGGUUGUUGUGAGCUUGCGAGUACAUUCAGAGUACUCACCUGGCAUGUCAUGCCAUGAUUGCUUGCUUGUCGAGGAUCCCAAGUUUCGCACAAGGAUGCGUUCCAGCCAGAGUCCCCGCGGAGUGGAGUUCAUCACCAUUGUCGUUGUUCCGCUACUACGAGUUGUCCCAUUGCUAGCAUCGAGCUACCUUAGCAGGCGUAGUGUCGCCAUGCCGAUAUAAUCCUUUGUAGUAUCAGAACCUUUGUACCCAUAUCAUUUGUAAUAAAGAGCUGAUUUGUUUUGUGCCAAGUAGUGCCAUAUUCCAAAAGACUUGAUCUCUGGGCUAGAAUAUGGGGUGUUCUGGUUCCUCUGAGCCGGGGUGCCACAUAAUUAGUGUUAUCCCACUCUAGGCCCAUGAAUCUAUGGUUGAAGUGACGAAUAUGAGCUGGCCUGGUGAUGACAUCGUCUUCUCCCUGAUUCGUCCGCUUGUCUGCCAGUGCAACACGAUCUGCUACCAUGGCAACACUUUUGCCUUUGGUUGCUAUGGCAGUUGUUUCGUUGCUCGCCUCGAUAUCUUUAGUCGAGACUCUGACAUUCCCUCCUCCUUUACUUGAGGCUUGCCCCAAGCCGGCAGAUGAGGAAAGCGAGACUGAAGAGAAACAACAUCCUCCCAACUAGCGUCCAUCACUGCAGAAUCAGACCAAUGUACCAGUAGUUGCUCUCGGCGCCCAGCGGGUGUUUGGCGCCAUCAGGUUUGAAUAAUCUACACUAGAGCAAGACCAGUCGUCGAGGGUACUGGCAGGGUUGUGGAAGCAGAUCUACCCAAAGAGAGAGCUUGACACAUUUGAGAGACAUGAAAAUGGGUUGGAUCUUCGAACCUGGAGGAAGGCUGAGCUCAUAUGCGACUUGGUUGAUAGCACGCAACACCUUGAAAAGCCCAAAGUACUUGAAUGACAGCUUAUGGUUGGCAUUGUUGUUAACUAAACUUUGCACAUACAAUUGCAGUUUAAUGUAUACUUCAUCUCUAGAUUUAAGGAGUGAUGAGUGUGUUUCUUAUCCGACUGUACAUUCAUGAUGUGACGAGCUUGGUGUAGAUAUUGUUUCAACACUUGUUGCAUGGUUUUUCUUUCUUCGAGCCAUUCUUUCAGGACAGGAAUCUUACAAGUAGACACGGCUUCAAUGCCUCAAUGGCACGGUUUGUGGCCAUAUAGGGCAUGGAACGGUGACAUGUCCAGGGCAGAGUGAUAGCUCGAGAUGUACCAAAACUCAGCCAGUGGAAGGAAUUGACUCGAGUGAUUUGUGCGGGCAUGGAUAAAACAACGCAAAUAGAUUUCCAAGCAUUGGUUGACACACUCAGACUGACCGUCCAUUUUCGGGUGCUAUGCAGCAGAAUAGGAUUAACCAAAAGCAGUAACAUGCUACACUACUUCAAUGCAAGCAAUAGAGAGAAGGAAUAGGCGAUAUCUGGUGAUCAAGGGGGGGUCUUGCCUGGUUGCUCUGGCAAGGGGGGGUCGUCAUCAACGUAGUCGAUCGGGCACCAGCAACGGCGUCAGUCUCGUAGUCUACCGGAGAGAAGAGGGGGAAGAAACAAUAAAUACGGAGCAAACAAAGCAUCACAAAACAUAACGAGGUAAUACGCGGUGCCAGGGGUGAUCUAACGCAGGGAUAGGUGAUAUCGGCGAAGGGGGGAAACAUCCGGGAAAGUAUUCCCGGUGUUUCGCGUUUUCGGACAGAUGAACCGGAGGGGGAAAGUUGCGUGUUCACUAUGCUAGGGAUGUGUGGCGGACGAACGGGCUAAGUAUUUGGAUUCGUCUCGUCGUUCUGAGCAACUUUCAUGUACAAAGUAUUUUCAUCCGACUUAUAGAUUAUUUUAUAUGAUUUUUCAAAGUUUUUAAACAUUUUCUGAAAUUCCUGGAAUUAAAUUAAUUCGAAAAUAAAUUAAACGCUAAAUGCUAUGGGUACACAGAAGUGUACCCAGAGAUGUGCAUGUGUGGCUGACAAUGGGGCCCAGUUGACUGGGUCAACUGCCUAGUCGGCAGAGGCUGAUUGGUGGGGCCAGGGGGCUGAGUCAGCAGUCAAUAAUUUGACUAUUGACUAGUCAAAUCUGACCAAUAGGUCCCAUUGUCAGUGACUGUUAUACACAAAACAAGUUUAAUUAAUCUGGUUAAAUAGCUAGGGGCCCACUUGUCAUUCCUCGUUAGCUUAAGUAAAUUAGUUAGUUACGUUAAUUAAUUAAGUGGGCCCAGAGGUCAGUGUCACAUGGGUGGAUUACGGAGGUUACCUUAGGCCUAACCAUCGUGGUUAGCACCGGGACCCACAGGGAGUGGCCCAACCGGCCAGUUUAAACAGUGCACGUGCCGGCGACGAGGCCCGACGCAGCGGCGGUGGUGGGAAUAUGGCCUCCGGCGACCCUUUGGACCGCGGAGUGGCUCGUUCGAACCGGAGGAGCAACGCGCGUGCAACAACGGCCUAGGUUCGAGCAGGGGGAUGGGCUACCACGGCGAUAGCGACGGCGUGCAGCGGCAAGGCAACGGGCCAGCCGACGCGGUGGUGCUCGCGCGGGGACAGAGGGGAGAGGGAGCCGGCGCGGGACGAGGAGACGCGGCGUGACGGGCGUGCAGCGCGUGCAGGGAGCACGGUGAGAGCGAGGCUCGGACGGGCACGGCGGCGAUCUACCAGGGAGGAUGAGGGGAAGGGAAGGGGGCCUCACAGAGCCCUGUAGUUGAGCGACGCGUGCUCGAGGAGGACGAGGAGGCGAUGACGAUGGUGGGCGGCUCCGGCGAAGCAGUGGCAGGACGAGGCGGCGACGGUGUGCGGCGGAGCGGUCCGGCGAGGGGCACUGGCAUGGUGGCGACAGGAAUCGGCGGUGUGGCGCAGCGUGGCUUGGGGAGGCCGUCCAGCGCGAGGUGAGGAGGGGGCGGUCAGCGUCGGGACGAGGGCGGCACCGGGCCCUCCCGAUCCAGAUCCAGCGAGAGAGGGGGGAGGGGAACGAGAGAGAGACGUGGGGAGAGUGGGGAGUGGGCUAGGGUUCGGUUAGAUGGGAGGGGGUUAAGCAGGGCAGUGGGAGAGGCCGGCUGGGCCAGGUGGGCCGGUUGGCCACCUGGGCCAGUUGGACCAAAGGGGUGCUUCUCCCUUUUCCUUUUCUUUUGUCUUUGUUUUUUAUUUAUUAUUCUCUCUUCUUUGUUUUCUAUUAUAGUUCAUUUACGUUUAGUUUUAUAAAAUACCAAGUUAGCACCCAAAUUAGUAUCAUUAAUAUAAGCCACUGCCAAACUUAGUUUGGACCCAAAGUAAAUUAGUUUAAUAUUGCUAUAAUUUAAAAAUCUAUUAUAUUAUUAUUUUAGCCACUGUUCUAACUAGUUUAGGGCAUUUAACACUUUACAAAAAUUUGGUUUCUCCGCCAUAAUUACUAACGAAUUAUUAGUCACGUCCAGAAUAUUUUGGUUUUAAUAUUUGAAAACUUUUAUUGUUUACCUUGAAUUUGAAUUUGGAAUCCGAACGGGGUUGAAUCAUCGCGAGACUAACAACGGUAAUCAUGGUGACGUGGCAUUGUUAGCAGAGAUUACUGUAGCUUAAAUAUCCGGGUGUCACAAUUCUCCUCCACUACAAGAAAUCUCGUCCCGAGAUUUAAGAGGUAGAGUAGGGGGGAUUUUGGUUACGAAAUUCUAACGGAUCUUCUGGGCCUUGGUUGCUCUUCUCGAAGAGGUCGAUCCAUUACAUUGAUGCUUCAUUUCUCUGUUUCGGGUAAUUAUGAGGAAGUCGGCAUCCUUUCUUCGGGAACUCCUUCGUACUUACGAAUAGGAAAGGGGCAGCUUCAAAAGGACAGACCUCUACAAGGUUGCUUAUCUGGUAGAUAAUAUUAGGGAAGGUGGCAGAAAGUAACUCUCGACUUGAAACUUAAGAAAUUAUCGAGAUCAAAGUAAUAAGGUGCACAUUAGAAGUUUCAAGCGCAUAGGCAAUCGUUCGUUGCCUCAUACGAAACGUGAAAGGGGUUCAGAGCAAUAGGAAUAAGUAUUGCGUCUGAUACCAGAAUAGAUUACUAGGCAGGUGGCCCGUAAAUUACAUACGAAGUCAAGCUCGAGGAAUAACUUUGGCAAUAAGGUCUUAAAGAGAGUCAGGUUUCGAUCUUGUGGAACUGUGGGUUAUGGGCCCACCAUGUGGGUUAAGAUUAGAAAGGGGGUUGACAUCUUGCGCGGUCACGAUAGCAAGGCAUGUCAGAGGGUAGCCUGCCAGCUAUGUUGGCAACAACGUUGGUACCAAGGGCGAGGGACGAAGAGAACCAUUCUCCUGCUCAUUGAACGAGGCAGACCAAUAGGCAAGGUUCUCGUACAUCGAUGGCUACCGGAAUGUCAUCAACAAUAGUAACAGGGUCUUAUUUACAGAGUAGUACACCGAGGUGUUUACAUAAGCAGUGAAUUAUUACUGCUUAGAUCAUAUAGAUCACAAGAAAGAUUAAACAAAAUAAUGGAAAGGAAAAGGUGAUCAUCAUAUUAAACAGAACAAUGGAAAGGAAAAUGUGUUCAAACACAUAUUUCAAGGGUAUAUCCUUCCCAAGGACAAGCUGAGCAUGAUAUCCAUGACAGGAUAUAACGUAGAAAACUCUUUAGGUAGGGGAGAGAAAUUUCAUGACAUUACCCAUACAACGGUGUUUGGAUAAUUGAGCAAGAAUCAUUUAGCAUUGGAAUUCAAAUGUUAUUGUUAAAAAAAUCGAAGUACCACAGACAUGCUUCGAGAUAGCAUUGACAUGGUCUUCAAGCAAAGGUUGGACUUGGAUAUACAAAGGAUUCAUCAGGAACAACUUAUAGAAUAAGUCUUACAAUUUCCUCAUGGAAGAAUGGUUAACCUUGCUAAAAUGGAAACUAUAACAAUAGGGCCUCCGGCCAGGUGUGCUAGUCACGACAUCACCUUACGGGUCACAUAAAGACCAAAGUUACGACUUUUGGAAAAUGUCCCAACCAUCAUAUCUGACCGAGAUACAGUUCGGAUUGAUGUCAGGAUACCUGAGAAGAAAAGGUGCAACAUAAAUUGACGAGACGACAUUGUAAGAUUCUCGGUAAAUGAACUAUGGAAGCAAGUUCCGAAUCAUGAGUUCAUUAUUAAAUCAAGGAGAGAAUGAGGAGGUGGCUGAUGAACUCAGCGACAAUUUAUCGAGAUUUCCAAAAGAAGGAUUUCCACAAUUAUGUGAACAAGGAGAUAGCUUUUGUCUGUUCAAAUGAUAUAAUGAGGUAUGCUCGAGGAAACAUACACGAUUAAACAUUGGUUGACGGUGCACCCGAAAUACGGACUUGGGUAGCACAAACAAAGUUAGAAUGGCGAUUCAAUAACCAAUGGUCUAAGAAUGAAAUGUUGACCAUUAACUUCAAAGCAAUAAGGUUGCUAGAAGUUUUAAAAUUACUAGUCCAUCUGUCGGUAUUCCUGUUAGGAACAACACGGGGACCAAGAAAGGAAUGGUGAUGGUGAAGUAUCACUUAUAUCAAGAAUUCUCAAGAGGUGUAGAAAUUCUCACAACAUCCUUGACAAAAAGGCAGUAAUACUUCAAGGUACAUCAUAAUACGAGCUGGAUAGCAAGUUGCAUCCAUAACAUGAACAAGUUUGUGAUGAAAGGAAGGUAAGGAUGUUGUUGAUGGUAACUCAAAUUACCAAGGAACGAGGAUGGCACUUAUCAUCAAGAAUUCCAUUGAUAUCCCGGAAGGAGUCAAAAUGUUGAUGAUGAUCACGACAAUUUGUUGUCGAGAGGAUCCACGAAAAAGCAAUUGAACAGCGACUGCAUCAAGCAAAAGGACUGAUGCAACAAAAGAUUAUUGGAGCCACAGAUACGACACAAACUCGAAAUCAAGCUUGCUGUUUUUAAGGCGAAAUUAUAUAAGGAGGAAGAUCGACGUAAGAUUAGCUCAUCGUCAAAAAUUGUGCUCCGGAAAGAAGGACCAGGUAGCACGGUUAAAAUUUAGCACAAUAAUGAUAUAGCCGAUCAGGCUAGGAAUGACUUGAAGGAUUACUAUACUCAUAAGCAACAAAGAUUACUUAGAGUUAUCGAACCAGAGUGCGGAAUCGGUUCACUUACCGUUGUUCUUGAGCGACUAACAACUCAGAACCCAUGAAAAAAUUGGAAUCAGUGAGAAAUAAUAGCUGAUGAAGACGCAUAAGAUGCAACACAGUUCUUAGAUAUUCUCGAGAUACUAGGGUGUAAUACUCGAUGGUAGAUCAAAGUAAAGGUUGGACACGUGAAAUGAUCUGCAGAAGACAAGUACUUCACCUUGUCUGAGAAAUGGAAUCAAAGGAGAUCAAUCAUGGUCGGAGCCACGAUUGCAAAAGGAUCAAUUCACAGAUACCAGAUGAUAUCAUAGGGAAUAAUUAUUAUUACAAGAAGCUUGCAUGAUAAGUUCCACAUCGGGUCCAUGGUCAUGAACGCAAAGGUUCAAGGUCGACUCCCACUCCUUCAAUACACAACUUCUCAUUUACUGCUCCCAGUUAGGAAUGUUUAGAGUUUGAAAGUUUAACUGGCGGAAUACCAGAAGGUCAUGACCCAUGAAGACUUUUGGGUUCACACAAAUUAAGGAAGGUAUAUGUUCAACCCAUCGGGGCAUCUUAGAAACAGAUACCACAAACUUCGGAGUAAAUAGUACAAUCUCAAAAGUAGAGUAUGGCUAUCAAAGAAGAGGAUACAAAUUGCCAAAAGCAUUAUAUAACAGGGAAAGAACUUCUCGAGGUUUUUGUAUACGAAGGACACUGUCGGAUGAUAUUUCAACAAAGGAUCCGACGGUCCAUAGCGAAGCUGAUGUGAGUAUCGACACACAACCAGAGGAAGAAACAAUGCGAAGGCAUUGGAUUAUAGAAGCAACUGGCUAAUUCAAAGCUCACAUGUAAAGGAAUUAUGAUUUCCAAAUCAAAGGAUCAGAAGCAAAUGCUCUGAUUAAGGAUGGAUAAGUUGAGAAAGCUUAGGGGUAAAAUCGACAACAAUUUUAUUGGUCGAGAUUCAGCUCAUGUUUAAAAUGACGUCUGAGCCGAAAGGAUGAAUUCUAGGAUCUGUUUGAGGAUUGUGAGCAUUCGCAACAUAUUGAAUCAAUGGACUCAAAAUGAUAGUGACAGAGGCUGCCAAUAAGAUUACUAUACUUAUGGGAUUAACCUUUAUGCAAGCGAGCAAGAAUUUCAAGAGCAAUAAGCUGCUAAGGAUUUUCGGAAGAUCGAAUAUUAUUUUGAAGACCUUAGUGAAACACAUAAACAACUGGGGAUGGGCGGAUACUCGGUAAGUGUGAGGAAUUAUUCAUACAUGUAUUCAUGAGGAAAAAGAGCUGCAAGGCAACAGACACAAAGGAUUCUCAGAAUAUCCGAAGUAUUUCAGGGUAUCUUGUAAUAACAAGAACAAUUGGAAAUGAAGUUAAGGACGACAAGUGUAUGUAGCUUCCCAUAGGGAUUUAUCGGUGGUAUGGAAUUGCAACGGCGAAGGGCACAAGGGUCUCGGGGAAACAUCGGAGAGUAUCUUCAAAAUUUUCUAGUGCAGGCGGCGAUCAUCUGGACCGAAGGGGCUCUCCGGGAGAAAGUGUUUUCGAGAACCUAAAGUUAGAUUUUAGAAAAUCAUUUAACCCGAAUAGAAGAGAGAUCCGAAUCCCAGAGUAUAGACGAGGAAUUAAAGAUCCUACUACCACCCAAAGGCGACGUGGGCCCGUAAGCCACACAGCCAUGUUAGUAAAAGUUUUGCAAUGACUAGACUCAACUUCGGCCAAGGAGUUGGGAAGCGGGAUUCCUACAGGCAGUCGGCUCUGAUACCAACUUGUGACGCCUCGAUUCAAUCGUACACUAAUCAUACACGCAAACGUGUACGAUCAAGAUCAGGGACUCACGGGAAGAUAUCACAACACAACUCUAAAAAUGAAAUAAGUCAUACAAGCAUCAUAAUACAAGCCAGGGGCCUCGAGGGCUCGAAUACAAGUGCUCGAUCAUGGACGAGUCAGCGGAAGCAACAAUAUCUGAGUACAGACAUAAGUUAAACAAGUUUGCCUUAAGAAGGCUAGCACAAACUGGGAUACAGAUCGAAAGAGGCGCAGGCCUCCUGCCUGGGAUCCUCCUAAACUAAUCCUAGUCAUCGUCAGCAGCCUGCACGUAGUAGUAGGCACCUCCAGUGUAGUAAGAGUCAUCGUCGACGGUGGCGUCUGGCUCCUGGGCUCCAGCAUCUGGUUGCGGCAACCAGGUAGAAUGGAAAGGGGGAAAAGAGGGAGAAAAGCAGCCUUGAGUACUCAUCCAAAGUACUCGCAAGCAAGGAUCUACACUACAUAUGCAUGGGUAUCUGUGUAAAGGGGCAACAUCGAUGGAUUGAACUGCAGAAUACCAGAAUAAGAGGGGGAUAGCUACUCCUGUCGAAGACUACGCUUCUGGCAGCCUCCAUCUUGCAGCAUGUAGAAGAGAGUAGAUGGUAAGUUCACCAAGUAUCAACGUAUAGCAUAAUCCUACCCGGCAAUCCUCCCCUCGUCGCCCUGUGUGAGAGCGAUCACCGGGUUAUAUCUGGCACUUGGAAGGGUGUAUUUUAUUAAGUAUCCAAUUCUAGUUGUCAUAAGGUCAAGGUACAACUCCGGGUCGCCUGUUACCGAUGACACGGCUAUUCGAAUAGAUCAACUUCCCUGCAGGGGUGCACCACAUUACCCGACACGCUCGAUCCCUCUGGCCAGGCACACUUUCCUGGGUCAUGUCCGGCCUCGGGAGAUCAACACGUCGCAGCCCCACCUAGGAUCAACAAAGAGGUCAGCACGCCGGUCUAAAUCCUAUGCGCGAGGGGUCUUGGCCCAUCGCCCAUUGCACACAUGCACAUUGCGUACGCGGCCGGAAGCAGACCUAGCCCCCUUAAUACAAGCGCGAGCUUACGGUCCAAUGCGGCGCGCGCCGCUCAGUCGCUGACGACAAAAACAGCUUCGGCUGAUACCACGACGCCGGUUGCCCAUAUCUUGUCCCACGUGGCGGUUAGUGCGUAUAAGGUCAACGACCCAACUCAGAUCAAAUACCAAGAUCUCGUUAAGCGUGUUAUUAUGAAGUAACCACGCACGCCGACCAGGGCCAGGCCCACCUCUCUCCUAGGUGGUCUCAACCUGCCCUGUUGCUCCGCCACAUAGUAACAGUCGGGGGCCGUCGGGAACCCAGACCCACCUCUACCGGGAUGGAGCCACCUGCCCCUUCAGCCCCCAUCUCAGAACAGUAUCAUAAGUAAUGUAACAGUAUAAAGUAUAUAGCAUAUGCCCGUGAUCACCUCCCGAAGUGAUCACGGCCCAGUAGUAUAGCAUGGCAGACGGACAAGAGUGUAGGGCCACUGAUGGAAUACUAGCAUCCUAUACUAAGCAUUAGGAUAGCAGGUAAAGGUAACAACUGUAGCAACAAUGACAGGCUAUGCAGCAGAAUAGGAUUAACCGAAAGCAGUAACAUGCUACACUACUCUAAUCCAAGCAAUAGAUAGAAGGAAUAGGCGAUAUCUGGUGAUCAAGGGAGGGGUCUUGCCUGGUUCCUCUGGCAAGGAGGGGUCGUCAACAACGUAGUCGAUCGGGCACCAGCAACGGCGUUAGUCUCGUAGUCUACCAGAGAGAAGAGGGGGAAGAAACAAUAAAUACGGAGCAAACAAAGCAUCACAAAACAUAACGAGCUACUACGUGGUGCCAGGGGUGAUCUAACGCAGAGAUAGGUGAUACCGGCGAAGGGAGGAAACAUCCGGGAUAGUAUUCCCGGUGUUUCGCGUUUUCGGACAAAUGAACCGGAGGGGGAAAGUUGUGUGUUCACUAUGCUAGGGAUGUGUGGCGGACGAACGGGCUACGUAUUUGGAUUCGUCUCGUCGUUCUGAGCAACUUUCAUGUACAAAGUAUUUUCAUCCGACUUAUAGAUUAUUUUAUAUGAUUUUUAAAAGUUUUUAAACAUUUUCUGAAAUUCCUGGAAUUAAAUUAAGUCGAAAAUAAAUUAAACGCUAAAUGCAAUGGGUACACAGAAGUGUACCCAGAGAUGUGCAUGUGUGGCUAACAAGGGGGCCCAGUUGACUGGGUCAACUGCCCAGUCGGUAGAGGCUAACUGGUGGGGCCAGGGGGCUGAGUCAGCAGUCAAUAAUUUGACUAUUGACUAGUCAAAUCUGACCAAUAGGUCCCAUUGCCAGUGACUGUUAUACACAAAACAGGUUUAAUUAAUCUGAGUAAAUAGCUAGGGGCCCACUUGUCAUUCCCUGUUAGCUUAAGUAAAUUAGUUAGUUACUUUAAUUAAUUAAGUGGGCCCAAAGGUCAGUGUCACAUGGGUGGAUUAGGGAGGUUAGCUUAGGCCUAACCAUCGUGGUUAGCGCCGGGACCCACAGGGAGUGGCCCAACCGGCCAGUUUAAACAGCGCACGCGCGGCGACGAGGCCCGAUGCGGCGGCGGUGGUGGGAAUAUGGCCUCCGGCGACCCUUUGGACUGCGGAGUGGCUCGUUCGAACCGGAGGAGCAAGGCGCGUGCAACAACGGCCUAGCUUCGAGCGGGGGAGUGGGCUACCACGGCGAUAGCGACGGCGUGCAGCGGCAAGGCAACAGGCGAGCCGACGCGGUGGUGCUCGCGCGGGGACAGAGGGGAGAGGGAGCCGGCGCGGGACGAGGAGACCCGGCGUGACGGGCGUGCAGCGCGUGCAGGGAGCACGGUGAGAGCGAGGCUCGGACGGGCACGGCGGCAGAUCUACCAGGGAGGAAGAGGGGAAGGGAAGGGGGCCUCACAGAGCCCUGUAGUUGAGCGAGGCGUGCUCGAGGAGGAGGACGAGGAGGCGACGACGACGGUGGGCGGCUCCGGCGAAGCAGUGGCAGGACGAGGCGGCGACGGUGUGCGGCGGAGCGGUCCGGCGAGGGGCGCUGGCGUGGUGGCGACAGGAAUCGGCGGUGUGACGCAGCGUGGCUUGGGGAGGCUGUCCAAGGCAAGGUGAGGAGGGGGCGGUCAGCGUCGGGACGAGGGCGGCACCGGGCGGCGGUGUCGGGCCCUCCCGAUCCAGAUCCAGCGAGAGAGGGGGGAGGGGAACGAGAGAGAGACGUGGGGGCGAGUGGGGAGUGGGCUAGGGAUCGGUUAGAUGAGAGGGGGGUUAAGCGGGGCAGUGGGAGAGGCUGGCUGGGCCAGGUGGGCCGGUUGGCCACCUGGGCCAGUUGGACCAAAGGGGUGCUUCUCUCUUUUCCUUUUCUUUUGUCUUUGUUUUUAUUUAUUAUUCUCUCUUCUCUGUUUUCUAUUAUAGUUCAUUUACUUUUAGUUUUAUAAAAUACCAAGUUAGCACCCAAAUUAGUAUCAUUAAUAUAAGCUACUGCCAAACUUAGUUUGGACCCAAAGUAAAUUAGUUUAAUAUUGCUAUAAUUUAAAAAGCUAUUACAUUAUUAUUUUAGCCACUGUUCUAACUAGUUUAGGGCAUUUAACACUUUACAAAAUUUUGGUUUCUCCGCCAUAAUUACUAACGAAUUAUUAGUCACAUCCAGAACAUUUUGAUUUUAAUAUUUGAAAACUUUUAUUAUUUAACUUGAAUUUGAAUUUUGAAUCCGAACGGGGUUGAAUCAUCGCGAGAUUAACAACGGUAAUCAUGGUGACGUGGCAUUGUUAGCAGAGAUUACUGUAGCUUAAAUAUCCGUGCGUCACAUUACCACCCAUUGUGUUGUCACGCAAUACACAGAGGAUAUAUUGGUGAAGAGCUGGAGAGCCGCUGAGCCACUGUCGGUUGCGAAAAUAGAGUAACCCAUCAGAGACACAAAACCUCUGCUUUGGGUCUGGCCACCGUGAGAAUUCAGAGAGCGGCUUUCGACAUUGGCCAUCUUUUGCAUAACCGGCACGGAUGUCCUCAACAUAAAGUAGGAUGGCAGACUAAGAUGGCCAUGGCUUGGUUUGGAGUGUGCAGACAACAGGACCUGGCAUCUGCUCACUGUUGGUGGUGCCCUGGUGGUAGCAAAUUUUAUAUCUCAUUGAGUAACUUUGUGAAAGCUUUGUGUUGCUAGACCAUUGACGGCAAUUGAUCAUUUAUAUGCACAAGACUGCGUUAAUUAGCGCGAAUCAAGGACUCAUCAUGGUGAAGAUAGGGGCGCCACUGUUCUAUGGCCAUCGGAAUAGCGAGGCGUUCUUUCUUGUAAGUGGUCACACCUCUGUUCUUUAUUCCUAGGGGAUGAGACGAACACGCACUCACACACAUACACAAACAGUUAUAGCUUUCUAAGCAGUACAUGACAAGCAUCAUCAUCCAGAUAUCACCCCAAAGUCAUCGAAAUGAGAUUACUUAUGGCAACAGCAAUACGGGUAGGGGUGUGCUCACAAUAGCUCCUGAGGUAGUCGUAGUCUUUGCUUAAGCAGAAGUUUCGGCACUUGCGCUUGUCAUAAUCAUGCACCGGUCUCUUGCAUUCCCACAUAGAUUCACAGUAUGUGUCAGGAUCCGUGUCUGCAUGCGCACGCACACACGCACAAAAUGGACGAAUAAUUACUACGUGUGUGUUCCAUGUGAAAGAAAGAAUGGAAGAAUGAAGCAUCACGUAGUAAGACAUACUACUCUACAUAUCCUUGGCGUUGCAGGACAGGGAGGCCGACAUGACCAGAAGAGCUACAGCCAAGCACAAAAACUGCAUGUUGUUCCUGGCAUGUGCCAUGGCGAAUGACUCGCUAGCUAAUUAAUCCAUCCUUCUAGACGGUGUUGUCUUUUUGGUCGAUGGAUGCUUUGUGUGUUUUAUUCGAUUUUUUUGUUAUUUUCUUUGCGUUUUUUAAAUGUGUGAAAUUCUUUUCAAAAUUGAUGUAUUUUUUUUCAAUUUUCUUGCUUUUUAAAAAAAUCGAUAAAGUUUUUUCAAAUUUAUGAACCUUUUUUGUCAAUUUGUGAACAUUUUUAGAAAAAUUGAUGAACUUAUUUCCAAAUUCGAUGAACUUCUUAAAAUUUGAUGAACUUUUCUGAAAAUUCAUGUACAGUUUUUAAUUGAAUUUUUGAUUUUUUACAAAAAAAACAUUUUUAUUUUUUUAAGUCAAUGGUUGACCGGUCAACCAUGACUAGUCAGCUGCGAACCCAAUGACCAGUCAACAACCGAGCCAGCGAGCACGUGUUUGGGUCGAGCCCAAGAGUGUGGCUGCGUGCACCACCUCGGUGAAGGGGCGCGUGAAGCGCCGUCUAGGAGCUCCCGUGCCCUUCGGCCGCUGCCCCCUCUUUCACUCAAUUAAGUACAGGCCAACACUUUAGGCUUUGCUCUAGGCUUUUUCUGUCGUCCAUGGCCGAGCAAGCCGAGGCUACUUUUGGUGCUUUCUUCUUCUUUCCGGCUCUGCACUGAGUCACGGUGGUUGUGACAGAAACUACUCAUCUUUAUUCUUUCUUUUUUGCGGGGAAAUCAUCUUUAUUCCACAGACAGUCAUGAUGAAAUGCUUUGGUUAUUAUAAUGGGAUGGGACGAACACACACACAAACAGAUAUAGCUUUCUAAGUAGCACAUGACAAGCAUCAUCAUCCAGAUAUCAUCCCAAAGUUAUCAAAUUGAGAUUACUAAAGGCAACAGCAAUACGGGUAGGGGUGCUGCUCACAAUAGCUCCUAAGGUAGUCGUAGCUUUUGCUUACGCAGAAGUUUCAGCACUUGCACUGCUCAUAAUCAUGCACCGGUCUCUUGCAUUUCCACAUACUUCCUCCAUUCCUAAAUAUAAGUCUUUGGAGAGGUUCCACUAUGAACCACAUACGGAUGUAUGUAGAUGCAUUUUAGAGUGUAGAUUCAUUCAUUUUACUCCGUAUGUAGUCCAUAGUGAAAUCUCUACAAAGACUUAUAUUUAGGAACGGAGGGAGUAGAUUCACAGUAUGUGUCAGGAUUCGUGUCUGCAUGUGCACGCACGCACAGAAUGGACGAAUAAUUACUACGUGUGUGUUCCAUGUGAAAGAAAGAAUGGAAGAAUGAAGCAUCACGUAUUAAGAAAUACUACUCUACAUACCCUUGGCGAUGCAGGAGAGGGAGACCGACAUGACGAGAAGAGACUGCCAAGCACAGAAACUGUGUGUUGUUCGUGGCAUGUGCCAAUGACUAGCUAGCUAAUUCAUCCUCUUCUUCUAGACGGUAUUUGUCUUUUUGGUCGAUGGAUGCUUUGUGUGCUUAAUUCAGUUUUUCUUGUUAUUUUCUUUCCGUUCUUUCAAUGUGUGAAAUUCUUUUCAAAAUCGAUGUUUUUUUUAUUUUUGCGCUUUUUAAAAACAUAUCUCCAUAAAAAUUUAUGAGCUUUUUUGUAAAUUUGUGAACUUUUUUAAAAAACAAAGAACUUCUUGAAAUUUGAUAAACUUUAUUGAAAAUUCAGUGCAUUUUUUAAUUCAUGGUUUUUUUAUUUUUUACAAAAAAACGUUUUAAAUUUUUUGAAGUCAAUGGUUGCCCAGUCAACCGUGACCAGUCAGCAGUGAACACAACAACUAGUCAAUAACCGAAGCAACCUGACGGAGUCAGGAGUGUGUGUUUGGGUCAGGCCCAAGAGUGUGGCUGUGUGCGCCACCUCGGCGAAGGGGCGCCAGAAGCGUCGUCUAGGAGCUCCCGCGCCCUUCGGCUGCUGCCCUCUGUUUCUUAGUUUAAGUACAGGCCAACACUUUAGGCCUUGGUUUGGGAUUUUUCUGUCGCAAUUCCAUCAUCCACGGCCCAGCAAGCCCAGGCUACUUCUGGUGCUUUCUUCUUCUUUCCUGCUCUGCACUGAGUCAUGGUGGUUGUGAUAGAAACUACUCUUUUUUUAGGGGUCAUCUUUAUUCCACGAACAAUCAUGAUGAAAUGCUUUGGUUAUUACAGUGGGAUGAGACCAACACACACACACACAAACAGCUAUAGCUUUCUAAGUAGCACAUAACAAACAUCAUCAUCCAAAUAUCACCUCAAAGUCAUCGAAUUGAGAUUACUUAUGGCACUCAGUUUUGCUCCGUUUGCGAGCUGUAAGACCUUUAUGAUGAUACUUUCUGAAUUUUUAAUAAAAGGGCCGCAUGCAUCAUCAUGAUGCAGAGGCCGGGGGUAUACCUCCAUUUCCAAAAAAACAACAAUACGGGUAGGAGUGGUGCUCACAAUAGCUCCUGAGGUAGUCGUAGCCUUUGCUUACGCAGAAGUUUCGGCACUUGUGCUGGUCAUAACCAUGCACCGGUCUCUUGCAUUCCCACAUAGAUUCAUGGUAUAUGUCAGGAUUUGUGUCUGCAUGCACACGCACAAAAAGGACGAACAAUUAAUACGUGUGUUCCAUGUGAAAGAAAGAAUGAAGCAUCACGUAGUAGAAAUAGUACUCUACAUACCCUUGGCGUUGCAGGAUAAGCGAGGCCGGCAUGACUAGAAGAGCUACGGCCAAGCACAGAAACUGCGUGUUGUUCCUGGCAUGUGCCAUGGCGAAUGACUGGCUAGUUAAUUAAUCCUCUUCUUCUGGACGGUGUUGUCUUUUGGUCCAUGGAUGCUUUUAAUGUUUUAUUCGAAUUUUUUAUUAUUUUCUUUGCCUUCUUUAAAUGUGUGAAAUUAUUUUCAAAAUCAAUGUAUUUUUUUAUUUUUGCGCCUUUUUGAAAAAACGAUGAACCUUUUCAAAUUUAUGAUUUUUUUUGGAAAUGUGUGAACUCCUAAAAAACGAUGAACUUAAAAUUUGAUGAACUUUUUGAAAAUUCAUGUACAUUUUUAAUUCAUGAUUUUUUUAUUUUUUUACCAAAAAAUGAUUUAUUUUUUAAAGUCAAUGGUUGACCGGUCAAGCUUGACCAGUCAGCAGCGAACCCAACGACCAGUCAACAACCGAACCGACCUGACUGAGCCAGCGAGCGUGUGUUUGGAUCGGGCCCAAGAGUGUGGCUGCGUGCUCCACCUCGGCGAAGGGGCGCCUUAAGCGUCGUCUAGGAGCUCCCGCGCCCUUCGGCUGAUGCCCUCUCUUCCACUCAAUUUACAUACGGGCCAACACUUUAGGCUUUGGUCUGGGCUUUUUUCUGUCGCCAUCCCGUCGUCCACGGCUUAGCAAGCCCAGGCUACUUCUCGUGCUUUCUUCUUCUUUCAAGUUCUGCACUGAGUCACGGUGGGUGUGACAGAAACUACUCAUAUUUAUUCUUUCUUUUUUGCGGGGAAAUCAUGUUUAUUCCACGAACAGUCAUGAUGAACUGCUUUGGUUAUUACAAUGGGAUGAGAUGAACACACACACACACACACACACAAACAGCUACAGCUUUUGUAAGUAGCACAUGACAAGCAUCAUCAUCCAGAUAUCACCCAAAGUCAUCGAAUUGAGAUUACUUAUGGCAACAGUAGUACGGGUAGGGGUGGUGCUCACAAUAGCUCCUGAGGUAGUCGUAGCCCAUGCUUACGCAGAAUUUUCGGCACUUGCGCUGGUCAUAAUCAUGAACUGGUCUGUUGCAUUCCCACAUAGAUUGACAGUAUAUGUUAGUUUCCGUGUUGUUCCUUGCACAAUAUACUUUGUUGCAGUUGCGCAUGCCAUAAUCAUCCAUCGGUCUCUUGCAUUUCGACACAGAUUCACUGUAUGUGUUAGGAUCUGUGUCUGCAUGCGCACACGCACGCAAAGAAGGGACAAACAAUUAGUACGUGGCUGUUUCAUAUGAAAGAAACAAUGGAAGAAUGAAGCAUCACGUAGUAAGAAAUACUACUCUACAUACCCUUGGCGUAGUAAGAAAUACUACUCUACAUACCCUUGGCGUUGCAGGUCAAGGAGGCCAACGUGACUAGAAGAGCUACGGCCAAGCACAGAAAUUGCAUGUUGUUCCUAGCAUGUGCCAUGGUGAAUGACUGGCUUAGCUAAUUAAUCCUCUUGUUCUAGACGGUGUUGUCUUUUUUGGUCGAUGGAUGCUUUGUGUGUUGUGUGAUGGUGUUCGUAUAAUUAUAUAUAUAUAUAUAUAUAUAUAUAUAUAUAUAUAUAUACACGUGAGCCAGCGGUUCUUUGGGCAAGGGGGAGGUUAAUCAAUUCGUAUCAUAUCUUCUGGUCGUACACUAAUGCACGAGUACCAUCUAUGGUUGGCGUUGCAUUAAUGUUUGUUUAUCGCUAGGUAAAUGUCCUUGCGUUGGCACCGAAAAACAAAGAUAUAGAUAUUUAUCAAUAAUUAAAGAGUCAUCAAUCCUACUAUGAUACACACACAUAUUAUAUAAUAUGUAAUGUCUGAUAUGUGCUGCCAUCAAAUAUUUGUAGAGAUUAAUUAGAGAUUGACCGAUUCCUUCUCAUAUAAAUGUUAUCAUAUAGUUGGUGUUACAUUAAUGUUUGUUGAUCACUCGGUGAGUGUCCUUACGUUGCCACGGAAAAACAAAGAUAUAAAUAUUUAUCAAUAAUUAAAGAGUCAUUAAUUCUAAUAUGAUACACACACAUAUAUAAUAUGUAAGGCCUGAUAUGUGGUGCCACCAAAUCUUCUUUACUCUUAACGGGGAGUUGGUAGCCUCGCCUCACUUCUCAUUAAUCCAUUAUCAAAUCCUAUAUUACGCCCGCGAGCGUUUUACAUGCAAUCUUUCUCUCAACCGCAACCGAUUUUGGCCGGCCAUUUGACGUGUCCAUUAACUCAAUGAAGCCGGCACUUCUCCAAAACAACAUUCUCCAAAACAACAUCAUACAUUAAUUCGAUCAAAUCAAAUCACUACUUACCAAAACAACUGCGUGCGUGUUUUUAUUUCCAAAUCAAAUCACUCUUUACCAAAUCAAAUCACUAUUUACCAAAAAAAUCACUACUUUUAUUUUAGGGGUAAAUCAAAUCACUACUCGACUAUACCCCCUCCGUUCCAUAAUAUGAAAAUGUUUUUCAAGCUAACAUAGCUUUAAAAACAUUUUUAUAUUAUAGGACAGAGGGAGUAGUUUUUAUCAACUAUUCAAAGUUGAUUGGCCCAUUCACUCAGGUAGAGAUUUUCGCCUAUCCACCCCACUGAAAAUCUACACAAGACGGGUAAAAAAUCUACGCAAGAAAAAAUACGCCGUCGCGAAUCCAACUCAAAUCUAGAUCCACUCCUCCCUCGAACGAGGUUCCUAAGAGCAUCUCCAACAGAUGCGCUUAAUAAGUCGCGCGCUGGAAAAAACGCCUAUUUGGCGCACGAAAGAUAAAAAACAGCACUCCAGUAUAAGCUGUAAAAUAGAGUGCGCACAAAAACAAAGGUGUAAGAGCAUCUCCAACAAUCGCGCGAUUUUAGCGCCGUGCUGGAAAAUUAAAUUUUUUGCGCGCGCAGCCGUUCCGGGCACUACAACGGACGUGCAAAAAACGCGUGUGCGGUAUAGUUAGUUCAGCGCGCGGAGAAAAACGGCAUCGCGCGCCGCUUAUUUCGUGCGCCCGCUCCCACGUGCUGGGCACUCGAGCACCCGCGCGGCACUGACGCCACCCUCUCCUCUCCGGCCGCCCCACCUUCGCACCGCCCCGCGCCGCCGCCGGCGAAAUUCGCCCGAUGGACGGCCGCGCCGACAUCCCCCGAACCCCUCCCUACACCCGCGACCCCUCCGCCGCCGCCAGCACAAACCUUAGCACGGGGCUGAGCUUCGGCUUCGCCUCCGUCGGCCAUCCUCCAAGCACCAGUCUCGUGUGCGGCCUUUUCAUGGCGCCACGGACUCGGCGGGUGGCGGCGCGCCGACGCCCGCAGUGAAGCCACGUGGCCCCCUCUCAAAGCGACCAAAUGCGGCGGCGAAGGCGGGCAAGGUGUCCGGGAAGAAGAACAAAGCGACGGACGGCUCUUCUUGGCGGCCGAAGAAGAAACUUGCAGGGCGUGUGACGGAUGCAGCGUCGAUCGAAGCGCCGGCGAGCUCGCUUGUUGCGCCGGCAGCCGAUGCGCACAAGGUGUUUGAUGAAAUUCCCACAAGGUAUGAUUUUUCGUCGUUGUUUUUUUACAUGAAUGGAUACAUAUGGAUAGCUUAGUUUUCUUGUACAUACUUUGUAGUUUCAAUGAUGAGACAUAUAUGUCAACUAUGGACGGCAUGGGAGGCAUGGGUGCCUUCGGAGCUACCAUGGGAGGCAUGGGUGCCUUCAGAGCUACCAUGGGAGGCAUGAGUUUUGGGUCUCUCAUGCGAGGCAUGGGAGCACCUCCGGGUGACAUGGGUGGACGCAUGUCUUCCGGUGUGCCUCACAUACCUUCGCAUGAUGACCUUGGAGAUCUUGCGAACACCUUCCGAGCUCCCCAUGAUGAUGCGACAUGCGACAAUGAAGAGGAAGAGGAAAAAUCGUCUUCGGAUGAGGAUGAAGAAUCGGAGGUAGAGGAGGACGAUGUUGAUAUGGCAUGAUUGUUGAUGUGUCGUUUGUUUGUGUGAACUUUUAUGUGUCAUGAACUUGGUUGGGUGAUUUUGAACUUGGCUGGAUGAUGAUGUGGCAUGAUUGUUGAUGUGUCGUGCAAUUGAACUAUACUAUGUCUUUAUUUUGCACAUUUGUUUAAUGUUUGAAACAUCAUCAUAUUAUCAAAAUGGACAUGUAAAAAUCUUAUUUGCAAGCGCCGGCUGCUCGCGCGCGCUGUAAGUUAGCGCGCCUGCUGGAGCUGCUCGCGCGCGCCAUAUUUUGCAGCGGCCGCUGCAGCCAGCGCUCUGCCGUGCGCAAAAAUUCGCUAUUUCUGUGCUGUAAAAAGGUUUUAGCGCGCCGCACGGUUGCGCGCCUGUUGGAGAUGCUCUAACUUUAGUGCACGCGGGUUGCGGGGCUGCAAAUUUGGGGCGCGGGCUGCUGCAUGUGGGGCCGCCUGGUUGGGCGCCGUUUUUUUGUGCGUCUGAUAAACUUCUCGCGCGCAAAAACACUAUUUCAGCAAUGUAAAACUGUUUUAACGCGUCGCGCGGGUUGGAGAUGCUCUAAGGCGUGGUUCUGGGACGACGCCGCCAUCGCGGAAGCAGUGUCGAUCCCCUCUCCUCCCAUCUCAAGCGCUCGAUUCCCCUCGCGCAUUAGGGUUCCUCCAAAGGGAGGUUGCGGCGCUCGAUUCCUCCUCCCCUGCUCAUGACUUCCUCACCGAUCACUGCUCCUUUACCAACCGCCGUUGUAGAUGAUAUUUUCGUCCUUCCGAAUUGCAGCACCUCCACCUUCCAUCCUCUCUGCCGUCACUACAGGGUGUCACCUUGUUCCCACAGUUGCUGACAACGGGGAGGAGGAGGAGAGGUAGUGGUCUAGGCGGGGAGGCUGAUGGCAAAGUGAAUCACGAAGAUGUGACCUGCGACCAUGAUUUGUCUCCCAUGUUUGGUACAGGGAACUGCCUGUGACCACGCCGCUGUCCCCCGUGCUCUAGCUAUGUCAGCUUCCCACGACCGCGCCUCUACUCCCUGCAUAACAAGUACACUGCGCCUGGCAGGCUCAUGUCCGACGCCCUGCCAUGGGAAUGGCCAGGAGGAGCGAGCUUCACCUGCGGCAGUGGCCACAACGGCAAAGCCUUCACUUGGUACGUCUGAUGCCCUUCUGCCUCGGACGGCCAUGCCGGUGAGCUCCUCCAAACCUCGCGCCUCCCAUGCUCGUAUCUACCCCCUCUCUAUACCGCGUGUCGGCCACUGACGCUAGGUGCACAUGGGCAAAAACGACAAAAUUGACCUAUGGACGAAAACAAUCCACAAUCUGAACUAGUUCAAAAAAAUUCACUCAGCUGACCCUUUUGUGUGGCGCCCAACACGCAGGCGCCACACCCUACGGUGCAGCGCCUAGCCCUCAGGCGCUGCACUUCAGGCCAGCGUGGCACCCCCCGACCACGCACCCAGCAGUGCAGCGCCUCCGAGCUUGGCGCUGCACUUGACACGUGCCGCGCCUGACAGCUAGGCGCCACACUUGUUAUGUGCAGUGCCUGACAGCUAGGAGCCACACUUGUUAUGUGCAGCGCCUAGCUCUUAGGCGUUGCACAUCAUGUUACUAGUUGGCAUGCUGGCCCCCUCCCCACUCCCCACACACACACCCAACCCCAACCCCACCCCCACCCGUGUUGUGCCCUCUCUCCCCCUCUCAAAUCCUUCUCCAAAUCUUCCAAAUUUGGAUAUUUUGUCCGUGGAUUUCAAACCCAAUCCCUCCCUCAAGGUGAUCUCCUCCGAUCCCUUGUUUUCAUCCCAAAAAAUGCUCACAUUUGCUCAUUUUUUGCUAGUUUGGGGAAACCCUAGGUUUUUAUGGAUCUUGAAAUUUGUAUGGAGAUAUGGCUUGUUAGUAUGUUAGGGUUCGGGUUAUGGGUGUUGUUAUGUUGGUGCUAGGGUUGGGCUUGUUAGUAUGUUAGGGUUAGGGUUAUGGGUGUUUUUAUGUUAGGGAUAUGGGCCUCUUUGCUAGGCGUCACACAUAUGUCAACAUGCAGAAACUGACAAGCUCCUGUGCAGUUUCAUUAUCUCAAUCUCAUGAACUAAUAUGAUAAAACUUAAGCAAUUAGGAUCAACUAAAACAUCCAUUCAACUUAAAGAAAGUCAAGAAGUUCAACACUGCUACAAGUUCAACAAUAUAACAAGUUCAACAAAGCCUAGAAGUUCAACAACACAGUAAGUUCGACAUAAGAAAACGACGACUAAUCGAGUUACAUAAGAAAAAGGAGGACGAUGACUAGUUCCUUUCGCUCAGUUGCAUAUGAGUGGGCACCGCAUAUAUAAUGAAGUACAAACAAACAGCUCCGUACAUGUCUAUAUAAGUAAGCCAGUGCCGCCGAACCCCAACUCCAUUUGCUAUCGAAAACGGUCAAUGCCUUCAGCCACAUCCAUGGAGCAUUCUUGCAUGUGCCGUCAGCAAACAGAGUCCUGGAGAUAACGUACCACAUGUACACACGAGCAUAUGUCUGGGCCUCUUCAUUGAUAGCAUCCUCGGGGCAAUACCCAAAGUGGAAUGCAAUCCAGGUGAAAGGAGCACCGACUGCGACUCUUUCCUUCUUCUUGUCUCCUUCUGGUACUGGAGGCUCUGGAGGAGACAUACCAAUAAGGGCCUCCAUCUGCUGGCGCCACCUAUCAGAAUUGGUGCCCAUACAGAGAGGAUUCCCCUCGAUAGGGAGACCGGCGAUCAUAGUGAGCGUCACCGUCAUCUCCUCGGUACGAAGAUGGAAAUUGUGUGUCUUUGUCCUCCACCGAUCAACAAGCGUGGUGAUUUCUGCAGCACUGAGGCUCUACGUCGCCAGCUGACCAGCUGAAUGAUCGGAAGGAGUCAUGUCUCCCUUAUGUACGGUGUGUACCGCUCAUCAUAGCGCAUCCCACCAAGGAUGACCCCGUGAGACCGAAUCUUUAGAGGAUGAAGCUCCUACAAACAAGCAAAUCAUAAUAUUACAUAUGGGGCAUGUGUGUUUGAAAUAAACACAAAAUUCAUAAUACCGGCCACUUUGAUUAUUACCCGCUGCUCCACCAACAUAAAGUAGGCCCGGCGUAGAGUGUCAUAAUGAUCAUCGAGAAGCCAAACCAUCCUAAAAAUUUCAAACAAUAAGCAUACGUUAGCUAACUACCAUACUUCCUAAUCAAAACAUGCCAACAAUAAUCACAAAAAACAUGCCAACAAUCGGUACAAACUAAAAGGAAAUUGAAUAAUAAUAAUGUAAUAUCUACAAUCAAAGCAUGCCAACAAUCAUCACAAAAAAAUAUGUUUUGAAACAAUAUAGGGUUCUAUAAUGGUUUCAUCUAAAAAACAUCUCAACAUGUAGGGUUCCGCAAAAAAUUUAGGAUAUCAUCUAAAUCAUCUAUAAAAACAUCAACACAAACAUCUAGACAUGUAUAAGGUACAUCUCAAAAAUCUAGGUUUUCAACAUGGAAGCAUGUAUUUUCAAUACAAAUCAACUAAAUUAGUGUUACAAAAUGAUUACAAAUCCUAAAUCCCACCAAUCUAUUUCAAAAUAUAUGUGCAAGAUUCUAAUCCAAUCAAACAAAGGUUCCACAAAUCUUCAAAAUAUGUAAGAUUUUCUGGAUAGAAAGAAGGGGAUCGGAGGAGAGUACCUUCUAGGAUGGAUUGCUGAAGAAAUCCACCGACCAAAUCAUCAUAUCUGAAGAAUUUGGGAGAGGGGAUUGAGAGGGGGAGAGGAGAAAGCCGCCGCUGUGCUCUAUUCUAGAGCUGCAAGGGAAUGGGGUGGGUGGGGGAAGGGCCAGCGCGCGGUGGCUACUAAUUCAUAGUGCAGCGCCUAAGAGCUAGGCGAUGCACAUAACGUGUGUGGCGCCUAUCUCUCAAGCGCUGCAUGUGACACGUGUGGCACCUAGUUCGGAGGCGCUGCAUUGCUGGGUGCGGGGCCCAGGGGUGUCACGCUGGCCAGAAGUGCAGUUCCUAAGGACUAGGCGCUGCACAGUAGGGUGUGACGCCUGCAUGUCGGGCGCUACACAAAAGGGUUAGCUGAGUGAAUUUUUUUCGAACCAGUUCAGAUUGUGAAUUGUUUUCAUCAUAGGUCAAUUUUUCCAUGCACAUGUAUGUAUGUGUUGUUCAUAUCUCCCUACCUCCAUCCCCAUGCAUCACGUGUGCACCUGGGCUCUGUCUACCUCGCAACUUCAUGCAUAUUCUGAUCGCAUGCAUAUGGGUGAGUUUGCAAUCGUGAUGGAGGAUGGAACUCAUGAACUAAUAUGACACAUAUUUCAUAUGGGUGAAUUUGCAAUUGUCAUGAAGAAUAUUUGCUUGGUGAAAAUGUGCCUUUGAGUGCAGUGAAUUUUGCCCAUAUGUAUUCUUGUUGUAUGGCACAAUAAACUUUUGUUGUAACUUCUACCUAUCCUUGACAAUUGCAAAAUAUUGUAACUUCUACCGAUCCUUGACAACUGCAAAAUAUAUCCUCUCGAAGAACCUUGAUAUAUUUCACAUUAGCACAAAGUUAUUGUUGGAACCACAGUAGACCUUAAUCCGAUAAAUGACAUUCCUUAUUUGGUUAUUGUUGUUGGACAUUUUUUUUCUUAUUUAGUUAGCAUGCUCACGCUUACAGUUAGGCGGCAUCAAAGAUUUUUUUUAGUUCAUAUUAUAAGCUAUCACAUUGUGUCAUGUUAUGACUACUAAUCCAUGUGGUGAAUGGAGGCAUCUUUUUACUAUUCAGGUAUUAUGCUCUGUCAUACGCAUACCUCACUCCGUUUAUGAAAUUUUACCAUGCUUCUAUAAUUGUUGCAGAUUACGUAGUUUACAAUCGUAACUUCAUUUCAUUAAUGAUUUGCCAAAGUUCUCAUCAUUAUCAGGUAUCCAUUUUGUUUACUUCAUUUAGCACACAGAGUGCAUAUUGCUCUCCAAGUUCAGUACUCUGAAUGGAACAAUAUGUGGUUCCGGGCCUGCACAUGUCAAUUUCCUAAUAGAGGUAUGAUUUUUUUUCAUCAUUUAUGUUUCGCAACUUAGUUUUGGUAUGCUCUCUCAACCUGAGAAUAGUUUUCUUAUGGAGAUGGUACUUGAGAAUAGAUUAGUACAAUGAAGCCUUGGGUUGUAGGCCGAGCUCUUCUGGUGGUGCAACUACAUACUGCCCAUCGGCUCCGGCGGCGGCAGGUCAUGUUUGGCAUGUCCAGGACCUUUGUUAGCCUAUCCUAGAGGGCAGUCCAUGGUAGAUGCGGCGAGGGUGCAUGCGCCGGAGCAGAUGACUAAUUUGAUUUUAAGUUCAAUGUCAAUAAAAAGAGGUAUGAGAAUAACUUAUUGUACAACUUUGGUCAUUAGGAAAAGCUAAUUUACGGUUGGUUGCAUAUUGUUCUUAUGAUGAUGUGUUCUACAUCAUUUGUAUUAAAUGGACCUCCCUUCCCAUUCAGGUUGUUUUCUUCAGCUACCUAGAGGAGCUCACUGAUAUUGUGGCAAUAAUCUAACCAUCAGUCCCGUUGAUUGAGUAUAGGUGUGUGCCUCGACCUCCACAUUAAAUGAAAAACCUUCCUAUUGUAUGUAGUUGAUCUACAUGUGUUUAUAAUCCAUAAGGGGAUAAGAAAGAUCAAUAAGAUAUUCUAUUGGUGAAUUCUUUAACUCUUGUCUUUUCCCCCUUUUUAGUUGGAGCAGUUACAAAAUGGACUUGAAGGGUUUAUGUAGAUUUAUCAGCCAACAAGCAUGGAUAAAGUACAACCAAGAAACACUUUAUGCAUCCGCAGGCAGUUCCGUCCUUUAUGAUAUGUGACGAUUGAAAUCUUGCUUUUAUUUCCGGACUAAAUAUUUUCUUCUGGCCGUGGGUCUAUGAUACGUCUCCAACGUAUCUAUAAUUUUUGAUUGUUCCAUGCUGUUUUAUUAUCAAUCUUGGAUGUUUUAUAAUCAUUUUAUAGUCAUUUUAUAUCAUUUUUUGGUACUAACCUAUUGACAUAGUGCCAAGUGCCAGUUGCUGUUUUCUACAUGUUUUUUACAUCACAGGAAAUCAAUAUCAGACGAAGUCCAAAUGCCACGAAACUUUAUGAUGAUUUUUGAUGGACCAGAAGGAAGAAGUUGGGCCCUGGUAGCACCUGGAGGGAGUCCCGAGGAGGGGACAACCCACCAGGGUGCGCCAGGAGGCCCAGGCGCGCCCUGGUGGGUUGUGCCCACCUCGGGUGCCCCACGGACCGCCUCUUUGCUCUAUAAAUACCCCAAAAAUCCAGAAACCCUAGGGGAGUCGACGAAAUAUUCAUCCAGCCGCCGCAGAGUCUAGAACCACCAGAUCCAAUCUAGACACCAUCACGGAGGGGUUCACCACUUCCAUUGGUGCCUCUCCGAUGAUGCGUGAGUAGUUCUUUGUAGACCUUUGUGUUCGUAGUUAGUAGCUAGAUGGCUUUCUCUCUCGCGCGAAUUCUCAAUACAAUGGUCUCUUGGAGAUCCAUAUGAUGUAACUCUUUGCGGUGUGUUUGUUGGGAUCUGAUGAACUUUGAGUUUAUGAUCAGUUAUAUCUUUUUAUAUCCAUGAAAGUAUUUGAGUUUCUUUGAUCUCUUUUAUGCAUGAUUUCUUAUAGCCUCGUAUUUCUUCUCCGAUAUUUGGGUUUUGUUUGGCCAACUUGAUAUAUUCUUUAUCUUGCAAUGGGGAGAGGUGCCCGGUAGUGGGUUCGAUCUUACGAUGCUUGAUCCCAGUGACAGAAAGGGAACCGACACGUAUGUAUCGUUGCUACUAAGGAUAAAAAGAUGGGAUCUAUAUCUAACGCAAUAGAUAAACGGAUCUUGUCUACAUCAUGUCAUCGUUCUUAUUGCAUUACUCCGUUUUUGCAUGAACUUAAUACACUAGAUGCAUGUUGUAUAGCGGUCGAUGUGUGGAGUAAUAGUAGUAGAUGCAGGCAGGAGUCGGUCUACUAAUCUUGGACGUGAUGCCUAUGUAAUGAUCAUUGCCUGGAUAUCGUCAUAAUUAUUUGAGGUUCUAUCAAUUGCCCAACAGUAAUUUGUUCACCCACUGUUUGCUAUCUUUCUCGAGAGAAGCCACUAGUGAAACCUACGGCCAUCGGGUCUUCUUUCUCAUAUAUUUGCCUUGCGAUUUACUUUUUCUUGCAUUUAUUUUCAGAUCUAUUAAACCAAAAAAUACAAAAAUACCUUGCUGCAAUUUAUUCUUAUUUAUUUUGUUUGGCGUGCGAUCUAUCAAAUUACUACAAAUUCCUCACGUCUGUUUUGCCUAUCUUGAGGCAUCGUACCCCGGAAGGGGUUGACAACCUCUUUAACACGUCGGGUUGCGAGAAGUUGUUCUUUGUGUGCAGGUGAUGUUUAUGUUGUGUUGCUUGGUUCUCCUACUGGUUCGAUAACCUUGGUUUCAUAUCUGAGGGAAAUACCUACCGCCGCUGUGCUGCAUCAUCCCUUCCUCUUUGGGGGAAAACCGACGUAGCUUCAAGCGACAUCAGUCUACUUAGCAGGAUGCUCGCCAUUCCCAUACCAUUGCGAUUAAUUAGUUCAGUCCUCAUUUUUUUCUGUUCUGAGCCUUUUGUGUUUCUUAGUUGCGACAUAGUUAGGUCAGGUAACAACAAAAAAGCCUCCUGGAACUUGGUCUUCUGACGUGCUAGAUGAUUAGGAGAAAUUUAAGAGUUUAAUGAAUUAACUUUGACUCUUUUUUUACCGUGUUCAAUCUUUUAAUGCUCAUAUUAUUAUGUCAUGGAGUAUUUGUUUCCCAUGAGUAUGCGCAUAUGAGAGGUAAACUUUUUUCCACCAAUGCGAGGCACGUACUAGUUUCAUCUUUGCACUUGCGUAUAUCGAAGACACUUUUUAGUUCCCGUUUUGAAUUUGGGAUCAUGCAUAUUAACAGAAGCCUUCUUGGUUUGAUUGAUUUGCUAUAAAACUUUUUUUUAGACAUGGAGCUGUUUGCGGUUUAUUUUUUCCAAGGAGGGUAAACCUACUUCCAAGGAAAUGUUGUUUGUUAUGUUUUCGAGUCAAGCGAUAGAACACUUGCUAACUUCUUUUAUCAUAUACUCAUUUUGUGUAGCUAAGUUGUUAAUCGAGGGAUGUUGAUGGUCAUUCUGGAACAUGUUUGAUUUUGAGGAAUGCAUCCAUGGUCAAGUUUCCAUAGACUUGCUAAAGUUAAAGGAAAAUUUCCAAGCGAUGGUGAACUUCAAAUAAUGUUCUAAAUCAAUGUCUUUUCAUCUUUGAACUUAUCAAGUUCAUGUGUAUGUUUUUGUGCUAUUUUGCUUGAACUUAACACAAAAUAUCUUUCAAUAGGGAAAAGGUGACUCCAAUUGUUGUAAUUGCUCACUCAUCACGAAGGUGCUCUACCUUAUGAAUUUUUUUGUUUUGCUUCUUCAACAGUAUGCAGUAACACAGAUUGUGCUAGGCUUAUAUGGAAGGUGAUACUGAGACACUUGUCGAGCUGGAGUAGGAGUGGAAAUGAUGGUAGAGAGGUGGGGGAUAUGAAUGAUAGACACCAAGGGAGAUGAUGCGACGAGCGAAAGAGAAAGAUGGGGGGAUGGGGAAGGAGGGAGGGAGGGUGAUGAAGCUGAGAGAAAGGAGGGAUACACCAAGGGAGUCGGGAUAUGAUGAAAGCGAAGUUGCGCCACAAGGGUAGAUCGUGAUCGUGUUGCAACUAUUCCCAUUCUAUCAAUGCUCGCAUUCAUUGUAUUUUUUAAACUCCACAACUCUUGCAACUCCACACAAUUGUUGUCGAGGAACAUGGUAAACCCAUUGAGAAUGAUCAUUGGGGUUAUUGUGAAGCUCAAUGUUUGGUGGAUUAGUCUGGUGACAGCGAGGACAAUUAGACAUGAGUAACUGAUAAAUUUGUACAAUCACUUUCACUUUGUAGGAACAUUGGAUAUAAUUGAUUUGGUAAAGAAAAUGAUAGAACAGAGUGUGCAUCAUGUGAACCUUCAGGUGAAGGAGAAAUUACAUCAUUGUGAUAUCAAAUAAUUGUUCAUUGAUUGUUUGAUCAAGUUGCUGAAACAUGAUUGGUUUAUGAUCAUAAAUUUGCGAUGUGAAGUAUGUAUCUGAUAGUACCGUUCCUUGAUUUAUCGAUUUUGCGAAAUCUCACAUGCCUGAUUCUUUUUGUUGCGUCGGUCACUUUUUGCUUUGCACGAGGCCAAAGUUGGGGAUGGCGAUGUCGAGCCGUGUACGAGUGAGAGUCGGCGGGAGCGAGUCUGAAACUUAACCGGGGGGGCAACACGACGAUGGGGGGAGGUCAAGGGGAUGGCAGUUAGGCCUGGGUAGGCCAUGGGAAGGUGGAGGAACCGUCGCGAGAGAUGAGGAAGAAGAUGUGGAAGGAACAAGAUGAACAUGUGGCGGCGUGCUACUAACCAUUGGAUAGUUGAUCUGAUGGCCAAAAAUAGAAGUGACUGGCACGAGAAAAAUUUUAGGUAUAGAUGCCCCCUUGAUUUAUUUACCAUCAUUUGCCCAUAGCAACGCGCGAGCAUUUAACUAGUAUUUGUACGGAUUAAUUAGAGAUUGACUGAUUCCUUCUCAUAUAAAUGUUAUCAUCUAUAGUUGGCGUUGCAUUAAUGUUUGUUUACCACUAGGUGAAUGUCCUUGGAUUCCACGGAAAAACAAAGAUAUAGAUAUUUAUCAAUAAUUAAAGAGUCAUUAAUUCUACUAUGAUACAUGCACAUAUAUAAUAUGUAUUGCCCGAUAUGCCGUGCCACCAAAUAUUUGUAGAGAUAAAUUAGAGAUUGACCGAUUCCUUCCCAUAUAAAUGCUAUCAAAUAUAGCAAAGACUAAUCUGAUUUGGCAGAUAUAAAUCGGUUAAAAUAGAUGGAUGCGGUAUAAAUCGGUUCAAAUAUUAGAUUGGUUUGGCGGACAGAAAUUGGUUUAAAUAGAUCGAUGUGGUAUAAAUUGGUUCAGAUAGUAGAUUGGUGGGGUAGCUAACGCUUGGAAAAAUCGAUGGAAGGAUGGGGGGUGUACGCGAGAGGUUGGACGAAGGGAUGCUAGGGAGAAAACUAGGUGAAAGAUGGAACCUUAGGUUCUUUUUAAGUAAAAAAAGUAGAGAUUAGACACAAUUGGCCGUUGAACUGUAUUUUCUGUUGUCAACACGUGAAAUGCCAUAUGCAGCUUAGAAAUCAGCCUGGCAAGAUCGUAUGCAUCCUCAACACUAAGCUCCCUGAUUUUAAAGGGCUCACAAUCAAUUGAGGUUUACAAUUGAAAUUGGGUCAUCCGAUUUUGACCGGGUCAACAAUUUCUCAAAGUUAUCUCAUUUAAUUGUUUUAUACUAUACAUUGUGCUUUCUAAUUUUUAACGUCUCAAAAUUAAUUGAGGUCUUCAAUUUAAAAUUGACUCACUAAUUUUAACCGUGUCAACAAUUUCUCAAGGAGCUCUCCCAUUGAAUUGUUUUAAUUCAUUAUAUGCCCUAAUUUUGAAGCUCUUCAGUUCAACACAGGUAUUCGAUUUUGUCGGCAUCCUGGGAAUGGGGGUACCCAGACUUGCCUGCCUGCGGCCCAUGGCGUGGCUCCAUCGAUGGCCUGGUACGGCCCAGCUUCGACAACAACAGCUCAAGACCCUCGCGAGGGGCCAAGCCUCGCGAGGCGGACGACAGCAAGACCUCCCUGAGGGGCAGCCUCACUAGCUGGCUCCCGAGGAGCGGAGAUAUCUAUGCAAGGUGCACCUCGCGAGGUUCGUGUGAUGUGAGCCAUGAAGACCAAGGCCAGGCGGGCGCCAGCGGGCGCAGUGUACCAGUUUUCCCUUUGGUGCUAAGGUGGCAAGCGCAGGCAUGGAGUCCCGAGGAAUCAAGCAAAGGUUUCCAUAUCGGUGCAACAAGACGAAGGACCGCCAGGACGACAGGACAGAGGUCAUUGUGGAGCCCGGCGCGGCGUCACCACCAGAGCCUUUUGCAGGCGAAGACUACUUUUGUCAGGGUAGCUUGUACUGGUUGUCCCCCUUCAAAUCUGGCCGUCGUGGGAUCCCUUCCCGCCUAUAUUUGGGAAGAGGACCAAGGCCACUAUAAGUAGGACUUAGCCAUCACCAUAGAGAGGGAUGGAUCAAUUCCACCCGAACCACCUCACCGGCUCAUCGAGCUCAAGAACACCUCACCUACUGAGGUUGUUCCCACACUAUACUAGUUCAUCAACAGCCCCUUGAGGCAAUCCACCACAAAGCUGGAGUAGGGUAUUACACCGCAAGGUGGCCCGAACCAGGAUAAACUGUUGAGUCUCUUGUCCUUUGGGUUCGUCAAGCUAGGUCGUGGAAUCGUUGGGUAGGCAGACUGGGGAGAGAGAGUUCUUCGCAUGCACCCCAGAGUUCGAACCUCUCAAGGGUUUGCGGAACCCCAAAUCCGACAUUUGGCGCGCCAGGUAGGGGUGCGUCGGAGCUUCUCUUCCGCCAAUCGACUCGCCACCGCUUCCAUGGUUGACGCUCGCCGAGCCCAUGCUGAGCGGCGGGCCGCCCUCGCCGCCCGCGUCGCCCAGACGGCUCCCUCCGGUGGGCCUCCCCGUCGUUCUCCAUCACCUGCCGCCAACGCCGCCACCGGCCCGGUGGGGCACGAGCAGCAAGCCUCGUCGCUGCACCCUCCGUGCGGCGGGACGGGCGCACGGCCACUCAGUCGCUGGCUCCGGCUGGUUCGUCAUCCCACGCUCAUCACGGCCCGGCAAACGGGCAGGCUGCGUUGCUUAUGGCGCGCGAGCUCCUGCGCUACCGCCCCGUCGACGACCUCUACGAAGAGUGGUUGGACCGCAUCGCCGAGCUGGUCAGCACCGCUGGGGGCUCUCCUGCACCGUCCCUCUCGCUGCCUCGCCCAUCGUCUGCAGCGGGUGACGUAGCCCACGGAGCGCCUCCACCACCGCCGCCUCGUCAGGACAUCGCCCUAGCACCAAGCCACGCGGCCUCGCGGCGUGACCCGCCGUGCAGGGUGCCCGCGCACGAAGAAGGAAGCUGCCAGGAGAUCCAGCAGCCGCAAGGGGAGGUACGCGCGCUUCCAGCAUCGCCACGUCAAGACCACGUUCCACCUGUCGCGGUAGCGCGCGAGCUCCAAGACCAAGCGCCACCUCCGUGACGGGCUCUGGUGACCACCGCAGGCUGUCGCGCCUUCACCCCCCGAGCUCCACAGUGUCGUCUGGCCGGGAAAGUUCAAGCCUGACCUGCCUCCACGCUAUGACGGCACCCCCGACCCUGCUGAGUUCCUGCAGCUUUACGAGCUGAGCAUCAAGGCGGCCAGCGGCGACGAGAAGGUCAUGGCGAACUAGUUCGCCAUGGCUCUCAAGGAUGGCGCGCGCUCAUGGCUCCUGAACCUGCCCCCAGGAUCGAUCUCCUCCUGGGGCGAGAUGCGGGAGCGUUUCGUCGCCAACUUCCAGGGCACUCGUGGCCGCCCGCCAGCCGUGGGUGACCUGCGGCGCAUCAAGCAGCAGCCGGGGGAGACCCUGCAAAAGUACAACUAGUGCUUCAACAGCGUGCGCCUCAAGAUCCCCAAGGUUUCGGACGAGGCCAUCAUUUCGGCGUUCUCCGACGGCGUCCACGAUGUCAAGAUGAAGAAAGAGCUCGCCAUCCAUGAGGACAUGUGCAUGGCUCUGGAGCUGUUCAACAUGGCGACCAAGUGCGCGAGAGCUGAGGAAGGGCGCCUUUCCCUCAUCGAGCUCCCAGCGGCCGACCCAGAAGACAAGAAGACCAAGGCCAAGGACAUGAAGCGCAAGGGGGCGGCCGUGCUCGCGGCUGAACCAGAGAUGAAGCGCGGCUGCGACCACCCAGAGUCGUCCAAAGGCAGCCGUCCGUUCUGUGUCUUCCACAACGUACACAGCCACAACACCAACAAUUAUCAUGAGCUCAGGGCCAUCCACGACGGGCGCCUCGGUCGCCGCCACGAGCGCAACGAUCGAGGCUACGGCCGUGGAGGAGGCCGAAGUGGGGGACGCUGGGACGACCGCGGCCCCCGCCAGGAGUGGCGAGAUCAGCCUCGUGAGGACCGCUGGCAUGGUCAGCCUCGUGAGGGCGCUUGGAGAGAUCAGCCUCGUGAGGGCGCCUGGAGAGAUCAGCCUCGCAAGGACUGUCCUCAGGGCUACGCCGGCCUCCCUCCGCUGCCACCACCACCAAGAAGGAACGACGACCACCACCAAGACGAGGGGGCUGGAGGCUUCCAGGAACCUCGCGCCAUUGCCUGCAUCUUGGGUGGCGCGCAGGCCCCAGCCUCUCAGCACAUCUUCAAGCAGUUUACCCGAGAAGUGAACGUGGCUCUCCCCAGGCUCGAGGCCACGCGGCCGCUCAGGUGGUGCAAGUGCACCAUCACCUUCAGCUCGGCGGACCAGCUCAAGUGCGCGGCAACCGCCGGCGCCCUCCCAAUGCUCUGCUCGCCCGUCAUCAGCAAUGUCAAAGUCACCAAAACCCUCAUCAAUGGCGGUGCGGGGCUAAAUGUUCUUUUCGUCGAGACGUUCGACCGCCUCCAAGUGCCAUAUGAUCAGUUGCAGCCCACCAAGCCUUUCUCAGGAGUGACCGACGGCUCCACCACCCUGAUAGGGCAGAUCCGCCUCCUUGUCACCUUUGGCCAGCGCGACAACUACCGCACCGAGCUCAUUGACUUCGAUGUCGCCCACAUCCGUCUGCCGUACAACGCCAUCCUAGGGUAUCCAGCUCUGGCUAAGUUCAUGGCGGUGACUCACCAUGGCUACAACGUCCUCAAGAUGCCAGGGAACCGCGACAUCAUCACUAUCGCAUGCAAGGAGAAGGACGCAGUGUGCUCCCUCGAGCGCACCUACCAGGUCACAGCAGUCGAGGACCCAGACAACGAAGGCGCCAUCUACCCACCUGAGGCCGUCCCCAAGAAGAAGAAGCAGCUGCUCCGCCGAGAGCCUUAGGAAAGCAGCAUCUCCAGCCGCACUACCUCAGGACCUGCGCCCACGGAAGGGGCGCCUCCCUCUCUUGCAUAGGAAGGCACACCCGGCGCCCCUCUCAGGCUGGGCUCGGGGGCUCUCAUCUGGAGGGCCUUCGACCUAGCCAAUGUCACGAGGGAGGCGCUCGGGCACCACGUGGAGGCGUGCUUCCGCGCGCGUUUCCCUCGCGAGGGCAUCAGGCACGAGGUGCCAGGUUCUCAGGAGUUCAUCACCAAGGCAACCGGGGAGCUUCAAGAGGCAAGAGCCAUGCGCGGUGACCGCUGCCCACCACCUGGCGUGGCUCCUCGUCCUGGCGAGGACAGUGAGCUGCGCGUCUGCGUCGACAUACCAGGGCUCAAUAGGGCCGCAUCCUAGGAGCGCUUCUGGCCAUCGCGCGUUGGUCGGUGGGAGGCCCCCCUCACAGGUACGUUCGCAUGCCUUUUGGCUUGCUGAACGCGGCUGACACAUCUCAGCGCCACAUGCGGAGUAUCCUGGCGGNNNNNNNNNNNNNNNNNNNNNNNNNNNNNNNNNNNNNNNNNNNNNNNNNNNNNNNNNNNNNNNNNNNNNNNNNNNNNNNNNNNNNNNNNNNNNNNNNNNNNNNNNNNNNNNNNNNNNNNNNNNNNNNNNNNNNNNNNNNNNNNNNNNNNNNNNNNNNNNNNNNNNNNNNNNNNNNNNNNNNNNNNNNNNNNNNNNNNNNNNNNNNNNNNNNNNNNNNNNNNNNNNNNNNNNNNNNNNNNNNNNNNNNNNNNNNNNNNNNNNNNNNNNNNNNNGGACCCCCAGAGCCUCCCGAAGUUUAGGGCCCAGGCGACUCGUGAGGAGCAACUUCUUCAGCACGCGCCUUCAGCUACACCAACAUCCCUUCAUCAACGGUGCCAGGUGACAUUUUCCGGUUUAUUUCAGUUGGGGGCGACCUUUGGGCUGCGUUAUCCCCAGAUCGCACGGGCCUGUCCCUGUGACGUGUAUCCUUUUGCAUCUUUGAUUUGCUCUGCUGGGGGCGCCCCUCGGGCUGCAUCAUCCCCAGGCCGUGUGGGUCCGUCCCUGCAGCAUGUAUCGUUCUUGCUCCUGUCUGAACUAACUUUAAGUCCUUCCAUGAAUUGCUAUACGUUUACCAUCUGCAUGUCUGGUGCUUCAUUGCCAUGAACGUCGUGCGCCCUUGCGAGCCCACCCUCGACCGCCACAUGAUUAAGGACUGGCAUGGCGUUUGUGCUCGGGUCCGUCCCUACAGCAUCGCCAAACCCAAGAGGCUGAGCUCUGGCUCACGGGCCAGUCCCCGUGCAUGUCACCUCCCAUGGUCCUUGGUGCCUUGUUCUCGCAUGAGCUAAUCUUGGGCGGAUGAGCUAGGGCGCGUGACCCGGUGCCUCGUCACCAUGGGAGCCGCGCGCCGGCUGUCUUUCUUCAGGACUAUCGCAUGAGAAGACUGGGCACGGCGUCUGUGCUCGGGUCCGUCCUUGCAGCGUUGAUAAACCCAACGACUAAGCUCUGUCUGGCAGGUCGGCCCCGUUCAUGUCACCUCCUGGGGUCGUUGGUGUUUGGCCUUCUCAUGUGAUAACCUCAGGAGAUUCAUUCGGCACAGGUUGUCUAACCAUCUCGCAGGGCCAAGUGUCAAGAAUCAAAUCCAGGCGCGGCCCGCCUUGAGGUAGAGCCUCGUGAGUCCUGCGCUGGCUCAUGAGUGCCCAGACACAUCUCCUUCAGCCCUGUCAUGCAAGCCACAUGUCAGGGUGGGGUUGUGCACACCCCGGGGGCUCCACUCAUAGGGGGCCCCCACCCACGCACCAGUGGAAGCACCAUGCUCUGUGCUGGCAGUUGACACAGUCGAGGAGCGGCUAUGCAUGGGGGCUGGGCAUGGGGGCUACGCUCAGGUCACGCCUAGCUACGCCGCCCUGCCAGGUCCCUCGGACCUGGUCGUCACGCGCCCCUCCCGAGCGGGACCUCGGUGAGGAAAGGUAUGUAGGUCUGUUCGUACGUCAAGGGGGACUCCUGAGCAUCGCGACUCAGGAGCCUAACUGGUCACGUAGCCCCUCAUCCUGGCGAUCCAGAUGAGCCAGCAGCGACUGAGGUAUGCGCGGGGCCGGGCCCUGCCGACGCAGAACACCAAGGCCUAUUCUUGCAUCUCCUCCCUGAGAGCUGUUUGUACGUCAAGGGGGACUCCUGAGCAUCGCGACUCAGGAGCCUAACUGGUCACGUAGCCCCUCACCCCUUGGCCUCGUCCUGGCAAUCCGGACAAGCCAGCGGCGGCUAAGGUAUGGGCAGGGCCGGGCCCUGCCGACGCAGAACACUAAAGCAAACAGGAAGGAAAUUGCAAAGCCCUAAGCAAAUUAUUACAAAACAUAUUGUUUCUCCAAGUACCAAACACAAGUUCUUACGCCUCCGCGAGGCAUGAUGCACAUUGCAGGAAAUAAAAUGGAGGGAGCGCCACCACCAAGUUUUCUUCUUCAGCCUUGGGCCUCGCCACCGCCCGCAAGAAGUGCCCCGCCGUCAACAUCACGCUGUCGCCCGUGCCGUCGGCCAUGGCCGUAGUGUCGGUGGCGUCGUCAGCCGGGGGCGCGGGGUCGAUGGCGAGGAACUUCUGCAGUAGGGCUUUCACCUGGUCCUUCACGGCUUCGGCGGCGGCGGUGCAGCGCUCCCCGUCCACAGGCUCAAGCAGGGCCCCAAGGUCGAUGUUGGGAUCGCAAAGAUAGAGGUGGCUGAAGACGCGCAUCAUAGCCGAGGCGGAAAGUGCACGGGCCUCCCCUUCCACCAUGGGGCCAACUCGAUCAAUGACAUCCUCGAGCGUUGCGACGAGCUGGGGGAGCAGCUCGGUGGGGCCUUCCUCAGCAGUCACCAAUGGCUUCUUCAACCCCCUCCCAUAGAGUUCCCGCGGUGCCUUGCGGGACCUCAGCUCAAGAGAGUCGAAAGCGGCACGCUCUUGGGCGAGAACCUUCGCCUUGGCCUCCAGCCGGGCCUUCUCCGCCUCCACUUCCUCCUUCAGCUUCUCCAGGCAGCCUCGCUCCGCAGCUUGCUUCCGCGCCAAUUGCUCCAGCUCGGUGUCACGACCGGUGACCGCAUCCUCCCGAGCCUUCAGCUUCUCCUCCUGUGCCUCGCGCAGGCAAGCAUCGACGGCCCGCUCGUUGCGCAGGGUCUCUAGCGCGGCCUACGCCACCCGGCACCGCUCCUCAACAGUUUUAGCGCCACGUCGCGGGCGGCCGCAGCCAGGCCGGCAGCCUGUUCACCCUCCUUGGAGGCUGCGAUGGCCUGGCUCCAUGCCGCCCUGAUGGAUGCGUCGGACCGCAGCCAUCCCGAGAUCAACUCCAACCACCCCGACGCCAGGUGAUGGUCAGCGACUCGGAGGUCGUCGCGAAGCUGGGUCAGCGCGGAAAAAUCCUCUUCCAGAGCAUCAGGCGAAGCAGGAAGAUCACGGCCCGGCAACGUGAUGGAAGGAAGAGGAGGCGGCACUAGCGCCAAGAUCGGCACGUCAGCAGUGGCGGAGGGGGCUGAGAGCCCCAGGGCAUUCAGAACCUCAGCAGGCGAGCUGAGGGCGAGAGCUUCCGGAGCUGGCUCAGCUCCAGAUGUCGCCCCCUCCUGAGGCCGGGCCCCCGAGUCUCGUGAGGAUGACCCCUCCGCAGAAGCGUGGGUGUCAUUACCAGCCUUCUGCGCCAGGGGAGGCGCAGCCAUGGCAAGCUGCUGGGUCACGGGGAUCACGGUUGUCUCCUUCUUCUUCAUCACCAAAGUUGGCCUAGCCGUACGAGGGGAAGACAUCAAGAUACUACGACAAGAGCAGAAGCCAAAGAUCAAGGCAGAGCACUUACUGGUCCACGGCGGCGUACUCCCUCACCCUCUUCUGAAGCACCAUGCCCGCAGGCUUCGCAGCCUGGCGCACUAGCGCGCGAGCCCCGGAGGCAAGCAAGGACGCGGCGCCCGGGUCUGCAGCGGCGCCGGCCAGCAACAAAGCGGAGGCAUCGCCUCGGGGGAUCAGUGCAGACCUGCUCUUCGUUGGGACACCCACCUUCGGCGUCUUUGGAGGGGUGCCCUUGGAUCUCGUGGUGACCCCAGCGGAGCGCGGCGACUCCUUCACCGGAUGCUCGCCGAUGUCGUCGUCGACAGGAAGGGAACAGAGGAGAUCGGUCCAGCGCGGGGGAGAAGUCUCCCCCGCCCCCUCUAGGGUCUCCUCCGAGUCCGACCCCUUCGCCUGGUCGGUCUCGCCAGAAGACAACGCCACCGGGGAGCCCGGGGGCCCGGUAGGCACCAGUGGUACGAGCCCACGCUCAUUGAAGACAGGCAUGGCGGCGGCGAUCUCUUCCCCAUCUGGGCGACGGUAUAGCAGAAGAUGAGUAUCUCGCGGGCAACCUUGGUCCUUCCCGACCAGGAGGCGCGAGACCUUGUUCAGCUCCUCUUCGGGCAAGUCGCUCGUGCGCAGCCGAAGGUCGCCUCCCUCGUCCAUGAGCUUCCACAAGGGGUGUGAGCGCGCCUGGAGCGGAGCCAGGCGCUGGGUCAGGAACUCUUUGACAAUCAUGGCCCCCGUCAGCUUCUCUGCCUUCGGGUCGUCCGGCUUUAGGUCGGUCACCAUCUUCUCCAUCAACUACUCCGCCCGGGGAUCGGUGAGCUUCUCGUGGUUCCAUCACUCGUGAGGCGUUGGCAUCCCAGUCGGCAGCGCCAGCCGUGAGGCUUGGCGUCCAUGAAGAUCCACUUGUUCCUGAAGUCCUCCACCUUUUUCCCCGCACGCGCGAUCGCGUUGGUGCCGUUGGCUGCGAUGAAGUUGGCACACCCCAAACACUGGCCCUCCUUGACCCGGAGGUAGAAGAAAUGGCGGAGCAGCACCAUGGACAGCAUCACCCCCACGAAUGCCUCGCAGUAAAAGGCGAAGAUUGACAGGAGGAGGAUGGAAUUAGGAUGAAGAUGAAGGGCGUGGAGAUUGUAAUGGCGAAGGACGGCAUAGAAGAAGCCAGAGAAAGGGGGGACCAGCCCCUCGAAGACACUAUGCAGGAAGAAGGGAUAGAAGGUACCGCCAGAAGUGUCCGGCUCGGUGGAGCAGGCCUAGAGCACAGUCUCUCCCCCUCAUUGCUGCUGCCCGCCGUCACCAGGAGCGCGGAGACGAAGUUCUUCUCUGAGACAGUGGGCGCGCUCAGAGCAGGCUCGAACCAGGAGGGCGAGCGCGCGGCCCUCGCCUUAUCGGUAGCCAUCCGCGGCAGACUAAGAGGAGAGCUUCGGUGGAUCUGGAAGUCCUUGGGAGAGAAUGAGAAGGGGAUCUGGAGCAAGGCAAAGGAAGGCAAUGAACGCCCUGUUGUGGGCACCAGCCUUUUAGUCAGGCGGGGACGGUUGCCGAGGCAGCGCAGGGAGCAGAGACGCCCACGUCCAACCAGUCGCCAUGCACCGACCAAGGCCGCAGGCGGUUGGGGCCCAUGGCGCUCCGCACUUGCCCCUUGGCUUCGCCUCGAAGCCAAGUUCGAGCACGCCUUGGGCCCGGGGGCUACUGUCGGCAUCCUGGGAACGGGGGUACCCAGACUUGCCUGCCUGCGGCCCAAGGCAUGGCUCCAUCGACGGCCUGGUAGGGCCCAGCUUCGACAACAACAGCUCAAGACCCUCGCGAGGGGCCAAGCCUCGCGAGGCGGACGACAGCAAGACCUCCUUGGGGGGCAGCCUCACUAGGUUGGCUCCCGAGGAGCAGAGAUAUCUAUGCAAGGUGCACCUCGCGAGGUUCGUGUGACGUGAGCCAUGACGACCAAGGCCAGGCGAGCGCCAGCGGGCGUAGUGUACCAGUUUCCCCUUUGGUGCUAAGGCGGCAAGCGCAGGCGUGGAGUCCCGAGGAAUCAAGCAAAGGUUUCCAUAUCGGUGCAACAAGACCAAGGACCGCCAGGACGACAGGACAGAGGUCAUCGUGGAGCCCGGCGCGGCGUCACCACCAGAGCCUUUUGCAGGCGAAGACUACUUUUGUCAGGAUAGCUUGUACUGGUUGUCCCCCUUCAAAUCUGGUCGUUGUGGGAUCCCUUCCCGCCUAUAUUUGGAAAGAGGACCAAGGCCACUAUAAAUAGGACCUAGCCACCACCAUAGAGAGGGACGGAUCAAUUCCACCCGAACCACCUCACCGGCUCAUCGAGCUCAAGAACACCUCACCUCCUGAGGCUGUUCCCACACCGUACUAGUUCAUCCUCAGCCCCUCGAGGCAAUCCACCACAAAGCUGGAGUAGGGUAUCACACCGCAAGGUGGCCCGAACCAGGAUAAACUGCUGAGUCUCUUGUCCUUUGGGUUCGUCGAGCUAGGUCAUGGAAUCGUUGGGUAGGCAGACUAGAGAGAGGGAGUUCUUCGCACGCACCCCAGAGUUCGAACCUCUCAAGGGUUUGCGGAACCCCGAAUCCGACAGAUUUUGGAUUUGAUUUACGAUUUUAGUUGGGCCAAUGAUUUUUCAAAUCAAUCAUGAGCUUUCUCCCACCACCUAGAAAAAAGAAAUGCCACCAUGUGAUACUGUAGCACCAAUAUAAUGCAUGCAGCUACUGAUGCAGAAAUUUCUCCACAUAAAUAUGAGUUUAUUAGCAGAUAACACGGAAUCAUACCUAGAAAGACCCACCAAAUAUCGUAUUAUAAAAAAUAAAACACACUUCAUCACCUCACUCCCCCCACCCAACUAAAUAUUCCAUCAAUUCCAAAAUAUAUUGGGUAUUAGUUUUCCGGAAAGUCAAAUUCCUUUAACUUUGACCAAGUUCAGAGCCAAAUUUACCGACAUCCACAAUAUUAAACAAAAAUAUGAAAAUUUAUUUCAUGAUGAAUCGAAUUAUACCAAUUUGAUAUUAUGGAUUUUGUUACAUUUCUCUACUAAUAUGGUCAAACUUAAAAAUGUUUGACUUUUUAAAAAAGUAAUACAUCUAAUAAUUUGAAACACGGUGAGUUGUUUUUAGAAACCCAACAACACUAAUGGUGCAACAAAGCGCACCAAACUCUUCUAGUAUCUACCAUUGUCGAGGGUAUAGAAGAAGCCCUUGAGAUGUUUACUCACAUUAGUGCCCGGUCUCCUCUAAGCAAGUUUGAGUGUUUUUUUAUUAAGAGAAGGGUCGACCAGAGUUGCAUUAAAUAUUAAAUAGAGGCGUACUAUGGUUGAUGCAACGACUCGAAAGAAAUAAGAAAUUGCAACCUAGACCUCGAAUAUUACAAAAAGGACCCUAGACAUAGGACUUAGAUUGCAAUUGGGCCCUAAUCCUACAGCAGGCUUCAACUCAGCACCAACCCCAUCGUCGCAUAGGAUGAUGUUGACUUUCUCUGACUUGGGAAUUGAAACGGGUAGGUAUCACCACCAGCACGUAGAAUUACCAUAAGUGGAAGAUGCAGACGCCCAAACCAAAACCCAAUCACCUCCGAUUAGGCCACAACGAGACCGAGAGAAAGUAAAGGAGAUAUCACACAAUGCAGAGUGAUUUAUAUAAAACAAGAUCAUGACUGGCGGGCGUUGCUACGCCCGUAUAUUUUUCCAAUAGAAUGAUAUUUACUUCUACAAAUAUAUAGGCAUGGAAGAACUGAAUUCCUAUUUUUAGUGAAAGAACUUCUGAACCAUCAUGUACGCGAACCAAAUAUUUACCAUUUUACAUAACUAUCAUCUUGAAUAUUUUCCGGGUCAGAUUGGCCAUCAUCUUAGUUCCAUGUUUUCCAAGUUUUUUCUAGCAUCUCAUAAAUUGGGUCAUAAAUCCACAACAUAAGCAUUUUAUGACCAUGAAUGUAAAUUGAAGCAAAAUUGCAUUCCAUGAAGCAUAUUGUUGUAUUAAUCAUGACCAAACUUAUCAGCAAAACACACCAAAAUAAUAAUAGUGUAACAGCCUAAAAAAGUCCUACUUUCUCUCGGUUACAAAUAUGUAAAUGACAUCAGCAAUACAAUUAGAGGAUGGAGCAUCUGAUACGACUAAGAAGCAGAUGGAUUAAUCAAUGGCAUGCGGAGAGCUCCAACGCUCUCAGUGGAUGGAUGAGCUCUUUCAACCAUUGGUGCAUUUGAUUCUCUCAAUGUUUGCGCCCUGUAUAUCUGUAUAGGAAAAAAAAGAUCGAUGGAAGUACCUACAUUUACAUAACCAAAAUGCAAACGUGGCAUUUCUGAUGAAAAUUUAGUAUACUUCCUCCGUUCCUAAAUAUAAGUGUUUUCCAAGAUUCCAAUGCGGACUAUAUAAGGAGCAAAAUAAGUGAAUCUACACUCUAAAAUAUGUCUAUAUACAUUCGUAUGUAGUUUUUAUUGAAAUAUCUAAAAAGACUUAUAUUUAGAAACGGAUGGAGUAGAUAACAACCCAAGACACUGCAAAUGCUAUUCGGUGAGCCAUGUGACCGCACUUGGUACAAGUACAUUACACACUUAACUUUAUAAAAACUAUGGAAAUAUGAGUGUACAUUAUUUUUAGCAGGGAUGCAGCUACGGAAUCAAUGGCAGCUUAGUUAGUUCAGUGCAUGUACAGAAAUCACCGGCACACUUAAUCGCAGCAGCAUCACUCCCUCAUCAAAUAUGAUGAACAAGAAGAAGAACAUAUGUGAGGACUAAAUUGGACUAAACUAAAGAUGCGACAUGAAGGGUAAUAUUAUGAUGAAUUUGUACACAUCCAUAUAAGAGGUAGCAAUGCCCUAUGCUCAUGACAAACUGUUGUAGUACGUUCCAAAGAAGAAAAGCAUAUACAGUAGGAUGAUCCAUUUGGCAAGAGUCCAAGAAAAUGUAAGAGCUCUUACCUUCUAUUAGCGCUGAAACAAAUCAUAUUGUAGAUGUCACCAUAUAGUCCAAUAUACAAAGUUAAAUUCUAGAAGAAUAAAGACCAUGAAUUAGUAGUACUGAAAUCAAAAUCAAUUUCAAACAUUGUACUCAAGAAUCCUCAUCUCCAAGUAAAUAGAUUGCCAUGUCAUGUCAUGUUUCCAUUGAUCCAUAAAUCAGCAAAGCUUUCUAAUUUUUGUUGUUACCUAAAUCCUAGCCCAAAAUCCAUAGGCUAAAUCACAUGAGCGAAACCAGCUGGUAUCCAACAACGCAAUCUAGAGAAAGAUCCAACAGUAAAUGGAAAAAUGACAAGAUGAAGUAAGCAAGAACAAUUGUGGCAGCAAUAGGCCAGGAGAAACGAAGCAACAUCCCUAAUGCUCAGAUGCAAGUUGAGAAUGAGCUCGUAUUUGUUGUGCAUGCUUCUUUCGCGGCAUGUACAUAGACGACUACAUCAGUACCGACGGUGGCAAUAACCAAUCGUCUUUCCUAUGCAGCCCUAUUUGUCAAUCGUCCUUGCAGCUAGAUCAGGGCAGUUUCCCUCACUGCUCGCAUCUGGGACCGCACUGUCACCAUAGGCAAAAGCCUCAUCAUCUAAUAUGGCCACUGGCCGCGGCAUCCAUGUGCAGGUAGAUUUGUGGCUAUCUUUCGGGCAACAUCAUGGACAGCGUCGAUGGGUGCAUAGUGUGCCACAAUGCCAUGUUCCAGAUAAACUUUAAGCCUAUUCCUUUUUUCCAGAAUGGUUAAUUUGCUACAUGAAAUUAAUAACUUUGUAUUAUCUAAGGCCAAGUAAAAUUACUUGAAGAGCUAAGUCCUAUAUCCUGUGUAAGGUCGUUGUAUUAGCUCCCUGAUGACCCACAAGUAUAGGGGAUUUAUCGUAGUCCUUUCAAUAAGUAAGAGUGUCGAACCCAACGAGGAGCAGAAGGAAAUGACAAGCGGUUUUCAGCAAGGUAUUCUCCGCAAGCACUGAAAUUAUCGGUAAAAGAUAGUUGUGUGAUAAGAUAAUUCGUAACGGGUAACAAAUAACAAAAGUAAACAAGGUGCAGCAAGGUGGCCCAAUCCUUUUUGUAGCAAAGGACAAGCCUGGACGUACUCUUAUAUAAAGCAAAGCGCUCCCGAGGACACAUGGGAAUUAUUGUCAAGUUAGUUUUCAUCAUGCCCAUAUGAUUCGCGUUCGUUACUUUGAUAAUUUGAUAUGUGGGUGGACCGGUGCUUGGGUACUGCCCUUCCUUGGACAAGCCUCUGAUACAUCUCCAACGUAUCUAAUUUUCCUAACGCUUUUCCUCUUGUUUUGGACUCUAAUUUGCAUGAUUUGAAUGAAACUAACCCCAGACUGACGCUGUUUUCAGCAGAACUACCAUAGUGUUGUUUUUGUGCAGAAAUAAAAGUUCUCAGAAUGGAACGAAACUUUGCGAGGGAUUUUUAUAUAAUAAAUAAGAAUUUCUGGAGCCAAGACCUACCGGAGAGGGGCCCCUGGGUGGGCAAAACCCACCAGGGCACGCCCCCUCUCCUUGCGCGCCCAGGUGGGUUGUCCCCACCUGGUGGCCCCGCAGACCCUGAAACUCACGCUAUAAAAUCCUAAUUUUCCAGAAAAAUGAGGGAGAAAGAAUUAUCGCGAUCCACGAGAUGGAGCCGCCGUCACCUCCUGUUCUUCAUCAGGGGGCCAGAUCUUGAGUCCGUUUGGGGCUCCGGAGAGGGGGAUCUUCGAUCUUCGUCAUCACCAACCCUUCUCCAUCGCCAAUUCCAUGAUGCUCCCCUCCGGGAGUGAGUAAUUCCUUCGUAGGCUCGCUGGUCGGUGAGGAGUUGGAUGAGAUUCAUCAUGUAAUCGAGUUAGUUUUGUUAGGACUUGAUCCCUAGUAUCCAUUAUGUUCUGAGAUUGAUGUUGCUAUGACUUUGCCAUGCUUAAUGCUUGUCACUUUGGGCCCGGGUGCCAUGAUUUCAGAUCUGAACCGUUUAUGUUAUCACCAUUAUAUCUAUGUUCUAGAUCCGAUCUUGCAAGUUAUAGUCACCUACUACGUGUUAUGAUCCGGCAACCCCGGAGUGACAAUAGUCGGGACCACUCCCGGUGAUGACCGUAGUUUGAGGAGUUCAUGUAUUCACUAUGUGUUAAUGCUUUGUUCCGGUUCUCUAUUAAAAGGAGACCUUAAUAUCCCUUAGUUUCCAAUAUGGACCCUGCUGCCACGGGAGGGUAGGACAAAAGAUUUCAUGCAAGUUCUUUCCAUAAGCACGUAUGACUAUUUACGGAAUACAUGCCUACAUUAUAUUGAUGAACUGGAGCUAGUGUCGUAUCGCCCUAGGUUAUAACUGUCUCAUGAUGAAUAUCAUCCAAUAAGUCACCGAUCCAAUGCCUAUGAAUUUAUCUUAUAUUGUUCUUGCUAAGUUACUACUGUUGCUGUUACUGUUGCACUUGCUACAAAAAUACUGCUAUCACUGUUACCGUUAUCGUUGCUACUGUUACUAUCAUCAAAACUAUUAAACUACUUUGCUACUGAUCACUUUUUUGCAGAUAAUUAAUCUCCAAGUGUGGUUGAAUUGACAACUCAGCUGCUAAUACCUUCAAAUAUUCUUUGGCUCCCCUUGUGUCGAAUCUAUAAAUUUGGGUUGAAUACUCUACCCUCGAAAACUGUUGUGAUCCCCUAUACUUGUGGGUUAUCAAGACCUUUUUCUGGUGCCGUUGCUGGGGACCAUAGCUAUAUUUGUUGAGUCACUUGGGAUUAUUAUCAAUUUAUCACUAUGAGGAAUCUGAAGGACGCUAAGACCAAGAUAUUUCCCUCUAAGACGAGGGGAGGUAAGGAACUGCCAUCCAGUUCUGCUUUAGAUUCACCUUCUGUUAUAAGUAAACUUGCAACACCACUACAUGCUAUCAAUUCUAAUAUGUCGCAAGUUAUUGAUGAUGCUACUUCUACUAUGAAUGAUGCUAGUACCAUGCUUGAUAAUUAUGAUGUGCCACUAGGUGAAUUUCUUGAUGAACAAAUUGCUAGAGUAAUACAACAUGAUGUUGUUGAAUCUGAUGAUGAGCUUGAAACUGAAAAUCUUGAAACACCUGCUAGAACUAGCCUUCCUAGAUAUGAAUUGCCUAAGUUACCAGAAGGUUAUGUUAUGAAUGAGGAGACAACUAGAGAUAUUCUUGCUUGUAAGGAUAGAGAUGAUUUAGAGAAAUUAUUAUGCAAGUAUAAAGAAAAAUCUCUGAAUGCUAGAAUGAAAUAUGAUCCUAAGUUUGCUACCUCACCUAUCUUUAUUGAUGAUAAGGAUUAUGAAUUCUCUGUCGACCCAGAGUUAAUUACUUCUGUUGAAUAUGAUCCUUUCCAUGGUUAUGAAACUGAAACUGUUGUGGCACAUCUUACUAAGUUGAAUGACAUAGCCACCCUUUUUACUCAUGAUGAGAACACUCGCUAUUACUAUAUUCUCAAAUUAUUUCUGUUCUCAUUAAAGGGUGAUGCUAAAGCUUGGUACAAUACUCUUGCUCCUGGGUGUGUGCGUAGUCCCCAAGAUAUGAUUUAUUACUUCUCUGAAAAAUAUUUUCCUGCUCAUAAGAAACAAGCUGCCUUACAGGAAAUAUUUAACUUUGUGCAAACUAAAGAAGAGAGUCUCCCACAAGCUUGGGGGAGGCCUUGCCAGUUACUUAAUGCUUUGCCUGAUCAUCCUCUUAAGAAAAAUGAAAUACUUGAUAUCUUCUAUAAUGGACUAACCGAUGCUUCUAGGGACUUCCUAGAUAGUUGUGCUGGUUGUGUUUUCAGGGAACGAACUAUUGGGCAAGCUGAAGAAUUAUUGAAUAAUAUAUUGAAAAAUUAUGAUGAUUGGACUCUUCCUGAACCACCGGCUAAACCCACUCCGAAGAAGAGGGGUAUAUUAUAUCUCAGUCUUGAAGAUAUGCAAGAGGCAAAGAAAUCUAUGAAGGAGAAAGGUAUUAAAGUUGAGGAUGUUAAAAUUUUACCUCCUAUUGAAGAAAUACAUGGGCUUGAUACACCAUCACUGCCUAAGGUGGUAGAGGUAAAUUCUUUAAUGAAGUUCAAUGAUAAUGAUAAUCCUCACAAUAUGCAUCCUAGCCAAUGCCUUUAUGAGUUUGAAAACUAUAUUAGAAAACAAGAUCACUUCAAUGCAAAUGUUAUGAAACAAUUGAAAUAUAAUUCUGAUAUGAUUGCUCGCUUGAGUAACUUGUUAUUUAGAAUCUCAAAUGAUGUUAGAGGUGUUGGAAAGCAUGCUUCUAUGGUUCAAACUCAAUUAGAACAAGUUGCUAAAUCUCAAAGAGAGUUGCUUGAUGAAAUGAAUCAUAAUAUAAAUGACUUUGCUGUUAGAGUUGCAACCAGUGGAGGUAAAAUGACUCAUGAACCACUUUAUCCUGAGGGACACCCAAAAAGAAUUGAACAAGACUCUCAAAGAGCUAAUGCUAAUGUACCUAGUCCUUCUAAAAAGAAAAAUAAGAAGAAGAAGAAAAAUGAUAGGACUUUGCAUGCUUCUAGUGAACCUGAAAUAGAAAAACCUCCUGAUAAUGAUAAUGAUGUCUCCAUUUCUGAUGCUGAAACUCAAUCUGGUAAUGAACAUCCACCUAGUGAUAAUGAAAAAGAUAAUGUUGAUGUUCAUGAAGAUGCUCAACCAAACAAUGAAAAAGAGCCAGAUAAUGAUGUUGAGAUAGAACCACCUGUUGAUCUUGAUAACCCACAACCUAAGAAUAAAAGAUAUGAUAAAACAGACUUCAUUGCUAGAAAACAUGGUAAAGAAAGAGAACCGUGGGUUCAAACACAUAUGCCUUUUCCACCCAAGUCAACUAAAAAGAAAGAUGAUGAAGAAUUUGAAUGCUUUGCUGAAAUGCUGAGGCCAAUCUUUUUGCGUACUCGCUUGACUGAUAUCUUGAAAAUGUCUCCUUAUGCAAAGUAUAUGAAAGACAUCAUCACUAAUAAGAGAAAAAUACCGGAAGAUGAAAUCUCCACUAUGCUUGCUAAUUAUACUUUUAGGGAUGGAGUACCUAAAAAACUUGGAGAUCCGGGAAUACCAACUAUACCUUGCUCCAUCAAAAAGAAUUGUGUGAAAACUGCUUUGUGUGAUUUAGGAGCUGGUGUUAGUGUUAUGCCUUUCUCUUUAUAUAAAAGACUUGAUUUGAAUAAACUCACACCUACUGAAAUAUUUUUGCAAAUGGCUGACAAAUCAACUGCCAUACAUAUCGGUAUUUGUGAGGAUGUGCCCAUUGUUGUUGCUAAUGUUACUAUCUUGACUGACUUUGUUAUACUUGAGAUGCCCGAGGACGAUAAAAUGUCGAUUAUCCUUGGUAGACCCUUCUUGAAUACUGCAGCGGCUUUUAUUGAUUGCAAUAAAAGCAAAGUCACUUUUCAUAUCAAUGGUAAUGAGCAUACAGUGCACUUUCCAAAGAAACAAUUCCAAGAAAAUGGUAUUAAUGUUAUUGAAAAAUUUCCGACAAUCACUAUUGGAAGUUUUCAAAUACCUCUACCUACUGUCAAAAAGAAAUAUGAAAUGCUUAUUGUGGGUGAUAUUCAUAUCCCCGUUGAGGUAACUUAGUGAUUUACGAAAGUUCUUCGGUUUCAUGCUAAUCGAAAGUGGUUGUUAAUAAGACCUGAUCAACCUUAUUAAUGGAUCAUUUUUGAGCGGUAUGAAGUUGAUGAAUUUAGUAAGCACUGCCUUCUGUUCCUACCUUUUGUUUUAUGUUUCUAUUAGUUAAAUAAAAUAAAAUGCCAUGUUUUGUCUGUUUUCUGAAUCUCCCGUGCAAUAAAAAAUGACUCAAAAAUAAAAGUUCUCAGAAUGCUCUAAAAAUUUAAUACGAAUUUUUCUGAAUAUUUCUGAAUUUAUGGUGCAAAUAAUACCAGAGGGAGGUGCACCAGGUGGGCACAACCCACCUGGGCGCGCCAGGACUCCCAGUUGCGCCCUGGUGGGUUGUGGUCCCCACGUGGGCCCCCUCACUUAUCUCUUCAUCCCACAUCAUCACUUACCUCCAGAAAAAAAUCUCCAUUGCUCUCUCUCCCAUGUUCUUGCUCUCAAACCCGCGGAUUUCGAUCUCUUUGCUCGAACUUCCGUUUCUGAAACUGUUUCGAGGGAUUGUUGCUUGGUAUGUGACUCCACCGUUUGUCCAAUUAGUUUUUGUUUUAGUGGUUUAUAUUUUGAAUAAUUAGCUACUCUUGGUGCUGCUGUAGAUGAGCUUGCAUGUUGAAUUCUUAGAGUACUAAGUAGUUUGAAUGCUUGUUGUGGCCUCUAUGUAUCCCUAUGAGUAGUUGCUAUCAAUCUUAUAAUGUUUUGUUGAUAAAUUUUUGUCACCCAAAGAUUUUAAGAAAAAUUUACGCGAACAUGAUGAACCCAUUUGGAAGGAGUUCUUCGAGGAGGAGAUCCUCAGGGGCAUCUUCUAGUGACAGCUCCGCUCGCAGGUCUUAUGUUGAACCAAGUGAAGGUUCCACACGAGAUGCUGCCACCAAAACAUGCUUAUGGACUUGCGAUGACUAUAUGGUGCGUGUGGGCAUUAAGGAGGAAUUUGAUCAAUAUGUUCACAAUGCCGGUCUCGGUCCCUACAUUUCAGAUAAGUGUGAACAACACCACAUUCUCACUGAAUCAUUUGUCAAAGGAUUUAAAUUCCAUCCCCGUGAGUCUAGGGUCUCGUUUAUGCUUUAUGAUAAUCCAUUUACCAUCUCACUAGAGAAUUUUGCUUACCACUGCAAACUCCCAUUCUGGGGUUCGCUUGACGAACCGCCAAGGGCUGAGUACCAAUCAUUUUUGACUAGUCUUUGCUACGGUGAGACGAGGGGAGUGACAUAGGGUAGAAUAAAGAGCAUUCAUUUUCCCGCAAUUCAGUACUUUGCAUUAUUUAAUGGGAAAUGUAUAGUAGGCAAGCAAGACUGUACACCUUGUGCUCCAGACUUGAGCCUCAUACGCACUGCUCUAACUGGUAAUAGGAGUUAUAACCUAGGAGCAAUUGUUGCACGCAGACUUCAGCAUAACGCUAACAGUGGCUAUUUCUAUGGUGGAAUAUAUGCCACGCGUUUAGCACGAGGGCUAGGUGUUUCACCUUUGCCCUUUGAACCUAUUCUACCCACGCAGUAUUUAGAUUUCAAUGUUUUGAAGAGUCAGAAGAUCCUCACAGGAAAAGUUCAUAACUUUACUUACAAUCUGUUGUUUAACAAAACAUCUAUUGUGCACAUAUAUUAGCCUGCGCCUGCUCUUUUUGACUAUCAUGGCAAAGGAAGAUACUUUGUUCUUGAGAGCGAGGCCCGAGCUCACAACGCAGCAGUGGAGGCAGCGCGGCAGGCCGAGGCAUCCGCACCGAGAGCCUCCGUGAGCUACCACGCCAACUACUAUCCAGACUAUUGAUCGAUUACCAAGUUAGGCCAAAAGCCUAAGCUUGGGGGAGUACGUGUUUCUCACCGACAUUACAUUCAUAUUCACACAUUUCAUUUCAGUUGUUGGUGUUCACACUUUUUCAUUGUAUCAUCCAUGUUAAAUUUAUUUUCUCGCUUUCUUCUUGUGUGUUUGAAAAACCUUGAGAAAAUACAAAAAUAUUUCCUGCUUCUUUUUGGUUUUCUUUCUAGAGUAGUUAGCUGUAGCACUAAAAAGAAAACCCAAAAAGAUUUCCUUGUUCUUCUUUUGCUUGUUGGGAGCUUUCCCGUGUAAAUAGUUUUUUCUUGUUUUUGCUUUUCCCUUUUAUUUGCUUGUUCAAGAAAACCAAAAACUCCAAAAAUAUUUCAUUGUGUUUCUCUGAAUUUUCUUUCUUUUUGUUUGAGUCAUACCAAGGAGAAGACCACGAUGAAAAUGUUGAGUGGCUCUCAUAUGAAUAACUGUUGAUCUAAUAAAGAGCCCAUUUUACCUUGUCUUCUCCUGUUGAAUAAAAUGUUUGCAGAUUCCAGCUUAGUCCACGGCACCCUUGCACUAUUAUUAUUUUCAUAUCAUUCGGUCGUGCAAGUGAAAGGCAAUAAUGAUGAUAUUCGAUGCACUGGCCGUGGCAGAGAGAAACUGGUAUGAACUCGACUUGUUCUAUUUGUAUAAAUAUGUUUAACCUAGUAUCCAUGAUUCAGCCCAUUAUGAUUAAACAUGUUUGCAAUGACAAUUAGAGAUUAUAGUUUCUCAUGCCAUGCAUAAGUAGCUCGGAGUGGAUAAUGAUUUAUCUUGGAUAUCGACAUUGCGUUAAAAUGAUUGUGAUGUAGUAUGAUGAUAUGGUAUCCUCCUCUGAAUGUUCGAGUGGCUCUAUGAUGUUGAAUCAAAACCAACAUAGCCUCUAUGAUAUUUAUGUUCAUGGUGUUCAUAUCCUACUCAUGCUAGUGUCCAAUUUUACUUAUGCGUAAUGCAUGUUCAUGACCGUUGUUGCUCUCUAGUUGGCUGCUUCUCAACCUAAUUGCUAGCCUUCGCCUGUACUAAGUGGGAAUUCUGCUUGUACAUCAAAAUCCUUGAACCCAAGUUAUUCCAGAUGAGUCCACCAUACCUACCUAUAUGCGGUAUUACCCUGCCGUCCUAAGUAAAUUUGCAUGUGCCACCUCUAAAAACUUCAAAUAAAUAUCCUUUUUGUGUGCCUGGAUCGUUCAUGGAACGACAGGAGGUGGUUGGUAUCUUUCAUGCUAAGUGGGUUAUUCUUAGGUCGAGUGUUUAUUCACUCUCCAUUGCACGAGAAAAGGGCGGUAAUAGGGAUUCCCAGUCCCAAACUCAAAAAUGCAAAUAAUUAAACAAAACUCCCCCGGGACUGUUGUUGGUAUGGAUGGCACCCGUUGUUUCAGACAAGCCGUGGAAUGUGAUUGUUGGUGGAGGGGGAGUAAACCUUUACUUUUACCGCUUGGGAACCGCCACUAGCGUGUUUAGCAUGGAAGAUAUUGAUAACUGAUGAUCGUGAAGUAAAUGAGAAGGGUGCAUGUCUCAAAAUAUCAUUUACCUCUGUUUUAAAAACUUGAGCUCUGGCACCUCUGCAAAUCACUGCUUCCCUCUGCAAAUCACGCUAUAAAAUCCUAUUUUUCUAGAAAAAAUGAGGGGGAAAGAAUUAUCGCGAUCCACGAGACGGAGCCGCCGUCACCUCCUGUUCUUCAUCGGGAGGCCAGAUCUGGAGUCUGUUUGGGGCUCCAGAGAUGGGGAUCUUCAUUCUUCGUCAUCACCAACCCUUCUCCAUCGCCAAUUCCAUGAUGCUCCCCACCGGGAGUGAGUAAUUCCUUCGUAGGCUCGCUGGUUGGUGAGGAGUUGGAUGACAUUCAUCAUGUAAUCGAGUUAGUUUUGUUAGGGCUUCAUCCCUAGUAUCCACUAUGUUCUUAGAUUGAUGUUGCUAUGACUUUGCUAUGCUUAAUGCUUGUCACUUUGGGCCCGGGUGCCAUGAUUUCAGAUGAACCGUUUAUGUUAUCGCCAUUAUAUCCAUUUCCUAGAUCCGAUCUUGCAAGUUAUAGUCACCUACUACGUGUUAUGAUCCGGCAACCCCGGAGUGACAAUAGUCGGGACCACUCCCGGUGAUGACUGUAGUUUGAGGAGUUCAUGUAUUCACUAUGUGUUAAUGCUUUGUUCCGGUUCUCUAUUAAAAGGAGACCUUAAUAUCCCUUAGUUUCCAAUAUGGACCCCGCUGCCACGGGAGGGUGGGACAAAAGAUGUCAUGCAAGUUCUUUCCAUAAGCACGUAUGACUACGGAAUACAUGCCUACAUUAUAUUGAUGAACUAGAGCUAGUGUCGUAUCGCCCUAGGUUAUAACUGUCGCAUGAUGAAUAUCAUCCAACAAGUCGCCGAUCCAAUGCCUACGAAUUUAUCUUAUAUUGUUCUUGCUAAGUUACUACUGCUACUGUUACUGUUGCACUUGCUACAAAAAUACUGCUAUCACUCUUACCGUUAUCGUUGCUACUGUUACUAUCAAACUACUUUGCUACUGAUCACCUUGCUAUAGAUAACUAAUCUCCACGUGUGGUUGAAUUGACAACUCAGCUGCUGAUACCUUCAAAUAUUCUUUGCCUCCCCUUGUGUUGAAUCUAUAAAUUUGGGUUGAAUACUCUACCCUCGAAAAUUGUUGUGAUCCCCUAUACUUGUGGGUUAUCAGCCUCCCACUUAUGAUUAACCCCUCUCACAAGCAUCCGCAACUACGAAAGAAGAAUUAAGGUAAACCUAACCAUAGCAUGAAACAUAUGGAUCCAAAUCAGCCCCUUGCGAAGCAACGCAUAAACUAGGGUUUAAGCUUCUGUCACUCUAGCAACCCAUCAUCUACUUAUUACUUCCCAAUGCCUUUCCCCAGGCCCAAAUCAUGGUGAAGUGUCAUGUAGUCGACAUUCACAUAACACCACUAGAGGAAAGACAACAUACAUCUCAUCAAAAUAUCGAACGAAUACCAAAUUCACAUGAUUACUUAUAACAAGACUUCUCCCGUGUCCUCAGGAACAAACAUAACUACUCACAAAGCAUAUUUGUGUUCAUAAUCAGAGGGGUAUUGGAUAGCAUUAAGGAUCUGAACAUAUGAUCUUCCACCGAAUAAACCAACUAGCAUCAACUACAAGGAGUAAUCAACACUACUAGCAACCCACAUGUACCAAUCUGAGGUUUUGAGACAAAGAUCGGGUACAAGAGAUGAACUAGGGUUUGAGAGGAGAUGGUGCUGGUGAAGAUGGAUGGAGAUUGACCCCCUCUCGAUGAGAGGAUCGAUGGUGAUGACGAUGGCGAUGAUUUCCCCCUCCCGGAGGGAAGUAUCCCCGGUAGAACAGCCCUGCCGAAGCUCUAGAUUGGUUUAGCCCAGGUUCCGCCUCGAGACGGCGGCUCUUCGUCCUGAAAGCUUCUAUCUGAUUUUUUCUAGGUCAAAACACACCAUAUAGCCAAAGAUGGGCACCGGAGGCCUACCGGGGGGCCCACAAGGUCAGGGGGCGCGCCCGGGGGGGUAGGGCGCGCCCCCCACCCUUGUGGCUGGCUGGUGGGCCCCCUUUGGCACUUUCACCCAAUAUUUUUUUAUAUUCCAAAAAUAUGCUCCGUGAAGUUUCAGGACUUUUGGAGUUGUGUAGAAUAGGUCUCUAAUAUUUGCUCCUUUUCCAGUCCAGAAUUCCAGCUGCCGGCUUUCUCCCUCUUCAUGUAAACCUUAUAAAAUAAGAGAGAAAAUGCAUAAUUAUUGUGAUAUAAUGUGUAAUAACAGCCCAUAAUGCAAUAAAUAUCAAUAUAAAAGCAUGAUGCAAAAUGGACGUAUCAACUCCCCCAAGCUUAGACCUCGCUUGUCCUCAAGCGAAAGCCGAUAUCAAAAAAUAUGCCCACAUGUUUAGAGAUAGAGGUGUCGAUAAAAUAAAAUACGGACAUGAGGGCAUCAUGAUCAUCUUUAGAACAGCAACAUAACUUGUCAUAUAGGUUCUUAUGUUAAAGUAACAAUUCAUUCACAAGGUAAAGUAUGAAUUAGAAACUUCAUUGAUAGCCAACAAACUAUGAUCUCAGUCAUUGAAGCAAUUGCAAUUUAUCAUACAUCGGAAAGAGUCAAAUAUAAGAGCUUUUCAGCAAGUGCACAUACUCAACUAUCAUUUAGUCUUUCAUAAUUGCUGACACUCACGUGAUACUUAAUGAGUUCAAAGUUUCAACCGGACACAGAGAAAGAUAGGGGCUUAUAGUUUCGCCUCCCAAUGAUUUACCUCAAGGGUAAUGUCAACAAUAAUGGUUCAUGGCUCUCUACAUCCGCAUGGAUAUAUAUAUCUAGAUCUAGCUCCAACAUAUUGUGCUUGCCAAAAGAUAAAAGUAAAAAGGUAAGGUGAUGAUCACCAUGACUCUUGUAUAAGGAUAUGAGAUGAAAAUAAAAGAUAGGCCCUUCGCAGAGGGAAGCAGAGGUUGUCAUGCGCUUUUAUGGUUGGAUGCACAAAAUCUUAAUGCAAAAGAACGUCACUUUAUAUUGCCACUUGUGAUAAUGGACCUUUAUUAUGCAGUCUGUCGCUUUUAUUUCUUCCAUAUCACAAGCUCGUAUAAAGCUUAUUUUCUUCACACUAAUAGAUCAGACAUAUUUAGAGAGCAUUUUUUAUUGCAUGCACCGAUGACAACUUAUUUGAAGGAUCUUACUCAAUCCAUAGGUAGGUAUGGUGGACUCUCAUGGCAAAACUGGUUUAAGGGAUGUUUGGAAGCACAAGUAGUAUCUCCACUUGGUGCAAAGCAUUUUGGUUAGCAUGAGAGGGAAAGCAAGCUCAACAUGUUGGAGGAUCUAUAACAAUAUAACCUCUGUUAGGAUGUAAGAAGACAUAACCCAUUAUGUUGUCUUCCUUGUCCAACUUCAACUUUUUAGCAUGUCAGAUUUUAAUGAGUGCUCACAAUUCUAAAAGAUGUCCAAGAUAAUAUAUUUAUAUGUGAAACCUCUCUUUCUUUAUUACUUCCUAUUAAUUGCAACAAUGACCAAAACUAUGUUUGUCAACACUCAACAACUUUUAUUCUCCAUACUCUUUAUAUGUGAAAUCAUUACUCUCCAUAAGAUCAACAUAUGAUCUUUUUAUUUCCUUUUAUUCUUUCUUUAAUAAUUCCCUCAAGAUCAUAGCAAUAUAGCAAAGCCCUCAACUCAAAACUAUUCUUUAUUAUAUAUAACUCGAGGACUCGAUUACAUAGAUAGAGAUCAAAACAAAACUCAAAGCUAGAUCAUACUAAAACUUUAUUCUACUAGAUCAAGAUAUAACUAAAAGGGUGGAACAAAGAAAAACGGUAAAGAUAAAGGUGUGAUGGUGAUAUGAUACCGGGGCACCUCCCCCAAGCUUGGCAGUUGCCAAGGGGAGUGCCCAUACCCAUGUAUUUAUGAUUCUUUCUUCGGAGGUGGUGACGAUGGAGUUGUUGAUGAUGUAGGCUUGUCGUCCGCCUUCCAGGGCAUAGGCUCACCAUCGUAAAAGGAAGAACGAGUCUCCGGGAUCCUCAAAUCUGCAGCCAAACUCAUCAUCCUAAAUCUAUAUUCAUACUCAUAGUUCUGGUUCUGCAGGUCACAGAUAUGGGCUUGGAGAUGCUCGAUUUUCUCAUGAAUCUUGAAGAUGGCAUCCUCUAUGUUCUUGGCAUCCAGCUUAUGGUUGUUGGUGAACUCCGCAAUCAUCAUGUGAUUGGCGUUGAGUCCACGUUCCACCAUCCCCUGGCACUUGAAAACUUGUUGCUCCAUUGCUUCGAGUCUUGUCUCCACGCUUCCGGUCUUCUUCGGUCCCUCAACAUCGCGGAUGUAUAGCACCCCCUCACGCAUCUCAAUGGUUUGAGGGUGUUGCAGCACCUCUGCGUGGUAAGGGUUGAUGACCUUCUCGAAAAACUUGUCCUUGGGGGCGCUUGGAGACGUCAUGGUGAUCUAGAUCUGUCAGAGAAACAGCUCGAAACAAAAACAGUAGAUUUUGUCGUGGUACUGUGGUCAAAACCUUCGGGAGAUUAUAUAAUGAUUUUUUACCGACCCAAAGAAGUAUUGUGCAAGAAAACGGAGUCCAGAGGGCACACAAGGUGGCCACAAGGUCGGGGGCGCGCCCAGGGGGUAGGCGCACCCUCCACCCUUGUGGUCGCCUCGUGUCUCUUUCGGACUACUUUUAAUUUCCCUAACUAUUAAAAUAUUCCAAAACGGAGAAAAAUUGCUAUUUAAACAGUUUCGGAGUCGGUUUACUUAUUGUACCACAUACCUAUUCCUUUUCGGAGUUUGAAACGUUCUGGAAAGUAUCCCUUAUGUACUCCUCCGGUAUUAAUAAUAUUGGUUUCAACAUUUAUGGGAGUACCUGAGAUAUAAUGUUUGAUUCUUUGGCCAUUCACCACCUUCGGAUUUGUGCCUUCGGCGUUGUUGAUUUUGAUGGCACCGGAACGAUAGACCUCCUCGAUAAUGUAAGGACCUUCCCAUUUAGAGAGAAGUUUUCCUGCAAAACAUGAUCACCUACAUUAAACUCACGCUUUUGUAUCCUUUUGUCAUGCCAUCUUUUAACUUUUUCUUUAAACAACUUGGCAUUCUCAUAGGCUUGGGUUCUCCAUUCAUCAAGUGAGCUAAUGUCAAAUAGUCUCUUCUCACCGGCAAGUUUGAAACCAUAGUUGAGCUCUUUAAUAUCCCAAUAUGCCUUAUGUUCUAGUUCAAGAGGUAAGUGACAUGCUUUUCCAUAAACCAUUUUAUACGGAGACAUACCCAUAGGGUUUUUAUAAGCAGUUCUAUAAGCCCAUAAUGCAUCAUCGAGUUUCUUAGACCAAUUAUUUCUAGAUCUAUUAACAUUCUUUUGAAAAAUCAAUUUAAUCUCUCUGUUGCUCAAUUCUACUUGACCACUAGACUGAGGAUGAUAUGGAGAUGCAAUUCUUGUUGGGGAUCGUAGCAGAAAUUUAAAAAUUUCUACGCAUCGCCAAGAUCAAUCUAUGGAGUCAUCUAGCAAUGAGAGAGAGGAGUGCAUCUACAUACCCUUGUAGAUCGCGAGCGGAAGCGUUCAAGAGAACGGGGUUGAUGGAGUCGUACUCGUCGUGAUCCAAAUCACCGAUGAUCCUAGCGCCGAACGGACGGCACCUCCGCGUUCAACACACGUACGGUUGGGAGAGACGUCUCUUCCUUCUUGAUCCAGCAAGGGGGGAGAGGUUGAUGGAGAUCCAGCAGCACGGCGGCGUGGUGGUGGAAGCAGCGGGGAUCUCGGCAGGGCUUCGCCAAGCUCAGCGAGAGGGAGAGGUGUUACGGGAGGGAGAGGGAGGCGCCAGGGCUUGGGUGCGCAGCCCUUCCUUCCCCCCCCCCUUUAUAUAGGGGCCCUGGGGGGCGCCGGCCCCUAGAGAUCUAAUCUCAAGGGGGGGCGGCGGCCAAGGGGGGGACUUGCCCCCCAAGUCAGGUGGGGCGCCCCCCACCCCCAGGGUUUCCAACCCUAGGCGCAGGGGGAGGCCCAUGGGGGGCGCACCAGCCCACCAGGGGCUGGUUCCCUUCCCACUUCAGCCCAUGGGGUCCUCCGGGAUAGGUGGCCCCACCCGGUGGACCCCCGGGACCCUUCCGGUGGUCCCGGUACAAUACCGGUGACCCCCGAAACUUUCCCGGUGGCCGAAACUGGACUUCCUAUAUACAAAUCUUUACCUCCGAACCAUUCCGGAACUCCUCGUAAUGUCCGGGAUCUCAUCCGGGACUCCGAACAACUUUCGGGUUACCGCAUACUAAUAUCUCUACAACCCUAGCGUCACCGAACCUUAAGUGUGUAGACCCUACGUGUUCGGGAGACACGCAGACAUGACCGAGACGACUCUCCGGUCAAUAACCAACAGCGGGAUCUGGAUACCCAUGUUGGCUCCCACAUGCUCCUCGAUGAUCUCAUCGGAUGAACCAUGAUGUCGAGGAUUCAAGUAAUCCUGUAUACAAUUCCCUUUGUCAAUCGGUACGUUACUUGCCCGAGAUUCGAUCGUCGGUAUCCCAAUACCUCGUUCAAUCUCGUUACCGACAAGUCACUUUACUCGUACCGUAAUGCAUGAUCCCGUGACCAACCACUUGGUCACAUUGAGCUCAUUAUGAUGAUGCAUUACCGAGUGGGCCCAGAGAUACCUCUCCGUCAUACGGAGUGACAAAUCCCAGUCUCGAUCUGUGCCAACUCAACAGACACUUUCGGAGAUACCUGUAGUGCACCUUUAUGGCCACCCAGUUACGUUGUGACGUUUGGUACACCCAAAGCAUUCCUACGGUAUCCGGGAGUUGCACGAUCUCAUGGUCUAAGGAAAUGAUACUUGACAUUAGAAAAGCUUUAGCAAACGAACUACACGAUCUAGUGCUAUGCUUAGGAUUGGGUCUUGUCCAUCACAUCAUUCUCCUAAUGAUGUGAUCCCGUUAUCAGUGAUAUCCAAUGUCCAUGGUCAGGAAACCAUAACCAUCUAUUGAUCAACGAGCUAGUCAACUAGAGGCUUACUAGGGACAUGUUAUAGUCUAUGCAUUCACACAUGUAUUACGAUUUCCGGAUAACACAAUUAAAGCAUGAACAAUAGACAAUUAUCAUGAAAAGGAAAUAUAAUAAUAACCAUUUUAUUAUUGCCUCUAGGGCAUAUUUCCAACAGUCUCCCACUUGCACUAGAGUCAAUAAUCUAGUUACAUUGUGAUGAACCGUACACCCAUAGAGUUCUGGUGUUGAUCAUGUUUCGCUCGUGGAAGAGGUUUAGUCAACGGAUCUGCGACAUUCAAAUCCGUAUGCACUUUACAAAUAUCUAUGUCUCCAUUUUGAUCAUUUUCACGAAUGGAGUUGAAGCGACGCUUGAUGUGCCUGGUCUUCUUGUGAAACCUGGGCUCCUUGGCAAGGGCAAUAGCUCCAGUGUUGUCACAGAAGAGAGUCAUUGGCCCCGAUGCAUUGGGAAUAACUCCUAGGUCGGCAAUGAACUCCUUCAUCUCAACGACCGCGUCACCCGGGAGAUUAACUCCCAGCUGAGACAAGCGGUUGUGCAACCCAGACAUUUUGAGUAUGUGUUCGCUGACGGAACUAUUCUCCUCCAUCUUACAACUGUAGAACUUGUCAGAGACUUCAUAUCUCUCGACCCGGGCGGGAAAACCAUUUUCAGCUCUUGGAACAUCUCAUAUGCUCCGUGCUGCUCAAAACGCUUUUGGAGCCCUGGUUCUAAGCUGUAAAGCAUGCCGCACUGAACCAGGGAGUAAUCAUCACUACGCGACUGCCAGGCGUUCAGAACGUCUUGAGUUGCUGGGAAAACAGGUGCAUCACCUAGCAGUGCUUCAAGGACAUAUGCUUUCUUGGCAGCUAUGAGGAUAAUCCUCAGGUUACGGACCCAGUCCGUGUAGUUGCUACCAUCGUCUUUCAGCUUGGUUUUCUCUAGGAACGCGUUGAAGUUGAGGGCAACAUUAGCGUGGGCCAUUUGAUCUACAAGACAUAUUGUAAAGAUUUUUAGACUAAGUUCAUGAUAAUUAAGUUCAUCUAAUCAAAUUAUUAACGAACUCCCACUCAGACAGACAUGCAUCCCUCUAGUCAUCUAAGUGAUACAUGAUCCGAGUCAACUAGGCCGUGUCCGAUCAUCACGUGAGACGGACUAGUCAUCAUCGGUGAACAUCUUCAUGUUGAUCGUAUCUGCUAUACGACUCAUGUUCGACCUUUCGGUCUCUUGUGUUCCAAGGCCAUGUCUGUACAUGCUAGGCUCGUCAAGUCAACCUAAGUGUAUUGCGUGUGUAAAUCUGGCUUACACCCAUUGUAUGUGAACGUUAGAACCUAUCACACCCGAUCAUCACGUGGUGCUUUGGAACAACGAACUUUCGCAACGAUGCACAAUUAGGGGGAACACUUUCUUGAAAUUUUAGCGAGGGAUCAUCUUAUUUAUGCUACCGUCGUUCUAAGCAAAUAAGAUGUAAAACAUGAUAAACAUCACAUGCAAUCAAAUAGUGACAUGAUAUGGCCAAUAUCAUUUUGCUCCUUUUGAUCUCCAUCUUCGGGGCGCCAUGUUCAUCAUCGUCACCGGCAUGACACCAUGAUCUCCAUCAUCGUGUCUUCAUGAAGUUGUCUCGCCAACUAUUACUUCUACUACUAUGGCUAACGGUUAGCAAUAAAGUAAAGUAAUUACAUGACGUUCCAGUUGACACGCAGGUCAUAAAUAAAUCAAGACAACUCCUAUGGCUCCUGCCGGUUGUCAUACUCAUCGACAUGCAAGUCGUGAUUCCUAUUACAAGAACAUGAUCAAUCUCAUACAUCACAUAUAUCAUUCAUCACAUCCUUCUGGCCAUAUCACAUCACAUGACACUUGCUGCAAAAACAAGUUAGACAUCCUCUAAUUCUUGUUGCAAACUUUUACGUGGCUGCUAUAGGUUUCUAGCAAGAACGAUUCUUACCUACGCCAAAACCACAACGUGAUAUGCCAAUUUCUAUUUACCCUUCAUAAGGACCCUUUUCAUCGAAUCCGAUCCGACUAAAGUGGGAGAGACGGACACCCGCUAGCCACCUUAUGCAACUAGUGCAUGUCAGUCGGUGGAACCUGUCUCACGUAAGCAUACGUGUAAGGUCGGUCCGGGCCGCUUCAUCCCACGAUGCCGCUGAAUCAAGAUAAGACUAGUAACGGCAAGUAAAUUGACAAAAUCGACGCCCACAACAACUUGUGUUCUACUCGUGCAUAGAAACUACUCAUAGAUCUAGCUCAUGAUGCCACUGUUGGGGAUCGUAGCAGAAAUUUAAAAUUUUCUACGCAUCACCAAGAUCAAUCUAUGGAGUCAUCUAGCAACGAGAGAGAGGAGUGCAUCUACAUACCCUUGUAGAUCGCGAGCGGAAGCGUUCAAGAGAACGGGGUUGAUGGAGUCGUACUCGUCGUGAUCCAAAUCACCGAUGAUCCUAGCGCCGAACGGACGGCACCUCCGCAUUCAACACACGUACGGUUGGGAGAGACGUCUCCUCCUUCUUGAUCCAGCAAGGGGGAGGAGAGGUUGAUGGAGAUCCAGCAGCACGACGGCGUGGUGGUGGAAGCAGCGGGGAUCUCGGCAGGGCUUCGCCAAGCUCAGCGAGAGGGGGAGGUGUUACGGGAGGGGGAGGGAGGCGCCAGGGCUUGGGUGCGCAGCCCUCCCUCCCCCCUUUAUAUAGGGGCCCUGGGGGGCGCCGGCCCCUAGAGAUCUAAUCUCAAGGGGGGGCGGCGGCCAAGGGGGGACUUGCCCCCCAAGUCAGGUGGGGCGCCCCCCACCCCCAAGGUUUCCAACCCUAGGCGCAGGGGGAGGCCCAUGGGGGGCACACCAGCCCACCAGGGGCUGGUUCCCUUCCCACUUCAGCCCAUGGGGCCCUCCGGGAUAGGUGGCCCCACCCGGUGGACCCCCCGGGACCCUUCCGGUGGUCCCGGUACAAUACCGGUGACCCCCGAAACUUUCCCGAUGGCCGAAACUGGACUUCCUAUAUACAAAUCUUUACCUCCGGACCAUUCCGGAACUCCUCGUGAUGUCCGGGAUCUCAUCCGGGACUCCGAAGAACAUUCGGGUUACCGCAUACUAAUAUCUCUACAACCCUAGCGUCACCGAACCUUAAGUGUGUAGACCCUACGGGUUCGGGAGACACGCAGACAUGACCGAGACGACUCUCCGGUCAAUAACCAACAGCAGGAUCUGGAUACCCAUGUUGGCUCCCACAUGCUCCUCGAUGAUCUCAUCGGAUGAACCACGAUGUCGAGGAUUCAAGUAAUCCCGUAUACAAUUCCCUUUGUCAAUCGGUACGUUACUUGCCCGAGAUUCGAUCGUCGGUAUCCCAAUACCUCGUUCAAUCUCGUUACCGACAAGUCACUUUACUCGUAUCGUAAUGCAUGAUCCCGUGACCAACCACUUGGUCACAUUGAGCUCAUUAUGAUGAUGCAUUACCGAGUGGGCCCAGAGAUACCUCUCCGUCAUACGGAGUGACAAAUCCCAGUCUCGAUCUGUGCCAACUCAACAAAUACUUUCGGAGAUACCUGUAGUGCACCUUUAUGGCCACCCAGUUACGUUGUGACGUUUGGUACACCCAAAGCAUUCCUACGGUAUCCGGGAGUUGCACGAUCUCAUGGUCUAAGGAAAUGAUACUUGACAUUGGAAAAGCUUUAGCAAACGAACUACACGAUCUAGUGCUAUGCUUAGGAUUGGGUCUUGUCCAUCACAUCAUUCUCCUAAUGAUGUGAUCCCGUUAUCAGUGACAUCCAAUGUCCAUGGUCAGGAAACCAUAACCAUCUAUUGAUCAUGUUAUAGUCUAUGCAUUCACACAUGUAUUACGAUUUCCGGAUAACACAAUUAAAGCAUGAACAAUAGACAAUUAUCAUGAACAAGGAAAUAUAAUAAUAACCAUUUUAUUAUUGCCUCUAGGGCAUAUUUCCAACAAUUCUAUGGUUAACAUCAUAUUUAGCAAGCAUUUUACGGAAAGCACCAUGAAUAAAAUGUGAACCACCAUCAGUUAAUAAAUAUCUAGGGACUCCAAACCUCGGAAAAAUAACUUCUUUAAGCAUCUUAAUAGAGGUGUUAUGAUCAGCACUACUAGUUGGAAUAGCUUCUACCCACUUAGUAACGUAAUCAACGGCAACUAAAAUAUGUGUAUACCCAUUAGAGGAAGGAAAAGGUCCCAUAUAAUUAAAUCCCCAAACAUCAAAUGGCUCAAUAACAAGUGAAUAGUUCAUAGGCAUUUCCUGACGUCUACUAAUAUUACCAACUCUCUGACAUUCAUCACAAGACAAGAAAAACUUACGAGCAUCUUUAAAGAGAGUAGGCCAAUAAAAACCAGAUUGCAAUACCUUGUGUGCAGUUCUAUCUCCAGCAUGGUGUCCUCCAUAAGCCUCGGAGUGACACUUGCGUAGGAUCUGUUCCUGUUCAUGCUCAGGUACACAACGUCUAAUAACACCAUCUACUCCUUCUUUAUAAAGGUGUGGGUCAUCCCAAAAGUAAUGUCUUAAAUCAUAGGAAAACUUUUUCUUUUCUUGGUAUGUGAAGCUAGGUGGUAUAAAUUUAGCAACAAUAUAAUUAGCAUAAUCAGCAUACCAAGGAGUAUUAUGAGAAGCAUUUAUGACAGCUAAUUGCUCAUCAGGAAAGCUAUCAUCAAUAGAUAGUGGGUCAUCAAGAACAUUUUCUAACCUAGACAAGUUAUCUGCAACGGGGUUCUCGGCUCCCUUUCUAUCAAUAAUAUGCAAAUCAAAUUCUUGUAACAAGAGAACCCAUCUAAUAAGUCUAGGUUUAGAAUCUUUCUUUUCCAUAAGAUAUUUAAUAGCAGCAUGAUCAGUGUGAACAGUUGCUUUGGAAUCAACAAUAUAAGAUCUGAACUUAUCACAAGCAAAAACAACUGCUAAGAAUUCCUUUUCAGUAGUAACAUAAUUUCUCUGGGCACUUUCUAGAGUUUUACUAGCAUAAUGAAUAACAUUUAAUUUAUUAUCAACUCUUUGUCCUAAAACAGCACCAACAGCAUAAUCACUCGCAUCACACAUAAUUUCAAAGUGUAAAUUCCAAUCAGGUGGUUGAACAAUAGGUGCAGAAAUCAAGGCUUUCUUAAGUAUUUCUAAUGUUUCUACACAAUCAUCAUCAAAAACAAAAGGAACAUCUUUUUGCAAAAGAUUAGUGAGAGGCCUAGAAAUUUUAGAGAAGUCUUUAAUAAACCUCCUGUAGAAACCAGCAUGACCAAGAAAAAUUCUAAUGCCUUUGAUAUCUUUAGGACACGGCAUCUUUUCAAUAGCAUCUACUUUAGCUUUAUCAACUUCAAUACCUCUUUCAGAAAUCUUAUGCCCCAAAACAAUGCCUCCAUUAACCUAAAGUGGCACUUCUCCCAAUUCAAGACAAGAUUAGUUUAUUUGCAUCUCUGCAAAACUCGAUCAAGGUUGCUUAAGCAAUCAUCAAAAGAAGUUCCGUAAACGGAGAAAUCAUCCAUGAAAACCUCAACAAUCUUUUCACAAAAAGUCAGAGAAUAUAGCAGUCAUACAUCUUUGAAAGGUACCAGGUGCAUUGCAUAAACCAAAAGGCAUACGUCUAUAAGCAAAAGUACCAAAAGGGCAAGUAAAAGUAGUCUUUUCUUGAUCCUCUUUUGACACAGGUAUUUGAGAGAAACUAGAAUAACCAUCUAGAAAGCAAAAGUGUGUAUGUUUGGAUAGUCUUUCUAGCAUUUGAUCAAUAAAAGGUAGAGGGUAAUGAUCUUUCUUAGUAGCUUUAUUCAAUUUGCAAAAAUCAAUUACCAUUCUAUAACCUGUAACAAUUCUUUGUGGGAUCAAAUCAUCUUUACCAUUAGGAACAAUAGUAAUGCCUCCCUUCUUGGGGACACAAUGAACAGGACUUACCCACUAACUAUCAGCAAUAGGAUAAAUAAUACCUGCCUCCAGAAGCUUUAGUAUUUUAUUUCUUACCACCUCUUUCAUCUUCGGAUUUAAUCGACGUUGGUGAUCAACAACUGGUUUAGUAUCUCGUUCCAACUUAAUUUUGUGUUGGCAUAAAGUGGGACUAAUGCCUUUAAGAUCAUCAAGAGUAUAUUCAAUAGCAGCACGGUGCUUCUUCAGAGUUUUCAAUAAUUUCUUUUCUUCAUGCUCUAAAAGGUUAGCACUAAUAAUAACAGGAUAUACUUUCUUUUCAUCAAGAUAAGCAUAUUGCAACGUAUCAGGUAACGGUUUAAGCUCAAACACGGGAUCACCCUUAGGUGGAGGGGGAUCCCCAAGGAUUUCAACAGGCAAAUUGUUUUUCAGAAUAGGCCCUUGUUUAAAGAAUAUUUCAUCUAUUUCUCUUCUUUCAUUCAUAAACAUAUCAUUCUCAUGGUCUAGCAAAUAUUGUUCUAAAGGUUCAGUAGGGGGCACGGCAAUAGAAUCAAGACCAAUAAUUUCAUCCUUACUAGGCAAUUCUUUAUCACGGGGUUGUCUACGAAAUUUAGAGAAAUUAAAAUCAUGAGACAUAUCCCCUAGACCAACAGUAAUAAUAUCUUUCUCGCAGUCUAUCUUAGCAUUAACAGUUUCAAGAAAGGUCUACCAAAUAUAAUGGGACAAAAAUCAUCUUGUGAGCAACCAAGAACAAGAAAAUCAGUAGGAUAUUUUAUUUCCCACAUAAGACUUCAACAUCUCUAACAAUCCCAAUUGGUGAUAUAGUAUCUCUAUUAGCAAGCUUGAUAGUAACAUCAAUUUCUUCUAACUCAGGAGGUGCAAUUUCAUUCAUAAUUUCUUCAUAUAAGGUAAAAGGAAUUGCACUCAACGCUAGCACCCACAUCACAUAAGCCAUGAUAACAAUGAUCUCCUAUUUUAACAGAAACAACAGGCAUGCCAACAACAGGUCUAUGUUUGUCUUUACUAUCGGGUUUGGCAAUUCUAGCAGCUUCAUCGCAGAAAUAAAUAACAUGCCCCUCAAUAUUAUCAGCCAAGAGAUCUUUAACCAUAGCAAUAUUAGGUUCAACUUUGAUUUGUUCGGGUGGUCUAGGUGCUCUAAUAUUACUUUUAUUAACCAUAGUUGAAGCUUUAGCAUGAUCCUUUAUUCUAACAGGAAAAGGUGGUUUCUCAAUAUAAGCAAUAGGAAUAACAGGAUCAACAUUAUAAGUAAUAGUUUCUUCUUCAACUUUAAUUGGCUCAACUACUUUAACUUCAAUGGGAGGAUGAUAUUUAAACCACUUCUCCUUAGGGAGUUCAACAUGAGUAGCAAAUGAUUCACAGAAAGAAGCUACUAUCUCAGAGUCAACUCCAUAUUUAGUGCUAAAUUCAUGAAAAGCAUCGGUAUCCAUAAAAGAUUUAACACAAUCAAACUUAAGGUUUAUACCUGACUCAUUACCUUUGUCGAGAUCCCAAUCUUCAGAGUUACAUUUAAUUCUUUCCAAUAAAUCCCAUUUGAAAUCAAUAGUCUUAUUCAUAUAAGAGCUAGUACAAGAAGUAUCGAGCAUGGAUUGAUCAUUAUGAGAAAGCCGAGCAUAAAAAUUCUGAAUAAUAAUUUCUCUUGAGAGCUCAUGAUUGGGGCAUGAAUAUAACAUUGACUUAAGCCUCCCCCAAGCUUGAGCGAUACUUUCUCCUUCAUGAGGCCAAAAAUUAUAUAUAUAAUUCCGAUCACAAUGAACUAGAUGCAUAGGAUAAAACUUCUGAUGAAAUUCCAAUUUCAAUCGGUUGUAGUUCCAUGAUCCAAUAUCAUCACAUAGCCUAUACCAUGUCAAUGCCUUUCCCUUCAAAGAUAAAGGGAAGACCUUCUUCUUGACAACAUCCUCUGGGAUACCUGCAAGCUUAAAUAAUCCACAAACUUCAUCCACAUAGAUUAGGUGUAAAUCGGGAUGCAAUGUUCCAUCUCCUGCAUAAGGAUUAGCUAGCAGUUUCUCUACCAUACCCAAAGGAAUUUCAAAGUAAAUAUUUUCAGUAGGUGCAGUAGGUUGAGGAGACACUCUUUGUUCUUCCGGUCGGGGUGAAGAUACCCCGAACAAGCCCCUCAAAGGAUUAUUUUCCAUAGUAACAAGUGACAGUAAAUUUCAGCACACUAUAUAAAUGUUUCCUUACCAAAUUCCACUUACAUAAGGCGCUUCACUCCCUGGCAACAGCGCCAGAAAAGAGUCUUGAUGACCCACAAGUAUAGGGGAUCUAUUGUAGUUCUUUCAAUAAGUAAGAGUGUCGAACCCAACGAGGAGCAGAAGGAAAUGACAAGCGGUUUUCAGCAAGGUAUUCUCUGCAAGCACUGAAAUUAUGAGUAACAGAUAGUUGUGUGAUAAGAUAAUUCGUAACGGGUAACAAGUAACAAAAGUAAACAAGGUGAAGCAAGGUGUCCCAAUCCUUUUUGUAGCAAAGGACAAGCCUGGACGUACUCUUAUAUAAAGCAAAGCGCUCCCGAGGACACAUGGGAAUUAUUGUCAAGUUAGUAUUCAUCAUGCACAUAUGAUUCGCGUUUGCUACUUUGAUAAUUUGAUAUGUGGGUGGACCGGUGCUUGGGUGCUGCCCUUCCUUGGACAAGCCUCCCACUUAUGAUUAACCCCUCUCGCAAGAAUCCGCAACUACAAAAUAAGAAUCAAGGUAAACCUAACCAUAGCAUGAAACAUAUGGAUCCAAAUCAGCCCCUUACGAAGCAACGCAUAAACUAGAGUUUAAGCUUCUGUCACUCUAGCAACCCAUCAUCAACUUAUUACUUCCCAAUGCCUUCCCCUAGGCCCAAAUCAUGGUGAAGUGUCAUGUAGUCGACGUGUUGGGGAACGUAGCAUGUAAUUUCAGAAAAAAAUCCUACGAUCACGCAAGAUCUAUCUAGGAGAUGCAUAGCAACGAGAGGGGAGAGUGUGUCCAUGUACCCUCGUAGAACGAAAGCGGAAGCGUUACGUUAACGUGGUUGAUGUAGUCGAACGUCUUCACGAUCCAACCGAUCCAAGUACCAAACGUACGGCACCUCCGUGUUCAGCACACGUUCAGCUCGAUGACGUCCCUCGAACUCUUGAUCCAGCAGAGGGUCGAGGGAGAGUUCUGUCAACACGACGGCGUGGUGACGGUGAUGGUGAUGUGAUCCGCGCAGGGCUUCGCCUAAGCAAUACGACAAUAUGACUUGAGGUGUAAACUGUGGAGGGGGGCACCGCACAUGGCUAAGAAUAACUUGUGUGUCUUUGGGGUGCCCCCUGCCCACGUAUAUAAAGGAGGGGGGAGAGAGGCCGCUGGCCAGGAGGGGCGCGCCAUGGGGGGAGUCCUACUUGGACUCCUAGUCCAAGUAGGAUUCCCCCCCCCCCCUUUUCCUUUCUUCCACCGGAGGGAAUAGGAAGGAGAGGGAGAGGUAAAGGGAAGGGGGCGCCGCCCCCUCCUCCUUUUCCUAUUUGGACUCCCUAGGAGGGGGGCACGCGGCCAACCCCCCCACCCACAGGCUUCCCUCUCUCUCCCUUAGGCCCAUGUUGGGCCAACACUUCCCCGGGGGGUUCCGGUAACCCCUCGGUACUCCGGAAAAAUACCCGAAACACUUGGAACCAUUCCGAUGUCCGAAUAUAACCUUCCAAUAUAUUAAUCUUUACCUCGCGACCAUUUCGAGACUCCUCGUCAUGUCCGUGAUCUCAUCCAGGACUCCGAACAAACUUCGGUCACCAAAAAACAUAACUCAUAAUACAUAUCGUCAUCGAACGUUAAGCGUGCGGACCCUACGGGUUCGAGAACUAUGUAGACAUGACCGAGACACAUCUUCGGUCAAUAACCAAUAGCGGAACCUGGAUGCUCAUAUUGGCUCCUACAUAUUCUACGAAGAUCUUUAUCGGUCAAACUGCAUAACAACAUACAUCAUUCCCUUUGUCAUCGGUAUGUUACUUGCCCGAGAUUCGAUCCUCGGUAUCAUCAUACCUAGUUCAAUCUCGUUACCGGCAAGUCUCUUUACUCGUUCUGUAAUGCACCAUCCCACAACUAACCCAUUAGUCAUAUUGCUUGCAAGGCUUAUAGUGAUGUGCAUUACCGAGAGGGCCCAGAGAUACCUCUCUGAUACUCAGAGUGACAAAUCAUAAUCUUGAUCUAUGCCAACCCAACAAACACCUUCGGAGACACCUGUAGAGCAUCUUUAUAAUCACCCAAUUACGUUGUGACGUUUGAUAGCACACAAAGUGUUCCUCCGGUAUUCGGGACUUGCAUAAUCUCAUAGUCAGAGGAAUAUGUAUAAGUCAUGAAGAAAGCAAUAGCAAUAAAACUAAACGAUCAUAAUGCUAAGCUAACGGAUGGGUCUUGUCCAUCACAUCAUUCUCUAAUGAUGUGAUCCCGUUCAUCAAAUGACAACACAUGUCUAUGGAUAGGAAACAUAACCAUCUUUGAUUAACGAGCUAGUCAAGUAGAGGCAUACUAGGGACACUUAGUAUUGUCUAUGUAUCCACACAUGUACUAAGUUUCCGGUUAAUACAAUUCUAGCAUGAAUAAUAAACAUUUAUCAUGAUAUAAGGAAAUAUAAAUAACAACUUUAUUAUUGCCUGUAGGGCAUAUUUCCUUCAGUCUCCCACUUGCACUAGAAUCAAUAAUCUAGAUUACAUAGUAAUGAUUCUAACACCCAUGGAGUCUUGGUGUUGAUCAUGUUUUGCUCGUGGAAGAGGCUUAGUCAACGGGUCUGCAACAUUCAGAUCCGUAUGUAUUUUUCAAAUCUCUAUGUCUCCCUCCUUGACUUGAUCGCAGAUGGAAUUGAAGCGUCUCUUGAUGUGUUUGGUUCUCUUGUGAAAUCUGGAUUCCUUCGCCAAGGCUAUUGCUCCAGUAUUAUCACAAAAGAUUUUCAUUGGACCCGAUGCACUAGGUAUUACACCUAGAUCGGAUAUGAACUCCUUCAUCCAGACUCCUUCAUUUUCUGCUUCCGAAGUAGCUAUGUACUCCGCUUCACACGUAGAUCCCGCCACGACGCUCUGCUUGGAACUGCACCAACUGACAUCUCCACCAUUCAAUAUAAAUAUGUAUCCGGUUUGUGACUUAGAGUCAUCCGGAUCAGUGUCAAAGCUUGCAGCGACGUAACCAUUUACGACAAGCUCUUGUCACCUCCAUGAACGAGAAACAUAUCCUUAGUCCUUUUCAGGUAUUUCAGGAUGUUCUUGACCGCUGUCUAGUGAUCCACUCCUGGAUUACUGUAACACCCCGAUAAUCAUGCUACAGUAAUCUCCCCCUAAUGGUGCCAUGUCAUCAAGCUUUACUAAGUCAAAUUGUCACUCGAUAAAUUCAAAGUCAAAUUCAAAUUGAAAUUGCAAGUCAAAUAAAUUAUUUCUUUUGGCAGUAAAACUAAAAUGUUCAUAAUAUUGCAAAAAUUACCAAAGCUGUUAUAAAAAUAAAACCAACACUUUCGAAACUCCAAAAAUGCCCCUAGUAAUUAAAAUAGUGGACCAACAGCACAUUACUUGGCCUUUUCGAUUUCUAAAAAUGUUUGAACCUUUUCAAAAGACCUUAAACUUUUUGUGGCAGUGCUAUAUAAUGCAAUGAUGAUUAUGUGACAAGUUGCAUAAUUUACAAAAGUCAUUUGGUGGUCAAGCAAUUUACAAACCGGAGCCAAAAUGAAAAACUGAAAACAAAAAGAAAGAAGGAAAACUAAUACUGCUGCACUGGGCCAUAGUUGCCACAGUGCAGCCCAACCCACCAGGCCACGGCCUUUCAUCCACCUCCCGCUACAGGAGGCAGAGGGGAGCCGUGGCAAACAUCCAGCCGCCAUGGCCAUGGAUGGCCUCCACAUGCCCCCUCGGCCUAUAAAUUUGUCCAAUUGAAACCCUAGCACGCGCUCGUUCGAUUCCCUUUUCCUUCCCCCAUCGCCCCCCUCCUCAUCCGCCCAAAUUCGAGCUCGGAAUCUCGCAUGGUGACCGCGCACAUCGUCACUGUUGCCGUGGCGAACAUGCUCCCCAGUGCCUGUGGAUACGUCUAGAGGACCGCCACCCUUGACUUCAUCUUCCCCGAGCAACAAAUCAAGUCGGGACGGCCAGAACACUCGCCAUAGCCGCCAUCUUCACCGAGUACAUCUUCGUCGUCCGUCAUCGUUUGCCGCCGCCCGGUCCAGCCCCGGCCUCCCCAACCUCGCCAUCGGCAUCGUUGUGAGCUCCUCCUCCAUCCCCCUUGCUUAUUGCCUCGAUCCGUUGCCGUAGCCACUCGUACUCGCCAAGGCCGCCGCUCUUGGAGUCCGCGCUCACCGCGUACGCGCGCGCCUCUGCCUUGACCACGCCGUCCGCGUGCGCCCCCCGCUGCUUGCCUCUCCGGCCGCGCCUAGUGCACACACGCGCCCAGCCGUGCCACCCCUGCUCGCCGCUGGCUGCCCGCGUUGCUGCCGUUGCUCCUGACCGCUGCUGCUCACUGCUUUGCUACGUUGCUGCUGCUCUGGCCGCCUAGCACCACAUCGCCAGAGGCCGCCGCUGCCCCCUCCCCGCGCCCCCACCGCUCGCGGCUGCGCCCGCCUCAGCCGGCGGCGCCCACCUCCGCCCGGGCCUGCUCGCGCCCCCUGUGCCGAGCCUUCCCACGGCCAACACCAUGGCCGCCGGCGUCGUACUCUACGAGUACGUACGUACGGGCACAGCCACACCAGAGGCCGAUUUGGGCCACUGGCACAUGGGCCCGACCCCCUGUUAAUUAGGGAGGCCCUAAUUAGUUUAGCCAAAAACCCCCUAAUUAAGCUAAGUAAACUUAGUCAAAAACCUGUUAAUUAAAAUGAGUCAAUGACAAUUGGGACCCACAUACGCUGUUCACAUUGGACUAGUCAAAAUAUUGACUGGGUCAACCCAGCCCCUGGCCCCACAUGUCAUACAGAUGCACACAUUGCUGGGUACACUCCUGUGUACCCAUAGCAAUUUGUCUUUUUAUUAUUUCGAAUUAAAUUAAAUGCAGAAAUCCCAGGAUUUGUUUAAAUCUUUGAAAAAUCAUAGAAAAUAAACCGUAACUCGGAUGAAAAAGUUUUAUACAUGAAAGUUGCUCAGAACGACGAGACGAAUCCGGAUAUGCAUCCCGUUCGUCCGCCACACAUCCCUAGCAUAGCAAACACGCAACUUUCCCCCUCCGGUCCGUCUGUCCAAAAACGCGAAACAUCGGGAAUACUUUCCCGGAUGUUUCCCCCCUUCACCGGUAUCACCUCAUACCGCGUUAGAACACGUCUAGCUCUGCCUGUUGUCCUGUUAUGCACUUGCUUGCUAUGUAUUUACUGUUUCCCCCCCCCUCUUCUCUUCGGUAGACCCCGAGACGAUGCUGAUGCCCCUGUGGUCGACUACGUCACCGAUGACCCCUCCUUCUUGUCUGAGCAACCAGGCAAGCCNNNNNNNNNNNNNNNNNNNNNNNNNNNNNNNNNNNNNNNNNNNNNNNNNNNNNNNNNNNNNNNNNNNNNNNNNNNNNNNNNNNNNNNNNNNNNNNNNNNNNNNNNNNNNNNNNNNNNNNNNNNNNNNNNNNNNNNNNNNNNNNNNNNNNNNNNNNNNNNNNNNNNNNNNNNNNNNNNNNNNNNNNNNNNNNNNNNNNNNNNNNNNNNNNNNNNNNNAGUAGUGUAGCAUGUUACUGCUUUCCGUUAAUCCUAUACUGAUGCAUAGCCUGCCCUUGCUACUACUGUUGCUACCUUUACCUGCAAUCCUACAUGCUUAGUAUAGGAUGCUAGUUUUCCAUCAGUGGCCCUACAUUCUUGUCCGUCUGCUGUGCUAUACUAUUGGGCCGUGAUCACCUGGGCGGUGAUCACGGGUAUAUGCUUAUAUACUCUAUACAUGACACAUGUGGUAAAUAAAGUCGGGUCGGCUCAUAGGAGUACCCGCAAGUGGAUCUUUGUGGCGGAGCGACAGGGCAGGUUGAGACCGCCUAGGUGAGAGGUGGGCCUGGCCCUGGACGGCGUCCGCGGUUAUUUCGACAUAACACGCUUAACGAGUUCUUGGUAUUUGAUCUGAGUCUGGCCAUUUGGUCUAUACGCACUAACCAUCUACGCGGGAGUAGUUAUGGGUAUCCCGGCGUCGUGGUAUCAGCCGAAGCCUUCGUGACGUCAGCGACUGAGUGGCGCGCGCCGGAUUGGACUGGAACGCCACUAGGCUAGGUCUGCUUCCCGCCGCGUACGCAACGUGCAGGUGUGCAUAGGGCGAUGGGCCCAGACCCCUGCGCGCAUAGGGUUAGACUGGCGUGCUGACCUCUCUGUUGUGCUUAGGUGGGGCUGCGACGUGUUGAUCUUACGAGGCCGGGCAUGACCCAGGAAAGUGUGUCCGGCCAAAUGGGAUCGAGCGUGUUGGGUUAUGUGGUGCACCCCUGCAGGGAAGUUUAUCUAUUCGAAUAGCCGUGUCCCUCGGGAAAAGGACGACCCGGAGUUGUACCUUGACCUUACGACAACUAGAACUGGAUACUUAAUAAAACACACCCUUCCAAGUGCCAGAUACAACCCGGUGAUCGCUCUCUAACAGGGCGACGAGGAGGGGAUCGCCGGGUAGGAUUAUGCUAUGCGAUGCUACUUGGAGGACUUCAAUCUACUCUCUUCUACAUGCUGCAAGAUGGAGAUGGCCAGAAGCGUAGUCUUCGACAGGACUAGCUAUCCCCCUCUUAUUCUGGCAUUCUGCAGUUCAGUCCACUGAUAUGUCCCUUUACACAUAUACCCAUGCAUAUGUAGUGUAGCUCCUUGCUUGCGAGUACUUUGGAUGAGUACUCACGGUUGCCUUUCUCCCUCUUUUUCCCCCUUUCCUUUCUACCUGGUUGCCGCAACCAGAUGCUGGAGCCCAGGAGCCGGACGCCACCGUCGACGACGACUCCUAUGACACUGGAGGUGCCUACUACUACGUGCAGCCCGCUGGCGACGACCAGGAGUAGUUAGGAGGAUCCCAGGCAGGAGGCCUGCGCCUCGUUCGAUCUGUAUCCCAGUUUGUGCUAGCCUUCUUAAGGCAAACUUGUUUAACUUAUGUCUGUACUCAGAUAUUGUUGCUUCCGCUGACUCGUCUGUGAUCGAGCACUUGUAUUCGAGCCCUCGAGGCCCCUGGCUUGUAUUAUGAUGCUUGUAUGACUUAUUUAUGUUGUAGAGUUGUGUUGUGAUAUCUUCCCGUGAGUCCCUGAUCUUGAUCGUACACAUUUGCGUGCAUGAUUAGUGUACGGUCAAAUGAGGGGCGUCACAAGUUGGUAUCAGAGCCAACUGCCUGUAGGAAUCCCCCUUUCCAACUCCUUGGCCGAAGUCGAGUCUAGACAUUGCAAAAACUUUUACUAACAUGGUUGUGUGUCUUACGGGCCCACGUCGCCAUUGGGUGGUAUUAGGAUCUUUUACUCCUUGUCUAUACUCUGGGACUCUGAUCUCUCUUCUAUUCGGGUUAAGUGAAUUUUGCUAAAUCUAACAUUAGGAUCUCGUUAUCACUUUCACCCGGAGAGCCCCUUAUUACUGAUGAUCGUCUGCUGCACGUGAAGACCCUGAAGAUACUCUCCGCUGAUAACCCGAGAACUUAUGUUCAUCGCUUUUGCAAUUCCCUUUCAUCGAUAAACUCCAAUGGAUAACCACGUAUACUCGCCAUUCAUACAAUGUUUCCCAGUUGAUCUUGUUAUUACAAGAUACCUCGAAAUUCUCUUUGUUGCUCCGAGAAUCCUUUGAGCUUACUGCCUUGUUGUUCUUUGCCACAUGAAUACCACUAUGGAUAACUUCUAGCACUCACCGGAUAUUUGCUCAUCCCCAGUUGAUUCAAGUAUUUCACAAAAGUGUUCAAAAUACCAUUCGAUCUACCGAAAAUCCUGAGCAGCCUAUUGCUCUUGAAAUUCUUGCUUGCUUGCAUUAUGGUUAAUCCCAUAAGUCUCAUAAUAUUAUAGUCAUUCCUUGUCAUUAUCAUUUUGAGUCUGUUGAUUCAAAAUAUUGCGAAUGCUCGCAAUCCUCAAUCAUAUCCUAGAAUUCAUUCUUCCGGCUCAGACGUCAUUUUAAACGUGAGCUGGAUCUCGACCAAUCAAAUUUGCCAUCGAUUGUACCCGUAAGUUUACUCGACUUAUCCAUCCUCAAUCAGAGCGUUUGCUUCUGAUCCCUUGAAUUUGAAAUUAUAAUUCCUUUGCAUUGAGCUUUGAGUUAGUCAGUUGUUUCUAUAAUCUGAUCUCCUUGCAUUCUUUCUUCCUCUGGUUGAGUACUGAUGCUCACAUCAGAUCCCUUGUGGACCAUCAGACCCUUUUGUCGGAUUUUAUCCGACAAUGUCCUUCAUAUUAAAUAAGUUUGUGAGCUUUCCCUCGGAUACCUGAUGCCUUUGGUAAAUUGUAUCCUCUGCUUUGUGAACCAUGCUCUACUUUCAAGCUUGUACUAUUUACUCCGAAGUUUGUAGUAUAUCUUUCUACGAUGCCCCGAUGGGUUGAACCUAGGCCUUUCUUAAAUCUGUGUGAACCCGAAAGAUUUCGCGGGACAUACUUAUCUGGUAUUGCACCAGGUAAAACUUUCGACAACUAAUGUCAUUUUCGAAAAUGCGAGAAGUGAAUGAAAGGUUAUGCAUUGGAGAAGUGGGAGUCGACCUUGAACUUUGUGUUCAUGCCCAUGGACACGAUGUAGAUCUUAUCAUUAAAAGCUUCUCUUAAAUUAAUUAUUCCCUGGGUAUAAGUUCAUCUUAUAUAUGGGAUCUAGCCUUUUUCAAUCGUGGUCCUGACCAUGUUCUCCUUUAAAUACCAUUUCUCGUGCAAGUUUAAGCACUUGUCCUCUGCAGAGCAAUACCUCCGUCCAACCUCUACUUUGGUCUGUCAUCGAGUAUUACCCCCCUGGUAUCUCGAGAAUGUCAAGGAACUACUUAACUUCUUACGAGUUCUUCAUCAAGUGCUACAUUCUCACUGAUUCCAAUUUUUCACGGGCUCUGAGUUAUUAAUCACGCAAAGACACCGAUAACUGAACCGAGUCCGCACUACGGUUCAACAACUCUUAUUGAUCUUCUUUAAGUACGAGUUUGUACCCGAUCACGCCAUUCCUAGCAUGUUUGGCUAUAUCAUUAUCUUGAUGAUUUUAACUGUGCUACCUGGUCCUUAUUCCCGGAGCACCACUUUCGACGAUGAGCUAAGCUUACGUCGAUUUUCCUCGUCAUAUCGUUUCACCUCGAACAACAAACUUUACCCCGAGUUUGUGUAGUAUCUGUGGCUCCAAUAAUCUUUUGUUGCAUCAGUCCUUUUGCUUGAUGCAGUCACUGAUCAAUUGCUUCUUCAUGGAUCCCCUCGACAACAAAAUGUCGUGAUUUUCAUCAACAUUUUGACUCCUUCCAGGAUAUCAAUGGAAUUCUUGAUGAUAAGUGCCAUCCUCGUUCCUUGGUAAUUUGAGUUACCAUCGACAACAUCCUUACAUUCCUUUCAUCACAAACUUGAUCAUGUUAUGGAGCUCCUUGCUAACCAGCUUAUGUUAUGUUCUACCUUGGAGUAUUACCAUCUUUUAUGUCAAGGAUAUUGUGAGAAUUUCUCCACCUCUUGAGAAUUCUUGAUAUAGUAAUACUUCUCGCCAUCUCCAUUUGUUUUCUGAUCCCCGUGUUGUUUCUAACCGGAAAACCGACAAUUGAACUAUGAUGUGCGACUUCAAAACUUCUAGCAACCCUAUUGCUUUGAAGUUAAUGGUCGAUAUUUCAUUCUUAGACCAUUGGUUAUCGAAUCACCGUUCUAACAUUGAUCAUUCUACCUAAGCCCAUAUUUCGGGUGCACCUUUCAACCAAUGUUUAAUUGAGUAUGUUUUCCUCGAGCAUACCUCACUAUAUCAUUUGAUCUGACAAAUGAUAUCUCCUUGUUCACAUAAGUGUGGAAAUCCCUCUUUUUGGAAAUCUCGAGGAAUUGUCGCUGAGUCCAUCAGCCACCCCCUCAUCCUCUCCUUGGUUUAAUGAUGAACUCUUGUUUCGGAACUUGCUUUCAUAGUUCAUUUCCCGAGAAUCUUACAAUGUCAUCCCAUCAAUUUGUGUUGCACCUUUCUUCUCAGACAUCCUGAGUCUGAGGCAUCCUGACACCAAUCAGAUCUGAACCUCGGUCAGAUAUGAUGGUUGGAACGUAUUUCCAAGAGUUAUAAUGUUGGUCUUUAUAUGACCCGGUAAGGUUAUGUCAUGCAUAGCGCACCUGGCCGGAGGCCCUAUUGUUACAGAUUCCUUUUCAGCAAGGUUAUCCAUUCUUCCAUGAGGAAAUUGUAAGACUUAUUCUAUAAGUUGUUUCUGAUGGAUCCUUUUUGUUUCCAAAGUCUGAUCUUCACCUGUUGACCAUGUCAAUGCUAUCUCGAAGCAUGUCUAUGGUACUCCGAUUUUUAACAGGAACAUUUGAAGCCCAAUGCUAAAUGUUUCCUGCUCAAUUAUCCAAACACCGUUGUAUGGGUAAUGUCAUGAAAUUUUCUCUCCCGUACCUACAGAGUUUUCUACAUUAUAUCAUGUCAUGGAUAUCAUGCUCUGCUUAUCCUUGGGAAGGAUAUACCCUUGAAAUAUGUGUUUAAACACAUUUUCCUUUCCAUUCUUCUGUUUAAUCUGAUAAUCAUAUUUUCCUUUCCAUUGUUUGGGUUAACCUUUCUGGUGAUCCAUAUGAUCUAAGCAGUAAUAUUCUUCUGCUUAUGUAAACACCUUGGUGUACAACCGUGUCAGUAAGACCAUGUUGCAUUUGUCGAUAGCAUUCCGGUAACCACCGAUGGACGAGAACUUUGCCUAUUGGUCCGCCUCGUUCAACGAGCAGGAAAAUGGUUCUCUUCGUCCCUCGCCCUUGGUACCGACGUUGUUGCCGACAUAAUCGACAGGCUACCCUCUGACAUGCCUUGUUUGCAUGAUCACGCAAGACGUCUCCGCCCUUCCUACUUCUAACCCACAUGGUGGGCCCAUAACCCACAGUUCCACAGGAUCAAAACCUGACUCUCCUAUACCCCCUGUUUCCAAACUUAUUCCUCGCGCUUGGCUUCAUAUUUAAUUCACGGGCCACCUUCCUAGUGCUCUAUUCUGGUAUCAGACGCAAUACUUAUCCCCGUUUCUUUGAACCCCUUUCACCCUCUGUUUCAGGCAACAGACGGUUGCCUACCCGCUUGGAGCUUCUUGUUGCCCAUCCUCACCUUGCUCUCGAUAACUUCCUUGAAUUUCAACUUGAGAGAUGCCUCUAUGCCACGUUCACUGAGAUAGCCCCCAGGUACCUAACAUAUGUUGAGCUCCGUCCUUCCCGAGUUUUCCCCCUUAGCUUCCCGUAAGUACGAUGGAGAUCCUGAAGGAAGAAUGACGACUUCAUCAGGAUAACCUCAAGCAGACAAAUGAAGACUUCAAUGUAAUGGAUCGACCUCUUCAAGGAGAGCAACCAACACCGAGAAAACCAGUUAGAAUUUCAUAACCAAAUCCCUUCCCCCUUACUCCCGCUCCUAAAUCUCGGGACGAGAUUUCUUGUAGUGGAGGAGAUUUGUAACACCUCAAUAAUCAUGCUACAGUAAUCUCCCCCUAAUGGUGCCAUGUCAUCAAGCUUUACUAAGUCAAAUUGUCACUCGAUAAAUUCAAAGUCAAAUUCAAAUUGAAAUUGCAAGUCAAAUAAAUUAUUUCUUUUGGCAGUAAAACUAAAAUGUUCAUAAUAUUGCAAAAAUUACCAAAGCUGUUAUAAAAAUAAAACCAACACUUUCGAAACUCCAAAAAUGCCCCUAGUAAUUAAAAUAGUGGACCAACAGCACAUUACUUGGCCUUUUCGAUUUCUAAAAAUGUUUGAACCUUUUCAAAAGACCUUAAACUUUUUGUGGCAGUGCUAUAUAAUGCAAUGAUGAUUAUGUGACAAGUUGCAUAAUUUACAAAAGUCAUUUGGUGGUCAAGCAAUUUACAAACCGGAGCCAAAAUGAAAAACUGAAAACAAAAAGAAAGAAGGAAAACUAAUACUGCUGCACUGGGCCAUAGUUGCCACAGUGCAGCCCAACCCACCAGGCCACGGCCUUUCAUCCACCUCCCGCUACAGGAGGCAGAGGGGAGCCGUGGCAAACAUCCAGCCGCCAUGGCCAUGGAUGGCCUCCACAUGCCCCCUCGGCCUAUAAAUUUGUCCAAUUGAAACCCUAGCACACGCUCGUUCGAUUCCCUUUUCCUUCCCCCAUCGCCCCCUCCUCAUCCGCCCAAAUUCGAGCUCGGAAUCUCGCAUGGUGACCGCGCACAUCGUCACUGUUGCCGUGGCGAACAUGCUCCCCAGUGCCCGUGGAUACGUCCAGAGGACCGCCACCCUUGACUUCAUCUUCCCCGAGCAACAAAUCGAGUCGGGACGGCCAGAACACUCGCCAUAGCCGCCAUCUUCACCGAGUACAUUUUCAUCGUCCGUCGUCGUUUGCCGCAGCUCCGGUCCAGCCCCGGCCUCCCCAACCUCGCCAUCGGCAUCGUUGUGAGCUCCUCCUCCAUCCCCCUUGCUUAGUGCCUCGAUCCGUUGCCGUAGCCACUCGUACUCUCCAAGGCCGCCGCUCUUGGAGUCCGCGCUCACCGCGUACGCGCGCGCCUCUGCCUUGACCACGCCGUCCACGUGCGCCCCCCGCUGCUUGCCUCUCCGGCCGUGCCUAGUGCACACACGCGCCCAGCCGUGCCACCCCUGCUCGCCGCUGGCUGCCCGCGUUGCUGCCGUUGCUCCUGACCGCUGCUGCUCACUGCUUUGCUACGUUGCUGCUGCUCUGGCCGCCUAGCACCACAUCGCCAGAGGCCGCCGCUGCCCCCUCCCCGCGCCCCCACCGCUCGCGGCUGCGCCCGCCUCAGCCGGCGGCGCCCACCUCUGCCCGGGCCUGCUCGCGCCCCCUGUGCCGAGCCUUCCCACGGCCAACACCAUGGCCGCCGGUGUCGUACUCUACGAGUACGUACGUACAGGCACAGCCACACCAGAGGCCGAUUUGGGCCACUGGCACAUGGGCCCGACCCCCUGUUAAUUAGGGAGGCCCUAAUUAGUUUAGCCCAAAACCCCCUAAUUAAGCUAAGUAAACUUAGUCAAAAACCUGUUAAUUAAAAUGAGUCAAUGACAAUUGGGACCCACAUACGCUGUUCACAUUGGACUAGUCAAAAUAUUGACUGGGUCAACCCAGCCCCUGGCCCCACAUGUCAUACAGAUGCACACAUUGCUGGGUACACUCCUGUGUACCCAUAGCAAUUUGUCUUUUUAUUAUUUCGAAUUAAAUUAAAUGCAGAAAUCCCAGGAUUUGUUUAAAUCUUUGAAAAAUCAUAAAAAAUAAACCGUAACUCGGAUGAAAAAGUUUUAUACAUGAAAGUUGCUCAGAAUGACGAGACGAAUCCGGAUAUGCAGCCCGUUCGUCCGCCACACAUCCCUAGCAUAGCAAACACGCAACUUUCCCCCUCCGGUCCGUCUGUCCGAAAACGCGAAACAUCGGGAAUACUUUCCCGGAUGUUUCCCCCCUUCACCGGUAUCACCUCAUACCGCGUUAGAACACGUCUAGCUCUGCCUGUUGUCCUGUUAUGCACUUGCUUGCUAUGUAUUUACUGUUUCUCCCCCCUCUUCUCUUCAGUAGACCCCGAGACGAUGCUGAUGCCCCUGUGGUCGACUACGUCACCGAUGACCCCUCCUUCUUGUCUGAGCAACCAGGCAAGCCCCCCCCCCCUUGAUCACCAGAUAUCGCCUAUUCUUCUCUAUACUGCUUGCAUUAGAGUAGUGUAGCAUGUUACUGCUUUCCGUUAAUCCUAUACUGAUGCAUAGCCUGCCCUUGCUACUACUGUUGCUACCUUUACCUGCAAUCCUACAUGCUUAGUAUAGGAUGCUAGUUUUCCAUCAGUGGCCCUACAUUCUUGUCCGUCUGCUGUGCUAUACUAUCGGGUCGUGAUCACCUGGGCGGUGAUCACGGGUACAUGCUUAUAUACUCUAUACAUGACACAUGUGGUAAAUAAAGUCGGGUCGGCUCGUAGGAGUACCCGCAAGUGGAUCUUUGUCGCGGAGCGACAGGGCAGGUUGAGACCGCCUAGGUGAGAGGUGGGCCUGGCCCUGGACGGCGUCCGCGGUUAUUUCGACAUAACACGCUUAACGAGUUCUUGGUAUUUGAUCUGAGUCUGGCCAUUUGGUCUAUACGCACUAACCAUCUACGCGGGAGUAGUUAUGGGUAUCCCGGCGUCGUGGUAUCAGUCGAAGCCUUCGUGACGUCAGCAACUGAGUGGCGCGCGCCGGAUUGGACUGGAACGCCACUAGGCUAGGUCUGCUUCCGGCCGCGUACGCAACGUGCAGGUGUGCAUAGGGCGAUGGGCCCAGACCCCUGCGCGCAUAGGGUUAGACCGGCGUGCUGACCUCUCUAUUGUGCUUAGGUGGGGCUGCGACGUGUUGAUCUUACGAGGCCGGGCAUGACCCAGGAAAGUGUGUCCGGCCAAAUGGGAUCGAGCAUGUUGGGUUAUGUGGUGCACCCCUGCAGGGAAGUUUAUCUAUUCGAAUAGCCGUGUCCCUCGGUAAAAGGACGACCCGGAGUUGUACCUUGACCUUAUGAAAACUAGAACUGGAUACUUAAUAAAACACACCCUUCCAAGUGCCAGAUACAACCCGGUGAUCGCUCUCUAACAGGGCGACGAGGAGGGGAUCGCCGGGUAGGAUUAUGCUAUGCGAUGCUACUUGGAGGACUUCAAUCUACUCUCUUCUACAUGCUGCAAGAUGGAGAUGGCCAGAAGCGUAGUCUUCGACAGGACUAGCUAUCCCCCUCUUAUUCUGGCAUUCUGCAGUUCAGUCCACUGAUAUGUCCCUUUACACAUAUACCCAUGCAUAUCUAGUGUAGCUCCUUGCUUGCGAGUACUUUGGAUGAGUACUCACGGUUGCCUUUCUCCCUCUUUUUCCCCCUUUCCUUUCUACCUGGUUGCCGCAACCAGAUGCUGGAGCCCAGGAGCCGGACGCCACCGUCGACGACGACUCCUACGACACUGGAGGUGCCUACUACUACGUGCAGCCCGCUGGCGACGACCAGGAGUAGUUAGGAGGAUCCCAGGCAGGAGGCCUGCGCCUCGUUCGAUCUGUAUCCCAGUUUGUGCUAGCCUUCUUAAGGCAAACUUGUUUAACUUAUGUCUGUACUCAGAUAUUGUUGCUUCCGCUGACUCGUCUGUGAUCGAGCACUUGUAUUAUGAUGCUUGUAUGACUUAUUUAUCUUGUAGAGUUGUGUUGUGAUAUCUUCCCAUGAGUCCCUGAUCUUGAUCGUACACAUUUGCGUGCAUGAUUAGUGUACGGUCAAAUCGGGGGCGUCACAAUUACUUUGGUACCUCCCAGCUAAACUUAUAGCAAGGCACACAUCAGGUCUGGUACACAGCAUUGCAUACAUGAUAGAACCUAUGGCUGAAGCAUAGGGAAUGACUUUCAUUUUCUCUCUAUCUUCUGCAGUGGUCGGGCAUUGAGUCUAACUCAACUUCACACCUUGUAACACAGGCAAGAACCCUUUCUUUGACUGAUCCAUUUUGAACUUCUUCAAAAUCUUAUCAAGGUAUGUGCUUUGUGAAAGUCCAAUUAAGCGUCUUGAUCUAUCUCUAUAGAUCUUGAUGCCCAAUAUAUAAGCAGCUUCUCCGAGGUCUUUCAUUGAAAAAUUCUUAUUCAAGUAUCCUUUUAUGCUAUCCAGAAAUUCUACAUCAUUUCCGAUCAACAAUAUGUCAUCCACAUAUAAUAUCAGAAAUGCUAUAUAGCUCCCACUCACUUUCUUGUAAAUACAGGCUUUUUCGAAAGUCUAUAUAAAACCAUAUUUUUUGAUCACCUCAUCAAAGCGUAUAUUCCAACUCUGAGAUGCAUGCACCAGUCCAUAGAUGGAUCGCUGGAGCUUGCACACUUUGUUAGAACCUAUAGGAUCGACAAAACCUUCUGGUUGCAUCAUAUACAACUCUUCUUUAAGAUAUUCAUUAAGGAAUGCAGUUUUGACAUCCAUUUGCUAGAUUUCAUAAUCAUAAACUGCGGCAGUUGCUAACAUGAUUCGGACAGACUUAAGCAUCGCUACGGGUGUAAGGUCUCAUCGUAGUCAACUCCUUGAACUUGUCGAAAACCUUUCGCAACAAAUCGAGCUUUGUAGAUAGUAACAUUACCGUCAGCGUCGGUCUUCUUCUUGAAGAUCCAUUUAUUCUCUAUGGCUCGCCGAUCAUCGAGCAAGUCCACCAAAGUCUACACUUUGUUCUCAUACAUGGAUCCUAUCUCAGAUUUCAUGGCCUCAAGCCAUUUUGCGGAAUCUGGGCUCAUCAUCGCUUCAUCAUAGUUCGUAGGUUCGUCAUGGUCUAGUAACAUGACUUCCAGAACAGGAUUACCGUACCACUUUGGUGCGGAACGUACUCUCGUUGACCUACGAGGUUCGGUAGUAACUUGAUCUGAAUUUCAUGAUCAUCAUCAUUAACUUCCUCACUAAUUGGUGUAGGCAUCACUAGAACUGAUUUCUGUGAUGAACUACUUUCCAAUUCGGCAGAAGGUGCAAUUACCUCAUCAAGUUCUACUUUCCUCCCACUCACUUCUUUCGAGAGAAACUCCUUCUCUAGAAAGGAUCCAUUCUUAGCAACGAAUAUCUUGCCUUCGGAUCUAUGAUAGAAGGUGUCCCCAACAGUUUCCUUUGGGUAUCCUAUGAAGACGCAUUUCUCCGAUUUGGGUUCGAGCUUAUCAGGUUGAAGCUUUUUCACAUAGCAUCGCAGCCUCAAACUUUAAGAAACGACAGCUUAGGUUUCUUGCCAAACCACAGUUCAUACAGUGUCGUCUCAACAGAUUUAGAUGGUGCCCUAUUUAAAGUGAAUGCAGCCGUCUCUAAAGCAUAACCCCAAAAUGAUAGCGGUAAAUUGGUAAGAGACAUCAUAGAUCGCACCAUAUCUAAUAAAGUACGGUUACGACGUUCGGGCACACCAUUACAAUGUGGUGUUCCAGGUGGCGUGAGUUGCGAAACUAUUCCACAUUGUUUCAAAUGAAGACCAAACUCGUACCUCAAAUAUUCACCUCCACGAUCAGAUCGUAGAAACUUUAUUUUCUUGUUACAAUGUUUUUCCACUUCACUCUAAAAUCCUUUGAACUUUUCAAAUGUUUCAGACUUAUGUUUCAUCAAGUAGAUAUACCCAUAUCUGCUCAAAUCAUCUGUGAAGGUCAAAAAAUAACGAUACCCGCCGCGAGCCUCAACACUCAUCGGACUGCAUACAUAAGUAUGUAGUAUUUCCAAUAAGUGAGUGGCUCGCUCCAUUGUUUCGGAGAACGGAGUCUUAGUCAUCUUGCCCAUGAGGAAUGGUUCGCAAGCAUCAAGUGAUUCCAAAAGCCCAUCAGCAUGGAGUUUCUUCAUACGCUUUACAUCAAUAUGACCUAAACGACAGUGCCACAAAUAAGUUGCACUAUCAUUAUUAACUUUGCAUCUUUUGGCUUCAAUAUUAUGAAUAUGUGUAUCACUACGAUCGAGAUCCAACAAACUAUUUUCAUUGGGUGUAUGACCAUCGAAGGUUUUAUUCAUGUAAACAGAACAACAAUUAUUCUCUAACUUAAAUGAAUAAUUGUAUUGCAAUAAACAUGAUCAAAUCAUAUCAUGAUCAAAAAGAUGAAAAUAGUCUUGAUAACCCACAAGUAUAGGGGAUCGCAACAGUUUUCGAGGGUAGAGUAUUCAACCCAAAUUUAUUGAUUCGACACAAGGGGAGCCAAAGAAUAUUCUCAAGUAUUAGUAGUUGAGUUGUCAAUUCAACCACACCUGGAUAACUUAGUAUCUGCAGCAAAGUAUUUAGUAGCAAAGUAGUAUGAUAGUAGUGGUAACGGUAACAAAAGUAACGGUAGCAAAAGUAAUAUUUUUGGGUUUUGUAGUGAUUGUAACAGUAGCAACGGAAAAGUAAAUAAGCGGAGAACAAUAUGUGAAAAGCUCGUAGGCAUUGGAUCGGUGAUGGAGAAUUAUGCCGGAUGCGGGUUCAUCAUGUAACAGUCAUAACAUAGGGUGACACAGAACUAGCUCCAAUUCAUCAAUGUAAUGUAGGCAUGUAUUCCGAAUAUAGUCAUGCGUGCUUAUGGAAAAGAACUUGCAUGACAUCUUUUGUCCUACCCUCCCGUGGCAGCGGGGUCCUAAUGGAAACUAAGGGAAAUUAAGGCCUCCUUUUAAUAGAGUACCGGACCAAAGCAUUAACACAUAGUGAAUACAUGAACUCCUCAAACUAUGGUCAUCACCGGGAGUGGUCCCGAUUAUUGUCACUUCGGGGUUGCCGGAUCAUAACACAUAGUAGGUGACUAUAGACUUGCAAGAUAGGAUCAAGAACUCACAUAUAUUCAUGAAAACAUAAUAGGUUCAGAUCUGAAAUCAUGGCACUCGGGCCCUAGUGACAAGCAUUAAGCAUAGCAAAGUCGACAAGCAUUAAGCAUAGCAAAGUCAUAGCAACAUCAAUCUUAGAACAUAGUGGAUACUAGGGAUCAAACCCUAACAAAACUAACUCUAUUACAUGAUAGAUCUCAUCCAACCCAUCACCGUCCAGCAAGCCUACGAUGGAAUUACUCACGCACGGCGGUGAGCAUCAUGAAAUUGGUGAUGGAGGAUCGUUGAUGAUGACGACGGUGACGAAUCCCCCUCUUCGGAGCCCCGAAUGGACUCAUCAGCCCUCCCGAGAGGUUUUAGGGCUUGGCGGCGGCUCCGUAUCAUAAAACGCGAUGAAUCCUUCUCUCUGAUUUUUUUCUCCCCGAAAGUGAAUAUAUGGAGUUGGAGUUGAGGUCGAUGGAGCGUCAGGGGGCCCACGAGGUAGGGGGCACGCCCAGGGGGGCAGGCGCGCCCCCCACCCUCGUGGACAGGGUGUGGGCCCCCUGACGUGGAUUUUUCUUCCAGUAUCUUUAAUAUUUUCCAAAAAGAUGUUCCGUGGAGUUUCAGGUCAUUCCGAGAACUUUUGUUUCUGCACAUAAAUAACACCAUGGAAAGUCUGCUGAAAACAGCGUCAGUCCGGGUUAGUUCCAUUCAAAUCAUGCAAGUUAGAGUCCAAAACAAGGGCAAAAGUGUUUGGAAAAGUAGAUACGACAGAGACGUAUCAACUCCCCCAAGCUUAAACCCUUUCUUGUCCUCAAGCAAUUCAGUUGAUAAACUGAAAGUGAUAAAGAAAAACUUUUACAAACUCUGUUUGCUCUUGUUGUUGUAAAUAUGUAAAGCCAGCAUUCAAGUUUUCAGCAAAGAUUAUGACUAACCACAUUCACAAUAACUCUUAAGUCUCAUGUUUACUCAUAUCAAUGGCAUAAUCAACUAGCGAGCGAUAAUAAUAAAUCUCGGAUGACAACACUUUCUCAAAACAAUCAUAAUAUGAUAUAACAAGAUGGUAUCUCGCUAGCCCUUUCUGAGACCGCAAAACAUAAAUGCAGAGCACCUUUAAAGAUCAAGGACUGACUGGACAUUGUAAUUCAUGGUAAAAGAGAUCCAGUCAUACCCAAUAUAAAUUAAUAAUGAUUGAUGCAAAUGACAGCAGUGCUCUCCAGCUGAUGCCUUUUAAUAAGAGGGUGAUGACUCAACAUAAAAGUAAAUAGAUAGGCCCUUCUCAGAGGGAAGCAGGGAUUUGUAGAGGUGCCAGAGCUCGAUUUUAAAGCAGAGAUAAAUAAUAUUUUGAGCGGCAUACUUUCAUUGUCAACAUAAGAACCAAGAGAUGGCGAUAUCUUCCAUGCUACACACAUUAUAGGCGGUUCCCAAACAGAAUGGUAAAGUUUAUACUCCCCCUCCACCAACAAGCAUCAAUCCAUGGCUUGCUCGAAACAACGAGUGCCUCCAACUAGCAACAGCCCCGGGGGAGUUUUGUUUGCAAUUAUUUUGAUUUAGUUUGCAUAAAGCAUGGGACUAGGCAUCCCGGUGACCAGCCAUUUUCUCGUGAGUGAGGAGCGGAGUCCACUCCUCUUGAUAAUAACCCGCCUAGCAUGGAAGAUACGGACAGCCCUAGUUGAUACAUGAGUUAUUCGAGCAUACAAAACAGAAUGUUUAUUUGAAGGUUUAGAGUUUGGCACAUACAAAUUUACUUGGAACGGCAAGUAGAUACCGCAUAUAGGAAGGUAUGGUGGACUCAUAUGGAAUAACUUUGGGGUUUAAGGGAUUUGGAUGCACAAGCAGUAUUCCCGCUUAGUACAAGUGAAGGCUAGCAAAAGACUGGGAAGCGACCAACUAGAGAGCGACAACAGUCAUGAACAUGCAUUAAAAUUAAUAAACAUUGAGUACAAGCAUGAGUAGGAUAUAAUCCACCAUGAACAUAAAUAUCGUGAAGGCUAUGUUGAUUUAUUUCAACUACAUGUGUGAACAUGUGCCAAGUCAAGUCACUUAAAUCAUUCAAAGGAGGAUACCACCCCACUAUACCACAUCACAACCAUUUUAAUAGCAUGUUGGCACGCAAGGUAAACCAUUAUAACUCAUAGCUAAUCAAGCAUGGCACCAGCAACUAUGAUCUCUAAUUGUCAUUGCAAACAUGUUUAUUCAUAAUAGGCUGAAUCAGGAACGAUGAACUAGUCAUAUUUACAAAAACAAGAGAGGUCGAGUUCAUACCAGCUUUUCUCAUCUCAGUCGGUCCAUCAUAUAUCGUCAUAAUUGCCUUUCACUUGCACGACCGAACGAAGUGAAUAAUAAUAAGAGUGCACGUGCAUUGGACUAAGCUGGAAUCUGCGAGCAUUCAAUAAAUAGGAGAAGACAAAGCAAUAUGGGCUCUUGGUUAAAUCAACAAUAAUGCAUAUAAGAGCCACUUCAACAAUUUAAUUAUGGUCUUCUCCUAUCGACCCCCAAAGAAAAUAAAAGAAAUAAAAACUAUUUACACGGGAAAGCUCCCAACAAGCAAAAGAAGAACGGGAAAUAUUUUCGGGUUUUCUUAUAAUUAUUACUACUACAGAAAGAAAGGUAAAUUAACUAAAAGCUACUACUAAUUUUUUUGGUUUUUCUUAAGGUUUAUUAAACACACAAGAAGAAAGAAAGAAAAAGAAAAUAAACUAGCAUGGAUAUUACAGUGAAAAAGUAUGAGCACCGACAUCUAGCAAUGAGUGUGUAAACAUAAAUGUAAUGUCAGUGGGAAAUACGUACUCCCCCAAGCUUAGGCUUUUGGCCUAAGUUGGUUUAUUGCCACGGAUGGCCUGGCGGAUAUCCAUAGUUGUAGCCGGGGUCGUACUGAGAUGCAGCGGCUAUUGCCUCCUGAGCUGCAGCGUGGCGGCGAGCGGCUUCCGCCCUCCUCUCGUACUCAUCUGCCUCCUCUCUGGUAAUAACAUAUCUUCCUUUUGCCUGAUAAUCAAAGAAGGCAGGAGCAGGGAGAGUAAUACGGACAACACGACGUCUGUCAAAGAUUAAGCGAUACUAGAGAGGUGAUUCAUUCCUCUCAACAAACUGGUGGUGAACCAUAGCAUUAAAGUCUAAGUAAGCAGGAGGCAAUUCAAUAUCAUCAUUACGUAUGGUUACACCAAGAAAAUCAGCUAAGCGGGUUGCAUAAAUUCCACCAAAGAAAUCUCCAUUAAAUCUAUUAUUAUGCAACCUACGUGCAACAAUGGCUCCCAAAUUAUAAGAUUUGUCUCCUAACACAGCACUCCUAAGAAUACUGAGGUCAGGAACACACAUAUGACAUGCUUCAUCUUUACCAUUUAUGCACCUACCUAUGAAGAGAGCAAAAUAAUGUAUAGCGGGAAAAUGAAUGCUCCCUAUGGUAGCUUGUGCUAUAUCUCUAGAUUCCCCCACAGUUAUACUAGCAAGAAAAUUUCUACAUUCAGAUUUGCGGGGUUCACUAGCACUACCCCAUUGUGGAAGUUUGCAAGCAGAAGUAAAAUCCUCUGAGUCCAUCGUAUAAGAUUUCUCAUAAAGAUCCAAUUUCUCAUAAAGAUCAAACAGGGCAGUUGGAGAAUUACGUGAAGAUGAAAAUUCAAACCUCCUCACAAAGGAACUAGUGAGAUAGUGGUACUGGCGGCAUUUUUCUGCCUCGAAGCUCACAAGAUCAGCGUUACGCAAAUAUGCGUUAAAUUCUUCCUUAAUUCCCGCUCGAUCCAUAAAAUUUUCUGAAGGCCAUUCACAGGGCCGCACUGGAGCGUCCCUUGGUGGCUCAUCGUCAGCAUCACGCAUUGCAAGCCUGGGUCCUUUCUUCCUUGAAGAACCACCUUGGUACAUUUUCCUAAGCAUAUUUCUUCCUCUGAAAAAAUUCUGAAAUUUUUAGUAACUUCAAAUAAAAGUGAACCAAGCUCAACAAAAUUGAUAGAAACUACUCCUACAAGUGCCUAGAGCCUAUAUCAUGCAUUAGAACUACUUAGAACCAUAUAAAUUUGACAUGCAAGCUCAAGAACAUUGUCACCUAAGCAGCACAAAUUUGCAAUGAAUAAAGCACUAGAACAAAAACUAAUUGGACCAAUGAAGGAGUCACAUACCAAGGAACAAUCCCCCCAAGCAGUUUUGUGAGAGGUGCUUUGAGCAAGGAGAUCGAAAAUCGCAGCAAAAUGAGCUAGAACUCGUGCUUGAGCUAGAUGGUGAUUUUUUUGGGAGGAAGAAGAAGUGUGUGGGUGCAGGAAUAAGUGGAGGGGAGCCACCGUGGGCCCACGAGGCAGGGGGCGCGCCCAGGGGGUAGGGUGCGCCCUCCACCCUCGUGGCCAGGUGCUUGCCCCUCCUGCUGUGUUCUCAGUGCCAGAUAUUCUCAAAUAUUCCAGAAAAAAUCAUAUUCCAUUUUCAGGGCAUUUGGAGAACUUUCAUUUUCGGGGUAUUUUUAUAUUGCACGGAUAAAUCAGAAAACAGACAAAAAAAUACUAAUUUUACUUUAUUUCAACUAAAUAACAGAAAGUAGAAGGAGGGUACAAAAGGUUAUGCCUUCUAGUUUCAUCCAUCUCACGCUCAUCAAAAGGAAUCCACUAACAAGGUUGAUCAAGUCUUGUUAACAAACUCAUUCCGAAUAACAUGGAACCGGAGAAAUUUCGAAUAACACUAUGUUACCUCAACGGGGAUAUGCACAUCCCCUAUAAUAAGAAUAUCAUAUUUCUUCUUGAUAGUAGGAAGAGGAAAUUCAAAACCUCCAAAUAUAAUCGAUGGAAUUUUUCCAAUAGAAUUGAUACUAUGAACUUGAGGUUGUUUCCUCGGGAAGUGUACCGUAUGCUCAUUACCAUUAACAUGAAAAGUGACAUUGCCUUUGUUGCAAUCAAUAACAGCCCCUGAAGUAUUCAAAAAAGGGUCUUCCAAGAAUAAUAGACAUAUUAUCGUCCUCGGGAAUAUCAAGAAUAACAAAGUCCGUUAAAAUAGUAACGUUUGCAACCACAACAGGCACAUCCUCACAAAUACCGACAGGUAUAGCAGUUGAUUUAUCGGCCAUUUGCAAAGAUAUUUCAGUAGGUGUCAACUUAUUCAAGUCAAGUCUACGAUAUAAAGAGAGAGGCAUAACACUAACACCGGCUCCAAGAUCACAUAAAGCAGUUUUAACAUAAUUCCUCUUAAUGGAGCAUGGUAUAGUGGGUACUCCUGGAUCUCCAAGUUUCUUUGGUAUUCCGCCCUUGAAGGUGUAAUUAGCAAGCAUGGUGUAAAUCUCAGCUUCCGGUAUCUUUCUUUUAUUUGUAACGAUAUCUUUCAUGUACUUAGCAUAAGGAUUCAUUUUGAGCAUAUCACUUAAACGCAUACGCAAGAAGAUAGGUCUAAUCAUUUCAGCAAAGCGCUCAAAAUCCUCAUCAUCCUUUUUCUUGGAUGGUUUGGGAGGAAAAGGCAUGGAUUUCUGAACCCAUGGUUCUCUUUCUUUACCGUGUUUCCUAGCAACAAAAUCCCUCUUACCAUAACGUUGAUUCUUUGAUUGUGGGUUAUCAAGAUCAACAGCAGGUUCAAUUUCUACAUCAUUAUCAUUACUAGGUUGAGCAUCAUCAUUAAUAUUUUCACUAAGCUCAUAUUCAUUACCAGAUUGUGUUUCAGCAUCAGAAAUAGAUAUAUCAUUGGGAUUCUCAGGUGGUUCAGCAAUAGGUUCACUAGAAGCAUGCAAAGUCCUAUCAUUUUUCUUAUUUUUAGAAGGACUAGGUGCAUCAAUAUUAUUUCUCUGAGAAUCUUGCUCAAUUCUCUUAGGGUGGCCUUCAGGAUACAAAGGUUCCUGAGUCAUUUUACCAGUUCUAGUAGCCACUCUAAUAGCAUAAUCAUUAUUCUUACUAUUUAAUUCACUGAGAAAUUCAUUUUGAGCCUUAAGUACUUGUUCUACUUGAGUGGUAACCAUAGAAGCAUGUUUACUAAUGAGCUUAAGUUCACCCUUAACAUUAGCCAUAUAAUCACCCAAGUGUUCAAUCAUAUAAGCAUUUUGUUUUAGUUGUCUACCAGAAUAAGCAUUGAAAUCUUCUUGCUUAACCAUAAAGUUAGCAAACUCAUCCAAGCAUUGGCUAGCAAUUUUAGUAGGAGGGAAUUCAGCUUUAUCAUAUCUAUAGAGAGAAUUUACCUUUACUACCUGUGUCGGGUUACCAAGACCAUGAGUUUCUUCAAUAGGUGAUGGAUUAAGAUCAUAUGUUUCUUCAACAGGCGGUAAAUUAAGACCAUGUAUUUCUUCAAUAGGAGGUAAAUUCUUAACAUCUUCAGCUUUUAUACCCUUCUCUUUCAUAGAUUUCUUUGCCUCUUGCAUAUCUUCAGGACUGAGAAAUAGAACACCUCUUUUCUUCGGAGUUGGUUUAGGAAUUGGCUCAGGAGCUGGCUCAGGAGCUGGCUCAGGAAGUGUCCAAUUAUUUUCAUUUGUCAACAUAUUAUUCAAUAGAAUUUCAGCUUCAUCCGGUGUUCUUUCCCUGAAAACAGAACCAGCACAACUAUCCAGGUAAUCUCUGGAUGCAUCGGUUAGUCCAUUAUAAAAGAUAUCAAGUAUUUCAUUUUUCUUAAGAGGAUGAUCAGGCAAAGCAUUAAGUAAUUGGAGAAGCCUCCCCCAAGCUUGUGGGAGACUCUCUUCUUCAAUUUGCACAAAAUUAUAUAUUUCCCUUAAAGCAGCUUGUUUCUUAUGAGCGGGGAAAUAUUUAGCGGAGAAGUAAUAAAUCAUAUCCUGGGGACUACGCACACAACCAGGAUCAAGAGAAUUAAACCAUAUCUUAGCAUCACCCUUUAAUGAGAACGGAAAUAUUUUGAGGAUAUAAAAGUAGCGAGUUCUCUCAUCAUUAGUGAACAGGGUGGCUAUAUCAUUUAAUUUAGUAAGAUGUGCCAUAACAGUUUCAGAUUCAUAGCCAUGAAAAGGAUCAGAUUCAACCAAAGUAAUUAUAUCAGGAUCAACAGAGAAUUCAUAAUCCUUAUCAGUAACACAGAUAGGUAAACUAGCAAAAGCAGGGUCAGGUUUCAUUCUAGCAUUAAGAGAUUGCUGCUUCCAUUUAGCUAAUAAUCUCUUAACAUCAUAUCCAUCUUUGCAAGCAAAAAUUUCUUUAGCAAUUUCUUCAUCCAUAACAUAACCCUCAGGAACAACAGGCAAUUCAUAUUUAUUAGGGGGAGAGUCUUCGUCAUCACUUUCAUCAAUAUUAUCAGUUUCAAUAAUUUCAUUCUCUCUAACCCUAGCAAGUUGUUCAUCAAGAAAUUCACCAAGUGGCAAAGUAGUAUCAAGCAUAGAAGUAGUUUCAUCAUAAGUAUCAUGCAUAGCAGAAGUGGCAUCAUCAAUAACAUGCGACAUAUCAGAACGAAUAGCAGAAGCAGGUUUAGGUGUCGCAAGCUUACUCAAAACAGAAGGUGAAUCAAGUGCAGAGCUAGAUGGCAGUUCCUUACCUCCCCUCGUAGUUGAGGGAUAAAUUGUUGUCUUAGCGUCUUUCAAGUUCUUCAUAGUGACCAGCAAAUAUAAAUCCAAAGUAACUCAAAGAAUAGAGCUAUGCUCCCCGGCAACGGCGCCAGAAAAUAGUCUUGAUAACCCACAAGUAUAGGGGAUCGCAACAGUUUUUGAGGGUAGAGUAUUCAACCCAAAUUUAUUGAUUCGACACAAGGGGAGCCAAAGAAUAUUCUCAAGUAUUAGCAGUUGAGUUGUCAAUUCAACCACACCUGGAUAACUUAGUAUCUGCAACAAAGUAUUAGUAGUAAAGUAGUAUGAUAGUAGUGGUAAUGGUAACAAAAGUAACGGUAGCAAAAGUAAUAUUUUUGGGUUUUGUAGUGAUUGUAACAGUAGCAACGGAAAAGUAAAUAAGCGGAGAACAAUAUGUGAAAAUCUCAUAGGCAUUGGAUCAGUGAUGGAGAAUUAUGCCGGAUGCGGUUCAUCAUGUAACAUUCAUAACAUAGGGUGACACAGAACUAGCUCCAAUUCAUCAAUGUAAUGUAGGCAUGUAUUCCGAAUAUAGUCAUACGUGCUUAUGGAAAAGAACUUGCAUGACAUCUUUUGUCCUACCCUCCCGUGGUAGUGGGGUCCUAAUGGAAACUAAGGGAUAUUAAGGCCUCCUUUUAAUAGAGUACCAGACCAAAGCAUUAACACAUAGUGAAUACAUGAACUCCUCAAACUAUGGUCAUCACCGGGAGUGGUCCCGAUUAUUGUCACUUCGGGGUUGCCGGAUCAUAACACAUAGUAGGUGACUAUAGACUUGCAAGAUAGGAUCAAGAACUCACAUAUAUUCAUGAAAACAUAAUAGGUUCAGAUCUGAAAUCAUGGCACUCGGGCCCUAGUGACAAGCAUUAAGCAUAGCAAAGUCAUAGCAACAUCAAUCUUAGAACAUAGUGGAUACUAGGGAUCAAACCCUAACAAAACUAACUCGAUUACAUGAUAGAUCUCAUCCAACCCAUCACCGUCCAGCAAGCCUACGAUGGAAUUACUCACGCACGGCGGUGAGCAUCAUGAAAUUGGUGAUGGAGGAUGGUUGAUGAUGACGACGGCGACGAAUCCCCCUCUCCGGAGCCCCGAACGGACUCCAGAUCAGCCCUCCCGAGAGGUUUUAGGGCUUGGCGGCGGCUCCGUAUCGUAAAACAUGAUGAAUCCUUCUCUCUGAUUUUUUCUCCCCGAAAGUGAAUAUAUGGAGUUGGAGUUGAGUUCGGUGGAGCGUCAGGGGGCCCACGAGGUAGGGGGCACGCCCAGGGGGGCAGGCGCGCCCCCCAACCUCGUGGACAGGGUGUGGGCCGUCUGACGUGGAUUUUUCUUCCAGUAUUUUUAAUAUUUUCCAAAAAGAUGUUCCGUGGAGUUUCAGGUCAUUCCGAGAACUUUUGUUUCUGCACAUAAAUAACACCAUGGAAAGUCUGCUGAAAACAGCAUCAGUCCGGGUUAGUUCCAUUCAAAUCAUGCAAGUUAGAGUCCAAAACAAGGGCAAAAGUGUUUGGAAAAGUAGAUACGACGGAGACGUAUCAGUAAGCAGUAUGACUAUUAUCGCCCACAACUCUUUGUGUUCUACUCGUGCAUAUCAUCUACGCAUAGACCUGGCUCGGAUGCCACUGUUGGGGAACGUAGCAUGUAAUUUCAAAAAAUUUCCUACGAUCACGCAAGAACUAUCUAGGAGAUGCAUAGCAACGAGAGGGGAGAGUGUGUCCAUGUACCCUCGUAGACCGAAAGCGGAAGCGUUAGUUUAACGCGUUUGAUGUAGUCGAACGUCUUCAUGAUCCAACCGAUCCAAGUACCGAACGUACGGCACCUCCGUGUUCAGCACACGUUCAGCUCGAUGACGUCCCUCGAACUCUUGAUCCAGUAGAGGGUCGGGGGAGAGUUCCAUCAGCACGACGGCAUGGUGACGGUGAUGGUGAUGUGAUCUGCGCAGGGCUUUGCCUAAGCACUACGACAAUAUGACUUGAGGUGUAAACUGUGGAGGGGGCACCGCACACGGCUAAGAAUAACUUGUGUGUCUUUGGGGUGCCCCCUGCCCACUUAUAUAAAGGAGGGGGAGAGAGGCUGGCGGCCAGGAGGGGCGCGCCAUGGGGGGGUCCUACUUGGACUCCUAGUCCACCUCUCGACCAUUUCGAGACUCCUCGUCAUGUCUGUGAUCUCAUCCGGGACUCCGAAGAAACUUCGGUCACCAAAACACAUAACUCAUAAUACAAAUAGUCAUCGAACGUUAAGCGUGCGGACCCUACGGGUUCGAGAACUAUGUAGACAUGACCGAGACACAUCUCCGGUCAAUAACCAAUAGCGGAACCUGGAUGCUCAUAUUGGCUCCUACAUAUUCUACGAAGAUCUUUAUCGGUCAAACAGCAUAACAACAUACGUCAUUCCCUUUGUCAUCGGUAUGUUACUUGCCCGAGAUUCAAUCAUCGGUAUCAUCAUACCUAGUUCAAUCUCGUUACCGGCAAGUCUCUUUACUCGUUCUGUAAUGCGUCAUGCCGCAACUAACCCAUUAGUCAUAUUGCUUGCAAGGCUUAUAGUGAUGUGCAUUACCGAGAGGGCCCAGAGAUACCUCUCCGAUACUCGGAGUGACAAAUCCUAAUCUUGAUCUAUGACAACCCAACAAACACCUUCGGAGACACCUGUAGAGCAUCUUUAUAAUCACCCAGUUACGUUGUGAUGUUUGAUAGCACACAAAGUGUUCCUCCGGUAUUCGGGAGUUGCAUAAUCUCGUAGUUAGAGGAAUAUGUAUAAGUCAUGAAGAAAGCAAUGGCAAUAAAACUAAACGAUCAUAAUGCUAAGCUAACGGAUGGGUAUUGUCCAUCACAUCAUUCUCUAAUGAUGUGAUCCCGUUCAUCAAAUGACAACACAUGUCUAUGGUUAGGAAGCAUAACCAUCUUUGGUUAACGAGCUAGUCAAGUAGAGCCAUACUAGGGACACUUUGUAUUGUCUAUGUAUCCACACAUGUACUAAGUUUCCGGUUAAUACAAUUCUAGCAUGAAUAUUUAACAUUUAUCAUGAUAUAAGGGAAUAUAAAUAACAACUUUAUUAUUGCCUCUAGGGCAUAUUUCCUUCACGACGUUCACAUGACACCACUAGAGGAAAGACAACAUACAUCUCAUCAAAAUAUUGAACGAAUACUAAAUUCACAUGAUUACUUAUAACAAGACUCCUCCCAUGUCCUCAGGAACAAACGUAACUACUGACAAAGCAUAUUCAUGUUCAUAAUCAGAGGGGUAUUGAAUAGCAUUAAGGAUCUGAACAUAUGAUCUUCCACCGAAUAAACCAACUAGCACCAACUACAAGGAGUAAUCAACACUACUAGCAACCCACAGGUACCAAUCUGAGGUUUUGAGACCAAGAUCGGAUAUAAGAGAUGAACUAGGGUUUGAGAGGAGAUGGUGCUGGUGAAGAUGUUGAUGGAGAUUGACCCCCUCUUGAUGAGAGGAUCGGUGGUGAUGACGAUGGCGAUGAUUUCCCCCUUCCGGAGGGAAGUAUCCCCGACAGAACAGCCCUGUCGGAGCUCUAGAUUGGUUUCGCCCAGGUUCCGCCUCGAGACGGCGGCGCUUCGUUCUGAAAGCUUCUAUCUGAUUUUUCCAGGUCAAAACACACAAUAUAGCCAAAGAUGGGCACCGGAGGCCUACCAGGGGGCCCACAAGGUCGGGGGGCAUGCCCAGGGGGCAGGGCGCGCCCUCCACCCUUGUGGCUGGCUAGUGGCCCCCCUCUGGCACUUUCUUCACCCAAUAUUUUUUAUAUACUCCAAAAACAUGCUCCAUGAAGUUUCAGGACUUUUGGAGUUGUGCAGAAUAGGUCUCUAAUAUUUGCUCCUUUUCCAGUCCAGAAUUCCAGCUGCUGACUUUCUCCCUCUUCAUGUAAACCUUAUAAAAUAAGAGAGAAAAUGCAUAAGUAUUGUGAUAUAAUGUGUAAUAACAGCCCAUAAUGCAAUAAAUAUCAAUAUAAAAGCAUGAUGCAAAAUGGACGUAUCACUCCCUUGCAAAACAUGUCCAAAAUCUAGAACUGUCAGUCUUAUCAGAAGAUGUAGCAGUUGCUCGCCUUCAGUGUGUAGAACACGAAAAAAUCAGCAAGAUGGUAACAAAUUUCACCUAUAGUUCUAUUAGACAAAUUUUGUUAUAUCACACCACAAUGGAAUAAAAGGAUUAAACACUCCUCCACAUAUCGUUAGGGUUAAAUGUAGCAUGUGAAGACAUUCCUGUUAGACAAGAGUGUGAGCUCUUAAAACGGACAGAAUAAUAAAUAACUUGUUAGUAUGGCCUUGGCGAGGUGGCUGCGUCAAUGGCUGGUGUGGCCGCCUCCAUGGCCAGCGCCUGACCUGGUCGAUCUCCCUCUUCUCUUCUCUUCUGAUGAUAUUAGGAGAAGAGGGUGAGAGACGAGGUCGAUGGCUUUGGGUGGAGGAUAGGGGUAGAGGCCGGCGGUGAGGCAGUGUGAGGGAGACGAGGUGGUUGGUGGCGGCGAUGCGUGAUGGGAGGGGUAGCGGUGCGUGGAGGGGAGUGGGUGGUGGGCGGUGGAAACCGGCGGCGGCGCCCCUAGGGUGUGUGCCCAAUUCGCGUGAGAGGAAAGAGGUCGGGAAGGGAGCGACACAUAGGAGUUUUUUUUCGUUCUGAGCGAGCCUAAUUGGGCUUUCUGCGGCAUACAAGGCCCAAUGCACCAUAUGUCUUCAAAUUGGCCACCAGAGCAGCAGCCCCUUAGGACAUACAAGCGAAAUCACUAAUUGAGGAGUACUCAUGGCAAAGAUCACUCCCACCUUCCCAGGUCGUGACAAGUGGCGUGCUGCAUGUGCGCCACUUGUCGCAACCUGGGCGUUUUCUUUUUUUUCGUAGAUCCGUUUAUUCGAAACAUUUUAUCUCUUAAACCGUGCGUCCAAAUCUCGAACCGUUUUCACCGUUGGAUUCCUCGCGUCGAGAUCUUCAAAACUAGAUUCCAUGUUGAUAGGUUUUGAUGAACUUUUUUUUUCACGAAAAAACCGACCAUGAGCACGUGUUUCUUCCCUUUCCGAAAGAGGCACGCCCGUGCCUCUCGCGAAACCACAACCGUGCCUCUUGCUGAAAAAAAAAAGAGAAAACACGUUUUUUUUCUUUUCCGAGGAGGCACGGCCGUGCCUCUCGCGAAAGCACAACCAUGCCUCUCGCGGAAGCAAAACCGUGCCUCUCACGAAAGGAAAAAAACAGAAAACACGUUUUUUUUGUUUCCGAGAGGCACAGCCGUGACUCUCGCGAAAGCAAAACCGUGCCUCUCGUGAAAGCAAAACCGUGUCUCUCACGGAAGAGAAAAAAAUUACAGAAAACACUUUUUUUCGUUUCCGAGAGGCACGGCCGUGACUCUCGCGAAAGCACAAGUGUGCCUCUCGCGGAAGAAAAAAAACAGAAAACGCGUUGUUUUUUUCGUUUCCGAGAGUCACGGUCAUGACUCUCGGGAAAGCAAAAUCGUGCCUCUGACGGAAGUAAAACCGUGACUCUCGCGGAAGAAAAAGAAAAAGAAAAUGUGUUUUUCCGCAUAAAAAAAAUUUUGAAAUUUUUUUAUCCAAAGGGUAAGGAAGACCGGUGGAAGACCAAACGUCGAAAAAACAAGAAAAAAACGUUUAAAAAGCCAAAAACGCGUGCGAAAAAAUAAAAAAACAAAAUCCGGAGGGAGCAUCCAGAGCGCGACACGUGGCGGGCGGCUGAAAGCGCGCCAAGUGGCGUUGAUCGUUAUGAGGCUCCAGAAGGAGCGCUCGUCAACUAGUUGCUCCCACAUACAGGCCUAGUUCGCAAAUUGAAGAUGGAUCAGACCGCCGAGGAUGCUCAAACCUGUGAUCUGACCGCCAAAAUUACCCAAAUCGUGAGAUGGCUCGGAAGUGGCUCGGUUUUACUGUCCUAAAUAACAAAGAUAUUUAUUUUCUGUUAUAAGUAUAUUUUUUGCUUCAUAAUAAUUUAGAAAACUGCAUAAAACUUUCCAGGAACUCUGUAGAGUGUUUAGGGGACUUUUUUUUAUUAAGAUGUCAUUUAAACUACUCAUCUUUAUUCUUUCUUUUUUGCAGGGAAAUCAUCUUAUUCCACGGACAAUCAUGAUGAACUGCUUUGGUUAUUACAAUGGGAUGACAUCAACACACACACAUACACAAACAACUAUAGCUUUAUAAGUAGCACAUGACAAGCAUCAUCAUCCAGAUAUCACCCCAAAGUCAUCGAAUUCAGAUUACUUAUGGCAACAGCAGUACGGGUAGGGGUGGUGCUCACAAUAGCUCCUGAGGUAGUCGUAGCCCAUGCUUACGCAAAAGUUUCGGCACUUGCGCUGGUCAUGAUCAUGCACCGGUUUGUUGCAUUCCCACAUAUAUUCACAGUAUAUGUCAGUAUCUAUGCUUUUUCUUACGCAAGUGUUUUGGCAGUUGUGCCCACCAAAAUCAUGCACCUGUCUCUUGGAUUCCCACAUAGAUUCACGGUACGUGUCAGGAUCCGUGUCUGCAUGCACACACACACGCACAAAAGGAACUACGAACAAUUAGUAUGUGUGUGUUCCAUAUGAAAGAAUGGAAGAAUGAAGCAUCACGUAGUAAGAAAUACUACUAUACAUACGCUUGGCAUUGCAUGACAGGGAGACCAGAAGAGCUACGACCAAGCACAGAAACUGUGUUGUUCCUGGCAUGUGCCGCGGCGAAUGACUGGCUAGCUAAUUAAUCCUCUUCUUCUAGACGGUGUUGUCUUUUUGGUUGAUGGAUGCUUUGUGUGUUCUAUGAUGGUGUUCGUAGUAUAUAUAUAUACGCGUGAGAGCGGUUCUUUGGUCAAGGGGGAGGUUAAUCAAUUCUUAUCAUAUCUUUUCGUCGUACACUAAUGCACGAGUAGAUAUAGAUAUCACUACGUAUAUCUAUAUCUAUAUGCACGAGUAGAUAUAGAUAUGAGAAAUGUUUGUUUAUCACUAGAUGAAUGUCCUUGUGUUGCCGUCGAAAAACAAAGAUAUAGAUGUUUAUUAAUAAUUAAAGAGUCAUUAAUUAUAUUGUGAUACACGCACAUAUAUCUCUACUCCUAAUGUCUCAGUUGGUAGUCUCCGUUCCGGGUUUAUUUUCGUCCCACCACUUUCGUCCGUUUUUUUUCGUUCGGUUUUUUUGUUAGUUUUUUUCCGUCCCCUUCUCGCACCCCACCCCACGCACGCACCCAAAAAAAGCCACCACGCACAAAACACCGCUCCUCUCGAUCCCCUGAUGCCAUAUUCCUGGCACCGUCGCCUUCGCGGAUCCGCCGCCACAACCAUCGCUCGUUCCCGUGCGCCGCCGUCGCUCCCUCUCCCAGCGCCCGAGCAUCCCCGUCGCUCCCUCUCCCAGUGCCGCCUCCACCGCCAUGGCCCCUCCCCUUGCGCCCCGAACUGCCUCGCGCACUCGUCGCCCGUUAUACCACAGAGGAGGCGAAGACAGCGGCAGCGCGCCGCCCUACUUCGCCGGUCGCCGCCUCGGCUGCACUCGGCGGGCGCCACACGCCGUCUCCUCUCCAUGGGAGUGGCGGAUGGCAGCGAGGAAAGUGGAUCGACCUGGCCAUGGGGAUGGCACUACGACCCCUGCCAGCCUCCCGCGUCGCCGUGCCUCCCUGCAUCGUCGCCUCCGACCUCACCACGUAGGUAAUCUCACCCAUGUCCCCUCCGCACCUCAUUCCACUCCAUCCUCGACCACCCCCUUCCUCUCACCUCAUGCCCAUUGUGGUGGCCUGCAGCUCCUGUGACGAGUAAUGGGGAUGGAAAUAUAUCAACGAUGGGGUGUGGUUCGUUCCUGUCAGGUUUUUUUCUUUGACGCUGCCGCUCCUGGAGCACCAACUCAAAAAUUUCUCAUAUACUGGUGUUGGUCGAGCACGAGCACAAGGCGACAUUUUUGCUGGCCAUCUUGUUCAACACCUACUGGUAUGUGACCUGUUUGAUGAAACAUUGUACCAACAUUGUUCUUGGAUUUUUUUAUUGCUGGUUGAGUUGAGACAUUGCUCGUCAGCACACGUGAAUGAAUACUUCUUUUUGGUGUUUGAAAAAAGUAGGGGAGGGGGAGGAGGCCGGCAACAGGAGAAGGCGCAUGCCAG
Molecule: long non-coding RNA, 157085 nt
Filed under: Triticum aestivum (bread wheat)
Lineage: Eukaryota; Viridiplantae; Streptophyta; Magnoliopsida; Poales; Poaceae
Description: long non-coding RNA (TAES_LNC013040)
Source: RNAcentral